UUGCAAACAAGUGCAAGGGAUUGCCUCUAGCUGCCAAGGUAUUAGGAGGUCUAAUGCAGUUUAAAAGAACAAGAGAAGAGUGGGAACAUGUUUUAUCUAGCGAACUGUGGGAGCUAGAACAUGUUGAAAGAGGACUAUUUCCACCUUUGCUUUUAAGUUACUACGAUUUACCUUCUGUGGUAAGACGAUGUUUCUUGUAUUGUGCCAUGUUUCCAAAAGACUACGAGAUGGUCAAAGAUGAAUUGGUGAAGAUGUGGAUGGCUCAAGGUUACCUUAAGGAGACUCCAAGUAGAGAUAUGGAGCUUGUUGGAGAGGAGUACUUUCAAGUCUUAGCAGCGCGCUCUUUCUUCCAAGAUUUUAAGACGGAUGAGUUUGAAGGAAUGAAAUUCAAGAUGCAUGAUAUAGUGCAUGAUUUUGCCCAAUAUAUGACAAAAAAUGAAUGUCUAACAGUGGAUGCCAGUAAACUUGGAGAAGCAACAACAGAGAUUUCAUGUGAAAGGGUUCGUCAUUUAAGCAUGAAGUUAUCAGGGGAGACCUCUUUUCCGGCGUCCAUUCGCAAAGCAAAAGGUCUUCGCAGCCUCUUGAUAGGCAGUAGAGACCCUUCGCUUGGAGCUGCACUACUUGAUGUAUUCAAGCAGUUGACAUGCAUCAGGUCAUUGAAUUUGUCAUGGUCUUCAAUCAAAGAAAUACCAAAGGAGGUAGGGAAAUUGAUACAUUUGAGACACCUCAAUUUGGCAGAUUGUGGAGAGUUGGAGUCCCUGCCAGAAACCACGUGUGAUUUAUGCAAUCUGCAAUCCCUAGACGUUACGUGGUGUCGUUCUCUUAAGGAAUUACCUAAGGCUAUUGGAAAACUUAUCAAAUUGAGGCAUCUCCAGAUUUAUGGUUCAGGUGUGGCCUUCAUACCAAAGGGAAUAGAGAGGAUAACAUGUCUUCGAACAUUAGAUGGGUUUACUGUGUGUGGUGGUGGUGAGAAUGAAAGUAAAGGAGCUAAUCUAAGAGAAUUAAAAAACUUAAAUCUCAUUGGAGGGAGUUUUAGUAUACGGAAUCUAGGAGGAGGUAUAGAAGAUGCGAGUGACGCUGCAGAAGCACAACUCAAGAAUAAGAAGCGCCUGCUUUGUUUGGAAUUGGGUUUCGACUACAACCAGGAGAACGGCAUUUUAAUUGAAGCUUUACAGCCUCCGUCAGACUUGGAAUAUCUAACCAUAUCUAGUUACGGAGGGUUGGAUUUGCCAAAUUGGAUGAUGACAUUGACCAGAUUACAGGUGCUUACACUCCGUUAUUGUGAAAACGUGGAGGUCUUGCCUCCGUUGGGAAGAUUGCCCAACCUUGAAAGCCUGGUAUUGAGCUCGUUGAAGGUGAGAAGGCUGGAUGCUAGAUUUUUAGGUAUAGAAAAGGCUGAGAAUGCCAGUAUUGAUGAAGGAGAAAUUGCAAGGGUCACUGCUUUCCCCAAAUUAAAAAAACUUUGGAUUGAGGGUCUCGAAGAAGUAGAAGAGUGGGAUGGAAUUGAAAUGAGAGUAGGAGAAGAAGAUGCCAACACAACUUCAAUAUCCAUUAUGCCACAACUUCGAGAGUUGAAAAUUCAUAAAUGCCCAUUGCUGAGAGCACUACCAGACUAUGUUUUGACAGCGUCAUUACGGGUGUUUGAACUCGAUGAUUGUACAAACAUGGAGGUCUUGCCUCCGUUGGGAAGAUUGCCCAACCUUGAAAGCCUGGCAUUGAGGUCGUUGAAGGUGAGAAGGUUGGAUGCUGGAUUUUUAGGUAUAGAAAAAGAUGAGAAUGCCAGUAUUAAUGAAGGAAAAAUUGCAAGGGUCACUGCUUUCCCCAAAUUAAAAGAGCUUGGCAUUAGUUAUCUCGAAGAAGUAGCAGAGUGGGAUGGAAUUGAACGGAGAGUGGGAGAAGAAGAUGCCAACACAACUUCAAUAUCCAUUAUGCCACAACUUCGAGAUUUGAUGAUUGUUAAUUGCCCAUUGUUGAGAGCACUACCAGACUAUGUUUUGGCAGCGCCUCUACAGGAAUUAUUCUUUAGUGGUUGCCGCAAUCUAAGGAAACGUUACGGGAAGGAGGAGAUGGGUGAAGAUUGGCAAAAGAUUUCUCACAUCCCAAACAUUUAUUUUCAUGAUAUAUAGGUGAGAAAGACAGAAUUCUUUAAUUAGAACCGGCAGGAACCGGUAAAUUCUUCUAUUUUACUGUAUUUUAACAAAUCUAUUUUCGGCUCUCCAUUUUUUCAUUAAUGUAAUUUAAUUCAAAAAUAAGUGAAAAAUACAAAUUAAUUAAUUAAUCAUUUGUUGAAUUGGAUAUAAUUAUGUCUUUCCCUUUCUCCUCAUUCAUUUAAACAUAUAUAAUCAACCUUAAUAUUUUUAUAUCAUUAUCACAACAAUAAUUUCAUCAUAUUAGUUGGAAUUCAUGAUAAUCUUUAUUAACUAAUCAAUUUGUUAAAAAUAUACUUAUAGCUAGUCUUAAAUAUAUUUUAUUUUUCAAAUUUCUUUUAUUUUAUAAAAAAUACACAAUUAAUCUAUAAUCAUUCUUCCCUUCAUAUAAAGAAUACACAAUUAAUCUACAACAAUAUUAAUAAUAAGAACGUAUUUUACCAUUACAUCUUCUAUAAACCUUAACACCCACACAAUUUUAAUUUCAUCAAAACAUAUAUUUAAUCAAGUUUUUCUAAAUUUUGUCAAAACUAGCAAUAGAUUCAAAAAGUAAUAAGUCAUUCAUCUUAUAUUUUAUUUUCAAAACCAACGGUCAAAAUAUAGAUCUCGAAAUUGUGCACAAUAUAUCUCAAAAUCAAAAAUAUCUAACAGUUGAAUCUCCCUAGAUCUGAAUAAAACCAAGCUAACUUGAAAAUUAACGAGCUAUUGUUCAACAUAAACGACACCUUACCGGAGAGUGUGUUUCCUAUCUCCACCGUCCAGAAUGAAGACAAUAUUUAGGCGCACCACAUAUCCAAAAAUAGAUAUGAUCCAACGGUGGAAGAGAGAGAAAUCAGUCGGCGACCAAAACUUCCCUGCAAGUGUAUUUUCUUUUGUUUUCUAGGAAAUUUCCGAUGAUGAUUUCCGUCAAACGGAUUGUGUGCUUUCAAAUCCCUCCGAUCAGUUAGUACAGGAGAAUGAGAAGAACAAUAUAUCCACAAAUCAGCAUGAUUCAACGGUGUUUGCCAGAGAUAUGGUCACCAGCUCCUUCAAAUUCUACACUUCUCUUUCUAGCCGAAUUUGCUCUAUUGUCUCUCACCUCUUUUUAUUUUGGACUGGUUGGCUGCUAUUUUAAAGGCAUAUUUUUCAUUAAUUAAAAUUGUGUUCCUUAUUUAUGCUUUUAUGUAUUUUAUUUUAUUUUUCAUGUAAACUAUCCGGUUUGUUUCUGCUUAAAUCACUAGUCUUUACCGAACUCUGAUUGGGAUGAGUUCUUUAACAAAGUUAGGAAAACAUAUUAAUAGAUUUCAUGCAAAAUUACAUUCCAAUUCAACGAUUGGAUUGAAAGGUCUUCUUUCUAACGUAAUACUAGUUAAUUCAUAACUUUUCAUUGACCAUCUAGAUUUUAUUUGAAGCAACCCAAAGAAAAUGGAAUGCUCCUUUUAACAUUUACCUUUCAUUGGAUUGUUUUGGUUAUGACACGUUUGCUUCUGGUCUGUAUUUGGCAGCUUGGGCUUAGAAGAUACUUCAGAGCUACUUCAGAGGGGGUUCCGAUUUGGUCCUGCGUUGUGAUUUACUUCUUUGAGUGUAUUAAUUAUUUAUUAUUGAAGUAAGGAGAAAGGAAUUGAAUUUAGAAUGCUAAAAGUAAGCCAUGGGGGCAGCUGAAGCACAGAGGUAGUAAUUAAGCAAGUAAUCUAGCUAGAUUGCUGCCCUUGGAAGUUAUUAGUGUCACUUCCAAUGCAAGUUCUCUACAAUUUUUAAUCUUUGUAUGAAGGCUUCAUGCAUGAAAUAAUUUAUUGCUGGAGGAGGAGCAGGGGCCCUAGCUGCUGUUUAAUACCGAGGCACUUUGUAAUUUUUAAAAAUGUUUUAUUUUUAUUUUUAUCUAAAGAUAUAUUAAAAUAUCUUCUUAGAUUUGUUUUUAUUUUUUAUACUAAUACAUUAAAAUUAUAAAAAAACAUUAAAAAUAUAUUAAUUUGAUUUUUUUUAAGCCAAGUGCACUUUUAAUUUAAAAUACUUCUAGACAUAAUUUCAAACGUAAAAACAAAAAGAUUUAUGAAUCUUAUCAGCCCCAAGGUUGUGUGGUGCAGUUAUUAUUGUAAUGUAGAUACAUUUUUUUAAAUCAAUAUGUUUGUAAAAUCUAAAAGUUAACUCUUUAUUUAAAUUAUUUAAAUAACAUGAUAUGAGAUAUCAUGCAUAAUUAUUAGAUUAAUUAAUUCUAAAAAUUUAAUUAAUUAAUUCUGAAAUUAACAAUAAAAAUUAUUUAUGUUGCAUAAUGUAAAUUGUCAAAUCUUUUUUUUUUAACAUCUAAAUCUAUUGAGUUAAUGUAACUCGUAUAUAAAACUAUAUUUUAACAACAAAUUUUGUCCAUGCUUUUCUCAGAGGGAAGAUUGUUAAAGAGUUCAACUAAACCAUGAAAAAAAAAAUUCACGUAAUACCCAGAAGUAAAAAUCGAGGGACUUUUCGUUUCUUAUUCUUCGGUGUUUUUUUUUUUUUUUUUUUUUUUUCUUUCAUUUUUGUGAUUUCUUCUUCUUCUUGUUCUCUAAUGGUGUCUUCUUUAUCGAUCUUGUAUACGCUGAAAUUUAGACUGUGUUUGGAAAUGAGAUGUAAAUCAUGUCUCUAAAAUUUUGAGUUUUUUUUUUUGUUUAAAAUGAAUUGUUUUUUAUAUGUUUUCAUAUUUGAUGUGCUGAUGUCAAAAAUAAUUUUUAAAAAAUAAAAAAACUUUUAUUUUGAUGCAUUUCUAAUCGAAAAACACUUUGAACCCACACCACUACCACAAUCGCAAACAAGCCCUUAGCUUGGGUUUCGAAUGCGGGACGGCGUUGCGUCAAUACCAAGAGUGUUUUUUUUUUUUUUUUAGAAUUUUCAAAUUAAUUUUCUUUUUAAAAAUGGUAAUUAAAUUACUUGUUUUUAUGAUUUUAAUGUAUUAAUAUGAAAAAUAAAAAAAAUCUAAAAGACAUUAUUAUCUCAAUAUAUUUUAAAUAAAAAAAAACUUUAUACGCCCCUUGUAGACUCAGGUAAAAAGUUAUUUUUUAAAAAAGAAAUAAUUUAAUAAAAAAAAUAUUAUUUGAUUUUCUUUUAAAAAUAAUUAAACUUACAAACUCUAACCUUUUUUUGAGUCUGUUUGUCUACACGGCAAUUGUAGGACCCACAAAAAAUAGGUAGAAACACAAUUUCAUGAGAAGCAUCUUGCACCAGCUUCGACGACACUAUUAACUUUUGUUAAGUGAAAUAGUGCAGAGUGAAUUAAUUCACUCUGCACACAAAAAUGAACACGUGAACAGUAAAAAAAAUCUGAUUUUUUAUUUGAAAAAUUAGUGUUUAACAUUAUUUAAUGACACUACAUAAAUUAGAAGGAGAUCGCAUGAUGGCGUAACAUUUGCAUAAUUUUAUCGUAAUCCCAAUUUGUUUCUAAUGAUUUUUUAUCUAAUUUUGUUGUACGCUCAAAAAACCAUGAAAACUAUAGUCCUUGUAGGAUGAAUUUUGUAUGUGAUGGAAUUGUAGAUAGUUUAAUGGAACAAUAAUUUUUUUUUAUAUAAAAUAUUAUUUAUUUCAUAGUAUAAUAGCAGUAGUUAAAUCUAUAAUAUUUAAAUUAAAAACCAUUAAUAUUAAUAUAUAUCACCAAACACAUUAAAUAACUUUUUGUUCAACCUCAAUUUCAAUUACAAUUUUAACCAAAUAUAUAUAAAAAUAUCAAACCAACCUCAACCAAAAAUAUUUUUUAUAAAAUAAUUUUUUUCAAACAACAAUCAUAAAAAUUACUACAAUACAAAACACACUCAAAGUAAAGUUUUAAAAAUUAUGGUUAAAACUGGUUCAAGGCCUUCAUUGAGCCCAAUGUGAAGAGGCCCAACCUAGCGUCAUAAAAGCCCAAUAGUCUCUUCUCCGCCACCACCAGGCCAUGCCAUUUAUAUAAGCAAACGAAUAUGCUGCGAAGAGCUUAGGCCUGAAAACGGGAGAAAAGUUUGACACUGCUUUGUCUCCUAAAUAGACACCGGAUGACUAUUACACCCUUGUUAUGGUUUCUGAUUCAGCGAAAAGGAGGGUAUUACGGUAAUUGGAACAACUUGAAUCGAGAAUCUGAACCGCUGUAUUCCUCCGCAAAGAAGCACACACUAUUGAUAACUCGGCCAACUCGGUUGAUUACUCAAUGUAAUUAAUUAUAGCCUUAUUUUGAAUCACCAGCUUGCUACAAGUCUUCAAGCUUUGAAAUGACUGGUGGCGUACCACUAUUCCACUGGUAAGGAAAAGAAAUCUCUUCAAAGUCACCAAGGAACUCUUUUUUUAGACAAUAGUGGAGAUUUUAUUAAAAAUUUUGGCUAAAAUGAGAAUAGCCUGAUAAAAAAAAAAAGCAACAACAGAGAAGAUAAAAUAAAGAAGAUAUAAAAGCAACCAUCUAGUAGAUGGUCCAGUGAUAAGAGCUUGAAACUAAAUAUGCUUCUUCUGUGGUCUCAGGUUCGAGCCAUGAAGUUGUUAAUAUUGAUGGUCACUUGAAACUUACCUGGUCGUUAAUUUCAAGAUUUAUGAGGAUUAGUUGAGGUGCGCACAAUCUGAGCCGAACAACACACAUUAAUAAUAAUAAAAAAAGACCAAACAAUAAAUAAAAACUAGAAAUCAACUUCUGUUAUCCUCCAAAAAAUCCCGUUAUAGUUGAUCCCUAAAUCAAAUCGGUGUAAGCAAAAGUUGUGCUAUCAAACUUCAAGCAUAAAGAGGACCUAUGGACGACCAAGUAAAAAUAACCUUGAAAAUCUGGAGUCAUUGAAGAUUACAUCAUUUUGAUGUAGCCAUAGACUCCACGCAAUACAAGAAAAGAGAAGUCGUCAUGAAAGAUUAUGAAAUUUUCCUUGCACCAUUGGGAGCACAUAUUAUCAAUAAAAAUUGAGAAACAACCACUAAUAUCCCCAUCAAGAUAAAAAUUCCAUCCAUAACUUCCAGGAAAAAACACAUUGAAUAAAGAGAUGGCUUGAAGUAUCAAAACUUCUUUUACAAAACACCCAUCUAGCUUGCUGAAGAGAAAUGAAAUCAUGCUGGAACAAAAAAUCAUGUGUGAAGACUUUAUCUUGAAAAAGUAGCCAAAGAAACAAUUAAACUUUUCUUUUUUUAUUUUUUAUUUUUUGGGGAGGGGGGGUUUUAGGUUGAACACCACUAUAAAGCAAUAGAUCCAAGAGAUAUAAAGCAAUAGAUCCAAAAGAGAUGGAAACUGGAUUUUAUUGUACAAAGACCAUUUUACUAUACAGCAAAAAAUUAAUAGCAUUCAUAUCUAUUGUCAUGAUUAAUUAAGUAUUGAAAAAAAUAUCAAGAAAAAUAAUAUCAUAACAAAUAGAGAGUUCAAAAUUUUUGUUAAAAUUCAAAAGAAUGGUGAAAUGUCCUAUUUUUAGGGAUAAUGUCAAAAAUUUCACUAAAUUUAAAAAAGUGAUGAAAUUUCAAAUCAUCAGGGAUUAACAUCAUUUUUGUUAAAUUAUUUUUUUAUUUUAAAUUAAUAUCUUUUUGAUAUUUUUAAAUCAUUUUGAUGUGCUGAUGUCAAAAAUAAUUUUAAAAAAUAAAAAUAUAUUAUUUUAAUGUGUUUUAGAAUAAAAAAUACUUUAAAAAACAACUACUACCAUACUAUAUAGUGUCAUAAUUAAGUUGAUGCAGCGAAAUCAAACCCCCUAUAAAAAAAGAUUAAAGAUCCAAUUUAAUAAUUUGAUGAACUGAAAAUUAAGGAUUCAAUUUAAUAAUUUCAAGGAAUUUGAUAUGAUCUAUUACUUUCAAAUUAUAUGUAAUCUUCUUUUUUUUUUAAUGAAAAAGAGGUUUGAAUUCAAGAUUUUCUAGAUAGAAAAAUGCCAAUAUCAUUGAAGUUACAACUCAUUGAAGAUAGUUCAAUGCAUAUGAUAAUUAGAAAACUUGUUAUCCAUUAAUGCUAACAAGAUGAUCAAACUUGGAAAAUCAGUUUUUAUACAGUUGAUAAAUAAACCUGGUCCUCGAAGAACCUGCUUUCAAGUCUCGUUAAGGAACGUUUGGGAACGCGGUUGCGGUUGCGUUCCUAAAAAAUUUAAAAUUUUUUUUUCUAAAAUUUAAUAUGAUUUAUAUGUUUUGGAUCGUUUUGAUAUGCUGAUGUUAAAAAUAAUUUUUAAAAAAUAAAAAAACAUCAUUGACAUGCAUUUUAGCACAAAAAUUUAUUUGAAAAGCACCCACAACAACACUGUCAAACACGCUCGAAUUGCUUAGCCUGCAAGAACCCUAAUUCCCGCAAGAACCCUGCUUUGAAGUUUUUCAAUUGCAUGAGUUGCUUUUAUUUCCUCUGUCAUUCCCAUUUUCUUUGUUUAUCAUUUACUCCUCUAAUGGUCAUCCAAUCUUCUCUUUACUUCAGGUAUAUACGUACAUCACAUCAAUUUCAUUUUUCAACCUACAAGUUGUGCUCUCCCUUUACCACAGCCCUACAAAAACUAAUAAAAAAAUGAGACACUAAAAUACAAGCUUCACUAGUAAAAAAAGCUACAAGUUGCAAGAACUCCACCUGCAACACCAAACCCUAAGUAUAUAAUUAAACUAACUUCCAUUCACAAUCAGCCGCCUCCUUCCCUUCACCCUCUCUUUCUCUCUGCUCAUCCCAUCAUCAUUGCUUCUCUCUCUCUCUCUCUCUCUCUCUCUCCAAGCAGAACUAAACAGACGAUGGCCGAGGCACUUGUAUCUCCGAUCUUGGAGCAGUUAACCACGAUCGUUGUUCAAAAGGUAUUUUUCUACCAUCUGCAAUAACCUGAUUUACCUAGCAGGGAUAAGAAAUAUAAAGGUCAAGCCUUUUUUCUUCCUAUCAUAAAAAGAAUACUUUUAACUUGAAUAAAUAAAAAUAAUAUUUUAAAUCCUCAAGUAUAUAUUUGGAUUUCAUUAAAGAAUCUUCCUUUUCUUGUUUUAUUAUUUUUCAUAUUUCCAAAUAUAAUCUAAAGAAGAGUAGAGUUGCCAAUUCUCUUUAAACUAACUAUUAAGGGUAAAAUAAUCAAUAAAAAGUUCAAAGGAUUAGCGAGUGAGUAUUUGGUGUGAAUUAAAACUAUAUAGUUAACACACAAUCUUAUUAUCAUGGCUUUAUUUCUAAAUUGACUUCACAAAUAUAUACAUGCAGAUCCUUUUAUUCACUUGCCUUUAUACAUCCAUAUAUCUAUAGUUUAAUGUAAAAUGAAAACCAGAUUUUAUACCGGUUCAAAGGAGAAAUCCUUCUCUCGUGAGAACAUUGAACUCUUUCCAUGCCUAUAUUAUUAAUUAUAUAUAUAUAUAUACACGUACAGGUUUAACGUUUUACGAUUUAAGAUUCAUUUUAUACCUUCUUGUACAGUAGCAUAGUGCAUACUGAUAUCAUCAUAAUGAUGAUAAAAAGAAAAAAGAAAUAUUAUUAUUUCUAAUAAAUAUUUUUUAUAUAAAUUAUUAAUAUAGUCAAUCCAUUUCACAAUAAAAUAUAUUAAUACAAAAUUAAUAGAAAUGUUUCCUAUGCUUGAACUUCCUUGUCUUUUCUACACUAAUAGGUACUGGAAGAGGUGAACCUAGUAGGGGGUGUGAAAUUGUCUUAAAAUCACAGAGAUGUUUCCUAUGCUUAACUUUUCUUUUCCUUUGUAAACUAAUAGGUACAAGAAGAGGUGAACCUAGUAGUGGGUGUGAAGAAAGAAGUCGACAAGCUGAAAAGCAAUCUCCUUGAUAUCCAAUCUGUCCUUGAAGAUGCAGAUAGAAAACAAGUGAAGGAUAAGGCUGUAAGAGAUUGGGUAGACAAGCUCAAAGAUGCAUGUUAUGAUAUGGAUGACGUGCUAGAUGAAUGGAGCACUGCAAUUCUUAGAUGGAAAAUGGAGGAAGCUGAAGAAAAUACUCACAGCCGACAGAAGAUACGAUGUUCCUUCCUGAAAUCUCCUUGCUCUUGUCUCAAUCAAGUGGUUCGACGUCGCGACAUUGCCCUUAAGAUCAAAGAAGUUAGUGAAAAAGUGGAUGACAUUGCUAAAGAGAGAGCUAAGUAUGGCUUUGAUCUGUACAAAGCCACUGAUGAACUCCAGCGACUAACAACUACCUCCUUUGUUGAUGAAUCAAGCGUGAUUGGUCGAGAUGGUGAAAAGAGAAAUGUUGUAAGCAAGUUGCUGGCUGAAAGUAGUCAAGAAGCACGGGACGUGGAAGUCAUCUCUCUAGUAGGGCUGGGCGGAAUUGGAAAAACAACUCUCGCCCAGCUAGCUUUUAAUGAUUCUGAGGUUACGGCUCAUUUUGAGAAAAAGAUAUGGGUGUGUGUUUCAGAACCAUUUGAUGAGGUUAGAAUAGCCAAAGCUAUCCUUGAGCAGCUUGAAGGGAGACCAACGAAUCUGGUUGAAUUGCAAUCCCUUUUGCAAGGGGUUUCUGAAUCCAUCAAGGGAAAGAGGCUCCUUCUUGUCCUUGAUGAUGUCUGGACAGAAAAUCACGGACAAUGGGAAAAACUGAAACCAUCUCUCACAGGCUGUGCUCGAGGAAGCAGAAUUCUAGUGACCACUCGUAAGGACGCUGUGGCAACGAUGAUGGGAACUGACCACCGGAUCAACAUUGAGAAAUUGUCUGAUGAGAUAUGCAGGUCAAUAUUCAAUCACGUGGCAUUCCAGGAAAGAAGCAAAGAUGAGCGCGAAAGAUUGACAGAUAUCGGCGAUAAAAUUGCAAACAAGUGCAAGGGCUUGCCUCUAUGUAUGGACAGAAAAUCAUAGACAAUGGGAACAACUGAAACCAUCUCUCAAAGGCAGUGCACCAGGAAGCAGAAUUCUAGUGACCACUCGUAAACAUUCUGUGGCAACGAUGAUGGGAACUGACCACCUUUGCUUUUGAGUUACUACGAUUUACCUUCUGUGGUAAGACGAUGUUUCUUGUAUUGUGCCAUGUUUCCAAAAGACUACAAGAUGCGCAAAUAUGAAUUGGUGAAGAUGUGGAUGGCUCAAGGUUACCUCAAGGAGACUUCAGGUGGAGAUAUGGAGCUUGUUGGAGAGCAGUACUUUCAAGUCUUAGCAGCGCGCUCUUUCUUCCAAGAUCUUAAGGCGUAUCAAGAAGUUAUCAGAUUCAAGAUGCAUGAUAUAGUGCAUGAUUUUGCCCAAUAUAUGACAAAAAAUGAAUGUCUAACUGUGGAUGUCUAUACACUUGGAGAAGCAACAAUGGAGACUUCAAUUGAAAGGGUUCGUCAUUUAAGCAUGAUGCUGUCACAGGAGACCUCUUUUCCCAAGUUCAUUCAGAAAGCAAAAGGUCUUCGCAGCCUCUUGAUCGACACUUGAGACCCUUCACUUGGAGCUGCACUACCUGAUCUAUUCAAGCAGUUGACAUGCAUCAGGUCAUUGAAUUUGGCAAGGUCUCGAAUCAAAGAAAUACCAAACGAGGUAGGGAAAUUGAUACAUUUGAGACACCUCAAUCUGGCAUCUUGUAUGGUGUUGGAGUCCCUGCCAGAAACCAUGUGUGAUUUAUGCAAUCUGCAAUCCCUAGACGUUACUUGGUGUGGUUCUCUCAAGGAUUUGCCUAAUGCGAUUGGAAAACUUAUCAAAUUGAGGCAUCUCCGGAUUGAUGGUUCAGGUGUGGCCUUCAUACCAAAGGGAAUAGAGAGGAUAACAUGUCUUCGAACAUCAGAUAAGUUUCCUGUGUGUGGUGAUGGUGAGAAUGAAAAUAAAGCAGCUAAUCUAAGAAGAUUAAAAAACUUAAAUCACAUUGGAGGGAGUCUUGAGAUACAGAAUCUAAGAGGAGGUAUAGAAGAUGCAAGUGACGCUGCAGAAGCACAACUCAAGAAUAAGAAGCGCCUGCGUCGUUUGGAAUUGUAUUUCGACGAAGAGAAAACAGAGUUGCAAGCGAAUGAAGGCUCUUUAUUUGAAGCUUUACAGCCUCCGUCAGACUUGGAAUAUCUAGCCAUAGGGUUUUACGGAGGGCUGGAUUUGCCAAAUUGGAUGAUGACAUUAACCAGAUUACAGGAGCUUACACUCGAUGUUUGCAAAAACGUGGAGGUUUUGCCUCCGUUGGGGAGAUUGCCCAACCUUGAAAGCCUCCAAUUAAACGUAUUGUUGAAGGUGAGAAGGCUGGAUGGUGGAUUUUUAGGUAUAGAAAAAGAUGAGAAUGCCAGUAUUAAUGAAGGAGAAAUUGCAAGGGUCACUGCUUUCCCCAAAUUAAAAACACUCAACAUUUGGCAUCUCCAAAAAGUAGAAGAGUGGGAUGGAAUUGAAAGGAGAUCAGUGGGAGAAGAAGAUGCCAACACAACUUCAAUAAUAUCCAUUAUGCCACAGCUUCGACUGUUGAGAAUUUUCCUCUUUACUGUUUAUUGUUGACUUUGGAUUGUAUUUCCGACUUACCAUUUAUUGUGUCAUAUACCCCCCCCCCUCUCUCUCUCUCUCUCAACAUAUAUAAAAUAAUAUGUAAUUCAUAUGUAUAUAUUUAAAGAGUAGUUAAGACAGACAGGAAGAGGUAAUUUUUUAUUUAAUUAUUGAAUUAGACUUAAAUUUUACAUGUUAAAAAAAUUAAUCUAAGAUGAUAUUAUCUCGCUCACGUGAAGAUUAUUCCUUACUUAAAUUCUCCAGUGUAGGUCAAUGUUUUUGAUUCUUGACUUUGUUUUUGAUUUACUAAUUCUUGUUUUGUUAACCAAAACAUUUUACCAUUACUUCUUUUGAUAUAUUUAUUUUGUUCAGAGCGGCUUCCGAUUUGGUUCUGCGUUGUGAUUUACUUCUUUGAUUGUAUUAAUUAUUUAUUAUUGAAGUAAGAAGAAAGGAAUUGAAUUUAGAAUGCUAAGUAAGGCAUGGUGGCAGCUGAGGCACAGAGGUAGUAAUAUUAAUACAUUAGAACUAUAAUUUGUUGCUGCCCUUGGAAGGUAUUAGUGUCACUUCCAAUGCAUGGAAUAAUUUACCUGCUUUUUGGUUGAAAUUUGUAUAUUCUUUUUAUGUUAAGUUAGUGUUUCAAAACUAUAAAUUAUAUCUUGUAUUAAGACAAUUCAAUUAUAUUAUGAAGUUGAUUUUGUUAUUAAUACUGCGUUGAACUCUGAUUAAGUUAGGAUAAAUUGUGUAUAAGUUAGGGUUCACAUAGAUAUGAAACCUUGAAAGAAAAUCUUGUUUAUGUACCAGUCAUGGAUCCGGGAUCGUCAUAAAUUUGGUCAGAGACGUCGAAACAUUGCGACUCCAGUAACGUAACAAAGGGAACCAGUCCACCACAGGCUUCCGUCAUUACAUGUUCAAAAAUCUCAGAAAUAAUAUCAUUCAUCAGGUACAGAAAAGAACAUUAUGACCGGUAAGGUAGUUAUAAUUAACUAGAGAUGUAAGGACUCAGAAAUUUAUUACUGUGAAAAGAAGAAACAUUUACCAUCAUUCGAAUUACAGUUAGCCAUCUUUAGCAAGUAAAAAAAGCCAACCCCGUGUAAAGAUAGUUACUGCAACCUCCGAUUCAAUCUAAAUUUGGUGUUUCUUCAUCCUCAAUCUUUUCUGAAAAAUAAGAUAGUGUAUGAAAGAAAGAUUGUAUGACUUAAGAGAGAAGAAACAGGUAAUAUCAUCAUAAGCAUUGAAGUGGCUUCUAGAUGUGUUUUUUGUAAUAAAAGCUUCGAAUUUUCAAGCCACCUCUUCAUCCACUUUGCUUGGAAUCUAUGAAUGAAAUUCCUUACAAAUGGGGUAUUAGCAGUGUUUUCUCAAAAUCUGUUGAUGAUAUGUGUUACCAACGGUUUUCUAUGGUGAAAGGCAAUCAACAAAAUCUCUUAUGGCAGCUUCUCUUCUCCUGCGUUAUGUGGAAUUUUUGGCUUUAUCGGGAUGAUGUCAUCUUUAAUAGGGCUGCUCCAAAUCUUCAAAGCUGUUUUUCCUUGGUCUUCCGCAGUUUCUCAUUAUGGCUGAGACUCGAUACCAAUUCUUCAGACUCUGCUGGCGAGAUGUUCAUAACAGCUAUGAUGGCAUUGGUUUUGUAGAAAGGAGGCGCUGAUUUCAAUUGUUUUUUUCCUUUUCCCACACUGUUUUCCUUCCCCUGUUUCAAAACCUCUAAAGCUUGUUGGCUUCUUCUUUUUUAUUUUUUCAGCUAGAACUUCUGUAUGCUAGGCUAUUAUUUUUUUAGCCAUUUUCUUAUAGUACUCUCGAUUAUAAUAAUUAAAAAAAAAACAUCUGAAGUGGCUGAAUAAGCUUCGGUUCCAUCUCCAUCAGGUUUGAGUAACUCGGCCAACUCAGUCGAUUACUCUAGCAUUAUUUUGAGUCACCAGCUAGCUACAAGUCUUCAAGCUUUGAAAUGACUAGCUAGUGGCGUUCCACUAUGCCACCGGUAAGGAAAAGAAAUCUCUUUAAAUUCACCAAGGAACUUUGCUUUUAGACAGCAGUGGAGAUUUUAUUAAAAAAUUUGGCUAAAAUGAGAAUAGCCUAAUAAGAACCUAAAAAAAAAAAAAAAAACAACCGUAGAGAAGAUAAAAUAAAGAAGACAUAAAAGCACGGUAUCUACAAUAGGAAAAAGAAAACAGGGACCAGACAAUUGAUAAAAACUAGAAGUCAACAAAAAAAAUUAACAUCAUAUUUUACUAUCAUUACACUAUAUAUAUAAAAAAAAACAAUAUGUAAUGGCUCUUCAAAAUAUAUUUAUAAAAGAGAUCUUUAUAAAAGAGAUUAAAAGAUCCAAUUUAAUAAUUUGAUGAAAUUGAAAAUUAAAGAUUCAAUUCCUUACUGAAGAGCUGCUUUUAUUUCCUCUGCCAUUCCGAUUUUCUUUGAUUCUCAUUUAAUCCUUUUAUGGUCAUCAAAUCUUUCUCAUUACUUCAGGUAUAUAAGUACAUCACAUCAAUUUCAAUCUUUUAUUUUUUAUUUUUUAUAACAAGUUGUGAAUCAUAUCAAUUUCUUUUUUCAACCUACAAGUUGUGCUGAUCUCCCUUCACCACAGCCCUACAAAAACUAAUAGAAACAUGUUGACACACUAAAAUACAAGCUUCACUAGUAAAAAAAUACUACAAGUUGCAAGAACUCCACCGCAACGCCAAACCCUUUUGGGCUUGUUUGUUUCUGCGUUUCAAAAAUGCUUUUGACAAAAUUUAAAUUUUUUUUAUUUUUUUAUUAACUUUAAAUUAAUAUGUUUUUAGUGUUUUUAAAUCAUUUUGAUGUGCUGAUGUUAAAAAUAAUUUUUAAAAAAUAAAAAAACAUCUUUAGCAUGUAUUUUGACAUAAAAAACUAUUUAAAAAAUAACCGCAAUCACACUGAGAAACACAUAUAAACUAACUUCCAUUCACAAUCAGCCGCCUCCUUCCCUUCACCCUCUCUUUCUCUCUGCUCAUCCCAUCAUCAUUGCUUCUCUCUCUCUCUCUUUCCAAUCAGAACUAAACAGACGAUGGCUGAGGCACUUCUAUCUCCGAUCUUGCAGCAGUUAACCACGAUCGUUGCUCAACAGGUAUUUUUCUACCAUCUGCAAUAACCUGAUUUACCUAGCAGAGAUAAGAAAUAUAUAUGAAGUUCAAGCCUUUUUUCUUCCUAUCAUAAAAAUAAUACUUUUAACUUGAAUAAAUAAAAAUAAUAUUUUAAAUCCUCAAGUAUAUAUUUCGAUUUUAUUAAAGAAUCUUCUGUUUCUUGUUUUAUUAUUUUUCAUAAUUCCAAAAAUAACAUAAAGAAAAUAUAUCAUUCCAAAUAUAGGAAAACCGAAAAAGGCAAAACAAGAAUUGCCAAUUCUCUUUAAACUUAACCAUUAAGGGUAAAAUAAUCAAUAAAAAGUUCAAAGGAUUAGCGAGCGAGUAUUUGGUGUGAAUUAACACACAAUCUUAUUAUCAUGCCUUUAUUUCUAAAUUGACUUCACAAAUAUAUACAUCCAUCACUUGCCUAUAGUUUAAUGUAAAAUGAAAACCAGAUUUUAUGUCGGUUCAAAGGAGAAAUCCUUCUCUCGUGAGAACAUUGAACUCUUUCCAUACCUAUAUUAAUUAUAUAUAUAUAUAUAUAUAUACACGUACAGGUUUAACAUUUUACCAUUUAAGAUUCAUUUUAUACCCUCUUGUACAGUAGCAUAGUGCAGACUGAUAUCAUCAUCAUGAUGAUAAAAAGAAAAAAGAAAUAUUAUUAUUUCUAAUAAAUAUUUUUUAUAUAAAUUAUUAAUAUAGUCAAUCCAUUUCACAAUAAAAUAUAUUAAUACAAAAUAGAAAUGUUUCCUAUGCUUGAACUUCCUUGUCUUUUCUACACUAAUAGGUACAGGAAGAGGUGAACCAAGUAGGGGGUGUGAAAUUGUCUUGAAAUCACAGAAAUGUUUCCUAUGCUUAACGUUUCUUUUCCUUUGUACACUAAUAGGUACAAGAAGAGGUGAACCUAGUAGUGGGUGUGAAGAAACAAUGUGACAAGCUGAAAAGCAAUCUCCUUGAUAUCCAAUCUGUCCUUGAAGAUGCAGAUAGAAAACAAGUGAAGGAUAAGGCUGUAAGAGAUUGGGUAGACAAGCUCAAAGAUGCAUGUUAUGAUAUGGAUGACGUGCUAGAUGAAUGGAGCACUGCAAUUCUUAGAUGGAAAAUGGAGGAAGCUGAAGAAAAUACUCCCAGCCGACAGAAGAUACGGUGUUCCUUCCUGGGAUCUCCUUGCUUUUGUUUCAAUCAAGUGGUUCGACGUCGCGACAUUGCCCUGAAGAUCAAAGAAGUUAGUGAAAAAGUGGAUGACAUUGCCAAAGAGAGAGCUAAGUAUGGCUUUGAUCUGUACAAAGCCACUGAUGAACUCCAGCGACGACCAACAAGAACAAGUACCUCCUUUGUUGAUGAAUCAAGCGUGAUUGGUCGAGAUGGUGAAAAGAAAACUGUUUUAAGCAAGUUGGUGGGUGAAAGUAGUCAGGAAGCACGGGACGUUGAUGUCAUCUCUCUAGUAGGGCUGGGCGGAAUUGGAAAAACAACUCUCGCCCAACUAGCUUUUAAUGAUGCUGAGGUUACGGCUCAUUUUGAGAAAAAGAUAUGGGUGUGUGUUUCAGAACCAUUUGAUGAGGUUAGAAUAGCCAAAGCAAUCCUUGAGCAGCUUGAAGGGAGACCAACGAAUUUGGUUGAAUUGCAAUCCCUUUUGCAAGGGGUUUCUGAAUCCAUUACUGGAAAGAGGCUCCUUCUUGUCCUUGAUGAUGUCUGGACAGAAAAUCAUGAACAAUGGGAAAAACUGAAACCAUCUCUCACAGGCUGUGCACGAGGAAGCAGAAUUCUAGUGACCACUCGUAAGGACGGUGUGGCAACGAUGAUGGGAACUGACCACCGAAUCAACAUUGAGAAAUUGUCCGAUGAGAUAUGCAGGUCAAUAUUCAAUCAUGUGGCAUUCCAGGAAAGAAGCGAAGAUGAGCGCGAAAGAUUGACAGAUAUCGGCGACAAAAUUGCAAACAAGUGUAAGGGCUUGCCUCUAGCUGCCAAGGUAUUAGGAUGUCUAAUGCAGUCUAAAAGAACAAGAGAAGAGUGGGAACGUGUUUCAUCUAGCGAACUGUGGAGGCUAGAUGAGGUUGAUAGAGAUCAGGUUGAAAGACGAAUAUUUAUACCUUUGCUUUUGAGUUACUAUGAUUUACCUUCUGUGGUAAGACGAUGUUUCUUGUAUUGUGCCAUGUUUCCAAAAGACUACGAGAUGGGAAAAUAUGAAUUGGUGAAGAUGUGGAUAGCUCAAGGUUACCUCAAGGAGACUUCAGGUGGAGAUAUGGAGCUUGUAGGAGAGCAGUACUUUCAAGUCUUAGCAGCGCGCUCUUUCUUUCAAGAUUUUGAGACGUAUGGUCGAGAAGGUAUUAGAUUCAAGAUGCAUGAUAUAGUGCAUGAUUUUGCCCAAUAUAUGACAAAAAAUGAAUGUCUAACAGUGGAUGUCAAUACACUUGGAGGAGCAACAGUGGAGACUUCAAUUGAAAGGGUUCGUCAUUUAAGCAUGAUGCUGCCCAACGAGACCUCUUUUCCCGUGUCCAUUCACAAAGCAAAAGGUCUUCGCAGCCUCUUGAUCGACACUAGAGACCCUUCGCUUGGAGCUGCACUACCUGAUUUAUUCAAGCAGUUGACAUGCAUCAGGUCAUUGAAUUUGACAGGGUCUCAAAUCAAAGAAAUACCAAACGAGGUAGGGAAAUUGAUACAUUUGAGACACCUCAAUUUGGCAAGGUGUGUAGAGUUGGAGUCCCUGCCAGAAACCAUGUGUGAUUUAUGCAAUCUGCAAUCCCUAGACGUUACUUGGUGUCAGUCUCUCAAGGAAUUGCCCAAGGCGAUUGGAAAACUUAUCAAAUUGAGGCAUCUCCGGAUUGAUAGUUCAGGAGUGGCCUUCAUACCUAAGGGAAUAGAGAGGAUAACAUGUCUUCGAACAUUAGAUGUGUUUAAUGUGUGUGGUGGUGGUGAGAAUGAAAGUAAAGCAGCUAAUCUAAGAGAAUUAAAAAACUUAAAUCACAUUGGAGGGAGUCUUAGUAUACCGAAUCUAGGAGGAGGUAAAGAAGAUGCGAGUGACGCUGCAGAAGCACAACUCAAGAAUAAGAAGCGCCUGCUUAGUUUGGAAUUGGGUUUCGACAGAGAGAAAACAGAGUUGCAAGCGAAUGAAGGCUCUUUAAUUGAAGCUUUACAGCCUCCGUCAGACUUGAAAAAUCUAACCAUAACUAGGUACGGAGGGUUGGAUUUGCCAAAUUGGAUGAUGACAUUAACCAGAUUACAGGAACUGACACUCAUUGACUGUACAAACGUGGAGGUCUUGCGUCCGUUGGGUAGAUUGCCCAACCUUGAAGGCCUGGUAUUGAUGUUGUUGAAGGGGAGAAGGUUGGAUUUUGGAUUUUUAGGUAUAGAAAAAGAUGAGAAUGCCAGUAUUAAUGAAGGAGAGAUUGCAAGGGUCACUGCUUUCCCCAAAUUAAAAACACUUUGGAUUUUGAAUCUUGUAAAAGUAGAAGAGUGGGAAGGAAUUGAAAGGAGAGUGGGAGAAGAAGAUGCCAACACAACUUCAAUAAUAUCCAUUAUGCCACAGCUUCGACUGUUGAUGAUUGAUGGUUGCCCGUUGUUGAGAGCACUACCAGACUAUGUUUUGGCAGCGCCUCUACAGGAACUACGCAUAAUUAGAUGCCCCAAUCUAAGGAAACGUUACGGGAAGGAGGAGAUGGGUGAAGAUUGGCAAAAGAUUUCUCACAUCCCAAAGAUUUCUAUUAAAGAAUAGUUAAGACACCACUACGUACGGAAGUCUGUAGGACCGGCAGGAAGAGGUAUGUUUGAUAUACCUCUUUACUGUAUAUUGUUGACUUUGGAUUGUAUUUCCUACUUACCAUUUAUUCUAUCAAAUGCAGCAUAAAAUUACCUCUCUCUCACAUCCUCUCUCUCCCUCCCAACAUAUAUAAAAUAAUAUGUAAUUCAUAUGUUUAUAUUUAAAGAAUAGUUUAGACCGGCAGGAAGAGCUAAUUUUUUAUUUAAUUAUUGAAUUAUACUUAAAUUUCAAAGGUUGUUGCAAUUUAAGCUCUCUCUCUUAUUUUUUUCUCUCUCUCAUUUUCUUGUCAUUUUCGAAUGUACUAUGUUGUUGAUGGGUGCUUAGAUACUAUGUUGUUGAUUUUAUUAUUUGUUUUGGUGUUGUAGCGGCAAACGGUGUUGUUAUUGCAACUGAGAAGAAAUUGCCAUCUAUUUUAGUCGAUGAAUCUUCUGUAAGUAAACAUUUAUUAUUAUUUUUUUUGGUUUUGUUAUAUUCUUUGGUUGAAAUUCAAGUAACCCUUUUGUUUUUUUGCGUUUUCUUUAGUGACAUCGGUUGGUAGAAAUCUGUUCAAAUUCGGUGUAAAUUUGUAAUUUUUAUUAGUAAUUUGAGCCUAGUGAUUUGGGUUCUUGCCAAUGAGGCGUUACUAUACUAGUCAAUGACUCUUAAGAUUGGGACUUUGCAUGUUGGAGUGUGUAGAUUUAUAUCCUCUUUAAUCCCACAUUGUAUAAAAAGGUGGUGUUGGUUAUUUUAAAUCGUGUUGAAUGAGGUGGAGAUGGUUUGAUUUUGGAGCCAGUCGAUUGGUCUAUUAUUCUAAUUUGCAAGAUGGUAUAUAACUUGAGUUGGUUGUUGAUGGUAUUUAAUUGCUUCUUGUUUCAGGUUCAGAAAAUACAGAAUCUGACACCCAAUAUUAGAGUUGUCUACAGGUUUGUUUCUGCCUGCUUCUCAGUAAUUAGGAAUUUCCAUUUUUUUAGCUUGUGUUUCUCUGGCCUUAACUAUUGCUAAAAUAUCUGUCAUGAAUGAUUGUAGCAGGCGGGUGUGUAGAUUCAAAGCUCUCUUUAUGUUUGGUGGGAAAUUGUAUAGUUUCUGCUGUUGUUAUAGUGUCCUGAUAAGUGUGAAAUUUGACCCGGGGUGGUAAAUUGAGAUAGAAGCAUGCCUGCUUAUAAUCUGAACUUCAGUGGAACUCCUUGUAGGUCAAUGUUCUUAAUUGGUCUGGUUAUGGACUUGACUUUGACAUGCUGUACAUGUACGCUGUUUCUGAUUCAACCGAAAAAAAGAGGGGGACAAAUAUGUAGUUCCUUAGAAAAAUAAAAAUAAGGCAUUCCUCUGUACAUGGGUUUGAAAUAAGACAUCUUGGCAAUUUGGUUGCUCAAUGCAACUUGUGCAACUUAUUACCUAUGUCAAAAUGGGUUGCUUUGCUGUAAUUGUUUCUUGACAGUGCUGAAUCACAUGUAUUUUGUUGCAGUGGAAUGGGUCCUGACUUUCGAGUUUUGGUUCGGAAAAGUAGGAAGCAAGCAGAGCAAUAUCAUAGACUGUACAAGGUACCCAUCUUCAAGAUUUUCAAAAUCUGCUACAUCAGUCUUCAUCCUAUUCCACCAAUAACACACCUUAAGGUCUUUAUACAUCUUGGUGGAACCUGGAUGCAUUGUGUAAACUGUCUGAUGUGCCUCUACCAUCAAUUCUCUCCUCAGAUCAUCUACAUCAGGUACACAAAGCCUAUCCCUAUAUCUCAGCACAUCAUCAUCACCUAUCACAAAACCUGCAGCCUUACCCUGCUCAACCUCAUUUCUAAUCCCGAGUAGUGAAUCAUCUUUCUUCUGAGCUGCUUUUAUCUUAUCAAACAAAUCUGACUUAACCUGAAAAUGAGCAAUCAUUGCUCCAGCUUCACUAAGAUCAAAUCUGACUCCUUCAUCCACCAACUCAUGCAGCUCCCUAAUCAGAGGUCUUCGUACCUCCUGAAUAUGAGCUAAGCUCCCUGAUGAUUUUCUACUCAAAGCAUCGGCAACUACAUUUGCCUUACCCGGGUGGUAAUGUAUGGUACAAUCAUAAUCCUUCAGCAGUUCCAUCCAUCUCCUUUGCCUCAGGUUUAGAUCCCUUUGCUGAAAGAUAUAUUUCAAACUCUUGUGAUCUGUGAAGAUCUCACAAGUUUCACCAUACAAGUAGUGCCUCCAAAUCUUCAAGGCAAAAAUUACAACUGCCAUCUCUAAAUCAUGUGUAGGAUAGUUCUGUUCAUGCUUCUUCAACUGCCGUGAAGCAUAGGCAAUAACCUUGUCAUGCUGCAUUAGAACACAUCCUAACCCCACUCUCGAAGCAUCACAAUACACUGUGUAACCACCAGAACCUGAUGGUACUGCUAGAACAGGCGCUGUAGUCAAUCUCUCUUUCAACUCCAAGAAACUUUUCUCACAAGCUUCAGACCACUGAAACUUAACAUUUUUCUGCGUUAACUUAGUCAAUGGUGCAGAAAUUCGAGAAAAGUUCUCCACAAACCUCCGAUAGUAGCCGGCCAAACCUAAGAAACUUCUAAUCUCUGUCGCCGAAGUAGGUCUAAGCCACUGCUUAACUGCUUCAAUCUUUUGAGGAUCAACCUCAAUCCCAUUCCUUGACACUACAUGCCCAAUAAAUGCUACACUCUCCAACCAAAACUCACUCUUUGAGAACUUGCCAUACAACUGAUGUUCUCGCAGAGUUUGAAGCACCAUUCUCAAGUGCUGCUCAUGCUCCUCCCUAGACCUCGAAUACACCAAAAUAUCAUCAAUAAAAACUAUCACAAAUCGAUCAAUAAACUGGCCAAACACUCUAUUCAUCAAAUCCAUAAAAGCUGCUGGUGCAUUCGUCAACCCAAAAGACAUCACUAAGAACUCAUAAUGACCAUACCGAGUUCUAAAAGCUGUCUUCAAAAUGUCUGUCUCCCUAAUCCUCAACUGAUGAUACCCAGAUCGAAGAUCGAUCUUAGAAAAGAAUUGAGCUCCCUGCAACUGGUCAAACAAAUCAUCAAUGCGGGGGAGUGGGUAUCUAUUUCGAAUAGUCACCCGAUUCAGUUGCCUAUAAUCUAUACAUAACCUCAAUGACCCAUCUUUCUUCUUCACAAACAACACUGGGGCUCCCCAAGGGGACACACUUGGUCGGAUGAACUUUUUAUCCAACAAAUCCUGCAGUUGCUCCUUUAACUCCCUCAAUUCUGCUGGCGCCAUUCUAUAUGGUGCCAUUGAUAUUGGUUCAGUACCCGGAACCAAAUCAAUACAAAACUCAAUAUCCCUAUAUGGAGGCAAUCCAGGUAAGUCAUCGGGAAAGACAUCAAUAAACUCCCUAACUAUAGGGACUUGGUCUAAUUGAGGAACUUCUUUCUCUACAUCCACUAUAUAUGCUAGGUAGCACUGUACCCCUUUUCUAGCCAUUUUCCUCGAGAUAGCCGACAACAUAAUUGAUGGAGACCCAAUCUUAUCUCCUUGAAAUACCAACCCAACUUCUUCAUCUAGAUCAAAUAUUAUUUUCUUACCCCAACAAUUUACCGAAACCCUAUGCUUUGCCAACCAAUCCAUUCCCAAAAUCACAUCAAAAUCAACCAUAUCUAAGACAUUUAAGUCUCCCAUAAAAAUCUUAUCUCCAAUCUCUAUUUCACAAUCCAGAUACACAUACUUCACUAAUAUUAAUUCAUCUAAGGGAGUGGAGACUGAAAUGGGGGAUUUUAACAAGGUUGGUUGUUUAUCUAACCUCAUGGCAAAAUAUGGGGACAUAAAUGAAUGGGUUGCACCCGUAUCAAACAACACUUUUGCUUCAAAAGAGCAAACAGGAAGAAUACCUGAAACAACUGUGUUGGAUGCCUGAGCAUCCUGCUGAGUCAAGGCAAAAACUCUGGCAUGCCCCUGACCCUGCUGUAUCUGACCUCUAUCACCUGCACCCCGGCCUCUCUGACCACGGCCACCAAAACCUCUACCCCUAUGAGCCACAGACUGGCUCGUCGAUGGUGCCUGAAUAGGAUGCUGAACUGAAACAGAUAACCCCGAAGCUGACAACUGUCUCCUUGGGCACUCUCUGAUCUUAUGACCUAUCUGGCCACAACUAAAACAAGCCUCGGUCCUUCUGUAGCACUCUGCACUAGUAUGACUUCCUCCACAGUGCUGACAUGAAGAACUAUCACUAGGUGUAAUAAAUGAACUACGAGGUGCAGUCUGAACUAAACUCUGAGUACCACUACUGCCACUCUGACCGCCUGAGCCACUAACUGACGGUCUCUGUCUAAACCUCCUCUGAACCCAUGAGCCCUGACGACCACUUCGUCCCCUAGACGGACCUGCACUUAAUCCCUGUUGCCUAAAAGACUGACCCUCUUCUCUAGGCCUCUUAGACUGGCCUGCAGUCAUAUCCUCCAAUUCUCGCGCCUCUAUCAAUCUGGCGCUAUCAACAGCUAAAGAGUAUGAUGGAAACACCUGUGACACCAUCACCUUAUACAUAGAGGAUUUGAGUCCUCUAAUAAACCUCUUCACCCUUCACUCCUCAGUGGGUAGAAGAUGUUCUGCAUACCUAGACAGCUGAGUGAACUUCAGAUCAUACUCAUCCACUGUCAUGCUCCCCUGAGAUAGCCUCUCAAACUCAUAAAGUCGAGCAUCUCUGACGCUCUGAGGGAGAAACCUGUCUAAGAACAUGGAGCUAAACUCCUUCUAUAUCCACUGAGACUCUACUGGUCUUGCUCUUUUCCUAGACUCAAACCAAGAGAUUGCCACAUCUCCUUCCAACCUGAAUGAUGCCAAACUCACAGCUCGGUGGUCUGUACAUCCCAAAGCUUCACACCGUCGCCAAAUAUCAUCUAGGAACCUCUGAGGAUCCUCUGAACUAUCCAUCCCAGUAAAAAUAGGAGGUGCCAACUUCAUGAAGUCAUUCAACGGCACAUUAACUCCCUGAACAGUGUGGGAUGUCGAGGGUACAUCUCUAUCCCUCCUUCUAUCUCUCUCCAUAGAAAACUCUAUCCAGGUCCGCACAACCUGGCUAAGUUGCUGAAACUCUGUAACAGGUUCAGGGUCAGCUACCCCCACACCUGUUUCAUCAACAAUAUCUUCCUCUUCUAUCUCCUAAGGCUCUUCCUCCACUGGUGGAGGUACCUCCUCAACAUGUUGAGGCACGGGUGCACCGCGCCUCCUUCUCUGCCUUGCAGUUCUCAACCGCCCAAUAGGGACAUCAUCCUGAUCAUCCUCUACUCUAACAGUAUCAGCUAUUCGUCUAUUCCUCGACAUUUCCUAAAAUAAAAGUGAGAGCACUCAAGUCAUGCUAGAACAAUAGCAUGAUAAUUAUCACAGAAUUAUAGGAAAGCAUAUCUAUCACAAGGAAGAAGACAUGCUUGAUGAGAAUUCAGAAUUUCAAAGACAACAAACAAGACAAUACGGAUCUUAAUGCUCCACUUAUUAUGAAAUUAAUUAUAUUAUUGUUUCUUUAACCUAAAGCUCUGAUACCAAGUUUGUCACGACCCGAAUCCCGGAUCCAUGACCGGCACAUAGACAAGGUUCCCCUCCAAGGUUCCAUACCUAUGUGAACCCAAACUUACACACAAACUUAUCUUAACUCAAUCAGAGUUCAACGCAGCAUUAAUAACAAAAUCAACUUUAUAAUAUAACUGAAUUGUCUUAAUACAAGAGUUAAUAUAAUUCAUAGUUUUGGAGCACUAACUUGACAUAAAAGAAAAGUACAAAAUACAACCAAAGAGCAGGUUCUGAAGGUCCAACAAAAUGACCUGCUAUCAAGCUAUAAGCCUGAAAAGGAUAAAUAAUGAGAUGGUGAGUUCAACAACUCAGUGAGUAGAUAACGUUCAAUAUACACACACGAGGUAAUACAACAAUGAGAAAUAUAUAUAUACAAGUAUGGCUCUAGGUUCUUAUAGAAAGGUUUCUCAAAUAGGCCAUAACAAGAAUAUCAUAUGGUAAAGCUCGUCAGAAAAUCAAAAUGCAAUGAGCAUGAGGCUCCGUACUGUGGGAUGAUCAGUCCACACAGGUUGGUGACUCCCCCGACCAACUAGGGUUCAGAUACGAUGUGCACAAAGACUAACACUACCCUGUUAGCAUGGGUAUUUUGACUGACAUACCAUAGGUUCAUAAUCAUAUUCAAACAGACAUAUUCAUAUCUCAAGGCUCAACUCAUGACAUCAAUCAAAUGAGGAGCUAUCAAUUCAGAAGUCAAUCCCAAAUAUAUACUGGUUCAUAUCAAGAAUUCAGAUUCAACAAUUGAUCAUGUUUAAUCAAAACAAAGAUAAUAAUCAACAUAUAUAUUAUCAAGAAGCAUGAUCCAAUUCAUAUUAACAAAUCAAAUAUUUAUAAUAUUUCUCAUGCAUAUGGAAAAUUAUCCACUCACCUGACUCGAAAGCAACAAAACUCAAAGCUGAUAUCGAAGGAAAUCCUACUGACGUCCCGCCGGUAGAAUAUCAGGAUUAUCUGAAUAUAAAGGAGACAUAUUCAAGAACGACUCGAAAGAAUAUUUAACUUAUUUAAUACACUUAACUAAGGGUGUAUUCCAUAACCCUAUAUGUUUUUGAACUAACUAGUUAUCUUUCCUAAAAACCCAACAUUUAACGGUUUUCCCGAAAUCUAAUCCAUAAUAAAAACAACUAAUAAAAUUGAUAAUAAUUUACUAAAUAACCCUUAAUUAUUCAUCAAACCAAUCUGAAAAAGCUAAUAUUACAGCUAGGGACUAAUCUGUAAUUUAUCCUAUUUUUAAGGGUCAAAUUGCAACUUUUGUCUAAUUGGAGGACCAAACUGAAAUUUAUCAUAAAUCCAUGAAUAUACUGAAAUUCUGACCAUAACUAGUCCUCAUUUCUGUCCAGAUCAUCUCAUUAUACUCCAAGGACCAUUCUGGAAUUUUACCAAAUUUUUAGGGUCAAAUUGUAAUUUUUAUCAAAUUGGAGGACCAAAUUGAAAGUGUUAAAUUCUCUUAUCUAUACAAUAAUUCUGUCCAUAAUUCAUAUGUUAUUCUGUUCAGAUUCUCGGAAUAGGCUCCAGGGACCAAUCUGCAAAUUUUCCAAAGUUUGGGGACUAAACUGUAAUUUUCCAAAAUUGAGGGACCAAACCGAAAUUUUGUCAUCUUCAACCUCCAACCCAGAAUUUUUAACAGAAACCUACUGUUCUUGCCAAAUUUCUAACUCAACAUUCACCAUUUAGACAAUUCAUAACUCAAAAUUAUCACAAUCUUCCAUAAUCAACUCAUUAAUCAAUUACCCAUAACAAUCAACCUUAUAACAUUCAAUUUAAUUCAUCAAUUAAACCCAAAACACAAAUUUUCAAAACCCUAACAUUUAUCAAAACCAAAAUUAAAAGCUCAAUAAUACAAAUUUAUACAUUUAACAACCUAAAUCUUACCUUUUUACUUAUUUCCUCCAACUCCUUUCUAUUUCCUUUCUAAUUUCCCUCUUUUCUCUUCUUCUUCUUCUUUCUCCCUUCUCCCUUCUCUCUCACGGUUUUUCACUCAAAAUAUUCAGAUCUCUUCUUCUUCUUUUUCUUUCUAUUUAUAUUUCUUAUGUUUAUCUAAUUACUACAAUACCCUUAUUUAUUUAUACUCCAACUUUUAAGCCUACAAGGACUUUAUUGUAUUUUCCUACUCAUUUAUUCAAAACAUCACAUAAUGCUUGAUAACCUGGUUAAGAUAAUAUAUCUGGAAAGUAGUUAUUGAGGUUGUCUAUAUUACAAGACUUCUUGUUAGUUUUCUUAUUCCCAAUAAUACCAUUCUGACCCCCAAAACAGCUGAAUUUUGCUUGAAAUCCAAGAGUUAAAUAUCCGAUUACUAUUUUAUAUCAAUUCAUUGUCAUCUUUUGUUGUUAAUCGUGAAGGUUGUGACUUGUGAAUUUUUAUGAUUGUAGGAACCAAUUCCUGUCACACAACUUGUGAGGGAAACUGCUGCUGUCAUGCAAGAGUUUACUCAAUCUGGGUACUGGAACAUCUUUUAUACAUUCAAAGUGUUUCAGUGGUUUUAGUUGAUUUCCUUUGUAAUUUAGAUCUGAAUUUCAAUUUCCAAAGUUCAUAACCUUAGCCCUUAUUCUAAUAAGCCAACAACUCUCUCCCUAUGUUCCUGCAUCAGCAUGUCAACUCUUCAUGCUCUUAUUCUUGAAGUUUGAAAAUACUCAUCCUUUGUUUUUCCUCGCAGAGGUGUAAGGCCUUUUGGAGUAUCUUUGCUAGUCGCUGGUUUUGAUGACAAAGGUCCACAGCUGUACCAGGUGUCUUUGCUAGUCACUGUGUUAAUGUCUGAAGUCAUUAACUAUUUUUUUUUUAUCUGGAUUAUCCACUGCAGACUAUGUGGUAGCCUAGUAUUCUAGAAGCUGUAGGCCUUUGUGACUAUCAUGCACCCUUCUGUGUGCCCAGAGGGUUGAUAAGUUUUUGACCUUUUGUUUUCUUGGUUGAGAUUUGGAUGGAUUAUGACUCACUUGUGUUGCCUUUUUAAAAAUAUGUUAGACUCUUGCACUCAAAUCAUAGUUCUUCUGAUGAUGUUAUGUUUUGUAUUUGUUUGGCUAGGUUGAUCCAUCAGGUUCCUACUUCUCAUGGAAAGCCUCAGCAAUGGGGAAAAAUGUUUCAAAUGCAAAAACAUUUCUUGAGAAGAGGUAUUUAUUUGUUUUUGGUACCAUGAAAUGCAUUGAUUCUGCAAAAACUUCUAAACAUCUUCAUGGGUUCUCCUAGCUAGCAACAAAUGUGUUUCCACCUCCAGCCAUCAACUGCCAAACAUAUUCUUCAUUCAAAGAUCAAGCUACCUUCAAUUUUCAACUGCCAGUUUACUUUGUGCUACUCCCAUCGUUCUUUAUAUAAUUUAUUGUACUUCAUUCUCCCCAUCCAAGAAGAAUUGGAUUGUCUUUUUUUUUUUGAAAAAAAAAAGAAAAAAGAAAGUGAAAAAAAGAAUUGAAUGGACAGAAACAUGGUAAAUAUUUUGGUUUUUUGUCCACAUAUCUUCAUUUGAUUUGAACAACUUUUGUUUUCCCUAACUUAAUAUGUGCUCUGUAGAUACACUGAUGAUAUGGAGCUUGAUGAUGCUGUACACACCGCUAUCUUGACACUAAAAGAGGGGUACAUCACUUUAAAAUUUCCUCCACUUUUUAUUUUUGAAUUUGAGCAGUGGUGUUUUUUACAAGGUUUGGUAUAUAAAAAGUAGAAGAAAAAUUCAGUAGGUUUAAUAUACUUGCGCCAUGCACGAGCACCCGGUUCAUUACAUAAUUGAUUGAUAUACUUGUAAUUCAGCCAUUUAGGUAUUGCGAUUUUCUGCCACACAUACUGAGUAUCGUAGGUAAAAUGAAUUCUAAGUAACAGUAGUCUAGUUGGGGUCUUCAGCCUUGAGAACUUAAAUUGGCUCUCAACACUUCAGUUAGUAGUUCAGGAGAUUAAAUUAUGUGAGAUACUGUUUAAGUGAAAAUGAAUGAAAGUUUCUCAACCCAGUGUCAAUCAAAUGUACUUGCAGGUGCUUAAAGGUUCCUUUUCUUUCCUCUUAGUGAUUUUAAGUUGUUAAUUUGUCGAGUCUUGCUUCUAUAAUCAGAGUGAUGGUGGAUUAGUGAGCAUAAUCUUAGUAUUUGCAAAGUGGUCAAAGAGAGAUAUAAAUGAGCAUUUUAAAGUUUCUUACAAGUUCUGAGUGUGUCCCUUGUAACCUUACAAGAUUGUUUGUGUUUGCAGAUUUGAAGGGCAGAUUUCUGGGAAAAACAUUGAAAUUGGGAUAAUUGGUGCUGACAAGCAAUUCAGGCAUGCUCUUUCUUGACCUUUUUCCUUAUUAAACUUGGUAAUAGUGUCACGUAAUUUCAAGCUUAGGAUGAGUUCCAGAAGUAACUUGCAGGAUGCACAUUUUUGUUAACACAGUUCAUAACUAGAUAAAAUCUGAUAUCUAAAAUCUUUUGGAUCUCACCAAUUUCAUAUAUGGCCUUCCACUUGUGGUUUCAAUUUUGAAGUUCUGAUUUUCACGCACUCUUGCUCUAGUUUCAGUCUGACAAUUUACACAUGAGACUCGUGUUCAAAAUGGCCAAUCCACUCUUUCUUUGAAUGUUUAAGCUUCCUUGGAAGAAGUUAUGUGUGGCAUGACCAUGGCAAUCUUAUCCCUUGUGCUUUCUUUACUGCAGGGUACUAACUCCAGCCGAAAUUGAUGAUUAUUUGGCUGAAGUGGAAUAGACAUUGUAUUUUUUGGCUAAAGUGGAGUUCUUCCCUGUAUUGACACCAAUCGAGAUACAUGUGUUACUUUCCUCUGGAAUUGCUUGAAUCAGUUGCUUUUAGCCGAAGUUUCUAUUAAUUCCAAGUUUUCAGAACUGUAAUGUGGAAAUGUUAUAGGACUUCUCUCCAAUCUUAGAUGGCUUCUAAAGUUUUGCAUCAAUAUGAUUUCCUAUAGGAUACGUUUGACAGAGUGCAGAAAAUUGGUCUUUUCAAUUAUAUCUAUCUCCUCUCAAUGCUUGACCUGUAAUAUGCCCGUUCUUAUUUAAUUCCAAUGGAGCUUCGAAGAGGGAAAGAGAGGGGCCAUGGAAUAUGGAUAUCGAAUUGCAACUCAAUUGACACUUCAGAGCCUCGUCUUUGCAACAAGUCUCAUGCUGGAGUUUUUGCUGUUAAAUUAUACUAAUAAUAAUGACAAUAAUUUGUCCAUUGUGUUUAAACAAAUUAACCUUGGUCUAUUUUUUUUAUGAAAAAUAAACUUUUUUAGAAUUGAUUAUUCUAGCUAUCAGCUACCGUCACAAUAUAGAACCCCAUGCAACCUCAAAGACACCACGAGGCUACAAGAAUGCUAUUGUUUGACUCCUUAAGUUCGUUAGAGAUAUUUUGAGGCUUUUGUCCCUUAGUAAACAGAGAAAAACAUAAGCUACUUUUGUCUGGCAGUGCUGGUCUUCACCCACGUAGUCCAUUAUCCAAGAAAACACUCUUCACAUAUCUUCUUGCUUGCUGAAUGUUUACAGCUACCCAACUCCAAACUCCUCUUUUAUGCUUUCAUGUAAGUCGUAUCCUUCCUUCCUUCCUCUCUUUCUCCUCUUGCUGGAUAACAUUGCUUGUUCAAGGAAUUUCUUGUACUGGGAAAUGGGUUUCAAUGGAAUUGCUAAGUAUCAACGUUCACUUGACAGAGGAUGUCUAAAUUGUUUUGUGUUCUUGUUAGUUAAAACAUUUUCGCAUUUUGUUGGCUCUCAUAUGUAUUGAACGAGCAAUCAUCAUUAUCUGAAAAGUCUUACUGUGAAUUCAGAAAUUAUAAGAUGAAGGACCAGUUUUAGCUGUCAAAGUGCUAGGCUUAUCGUUGUUGAACUCUAACCAGUCUUCAACAGUUGUGGCCUUGUUUAUCUUGCAAAUUUUGAUUUUUGUAGUUUAAUCAGAUAGUUUAGACUAAUAUUUGAUUCUGUAAUGAAAAUACAACCUAUACUCACAGCAAUUAAGAAUUAUUGCGAAAGAAAGAGAGAAGAUAUUUGGUUUAGAAAGGGAAAGUUGACAACUUUUCUUCUUCUUUUUUAACUGUGUAUUCUGGUUUGCAUUUCAGGUGUUUGCUAUUGUGAUUAAAAGUAGUUUUAGUGUCUCUCUUUGUCCAAUUAUUUUGCAUUCCAAAGCAUCCUUUGCAUGGAUUUUAUUUGGUUGCUUCCUCUGUGUAAUGGCUUUAAAUUAAGAGGUGUGUAUGUUUGUUGCUGGCAAUUGUGUGUUUACUUGAUUAGUUUUUGCAGGUUGCUUGUUAGAUGCACACUGAAUCAUAUUUUUAUAGAAUCAAGUAUCCGGAAUGGUCAUUUCAGACGCAGAGAAAAGAAUUCCAGUAGUGGAGAUGUUAAAAAGUCGAAAAGCGACAGGGUCUAUAUCGACAAACAUGGCAAAUGGCGAAUCUUUGAUCACAAAAAGAUGUCCAGGAAACGAUGUAAUACGGAGUAAUUCACUUCGUGCUCCUACAUAUAACUGCUGAAGCAAAUAUGGCUUUAAUUAUUAAGUCGUCUUUUUUACCUAGGUGGCUCUUUGAGGGGACAAGGAUGGAAAUAUGGAUCUGGAUUUGUUGAUGGAAUUUUCCCAGUGCUAGGUCCUGUUGCUCAUCAGAUUCUGAACUUUGUGCGGAAAGAAGUGGAUCCGAAUAAUGUUUGGGCUGCUCUUGACACUCUUCCUGUCACUCACGAGACUUGGGAUGAUCUUAUUAAUGUAGCCGUCCAACUUCGUUUGAAUAAACAAUGGGAUCCGAUUGCUUUGGUGAGUAAAUCGUGCCUCAAUUCUUUCAUCGUGUAAGGUGGUAGGCGAUGGAUUAAACCACAUUGCACGCAAAUAUUUUUGUGGCAGGAUGUUUGCAUAGUAUUUUUCUCUUCAAUCAUUAAGACUGAACCCUCGAUUGUUCAAAUCUCCUUUAAGUGGUUGGUGCUGCAGUUGGUGUUCGGAAUUUUCAUAUACCAGCAUUUUCCUCCAACUGAAUGAAACAAAUCUCUUUACUGUCUCUAUUUAUUAUAUCGACAUUUUUAAUAUCGUGUGUUCUUAAUUCUUAAUAAUCUUGUUGGGUGUAACUCUAAAAUUUCCAGAUAUGUCAAUGGAUACUGUACAAGAGCUCCUUCCAGACAGAUGUCAUGUGCUACAAUUUACUAAUAGAUGCUUAUGGGCAAAAAUCUUUGUACAAGAAGGCAGAAGAGACAUAUGUUGAUCUUCUUCAAGCCAGGUGUAUCCCUACUGAAGACACCUAUGCCCUCCUUAUAAAGGCUUACUGUGCAUGUGGAUUGUUAGAAAAGGCUGAAGCUGCCUUUGUUGAUAUGCGAAAGUAUGGCCUUCCUCCAAGUAUGUGUUUACCAAUUCAUUUCUUCUUAGCUUUUAGGGAAAUUGCAUUUUCAAGAAGUUCUUGGACUACAUCAACUAUUUCUUAUAAAACAAAAUUUCCUCAACCUGUAAGAUUCUUUGCCUCAAAAAUUGAUUUUUUGUGGGGUUAAAUUCGUUUUAAAUUUUGAAACCUUGCUCAAUAAUUGCACAGGGCUGUAUUUCUUUUUUCUUUUCGGGGGUGAAGUAUACUAAACGUAGGACAAGAGAAGGUGGGCUCAUGGUCUGCAUAUUUCUUGUUGCUGCUAUACUAGUAGUGAUUACUACUCCUUAUCUACAUCACCAUGCUUAGAGAAUGGUUGAUUAAACCAAGAGGGACCCCUUACUAAUUUAGCUAAACCGGAACUGGAUUAGGCUAGAGGCUCCUGGAUGACAAACUUGCUUCUGUAGCUUUCCUUUAUGAGAUUGCGUGGGUUAUUUCUCUUCUUUUUGUGGUGGUGAAAUACAGGGCAUUAGUUCUGCUUUUGUGUUUCGUUCUCUUAUUUACACAUCUCAGAUUUUCAUUUUUCAAGCUGUUCUGUUGAUACACUUGCAUGCACAUUCAAGGAAGUGAAAAGUGAGCGUAUACUCCAAUUUUGGCCAGGUGAAAUUGUAUACAAUGCUUAUAUUGAUGGGUUAAUGAAGGCUGGAAACCCUCAAAGAGCAAUUGAGAUCUUUCAGCGAAUGAAAAAUGAUGGCUGCCAGCCCUCUACUGACACCUAUACACUGUUGAUCAACCUUCAUGGGAAGGUACGCUCAGUGGUAUUUGGUUCUGAAUUAUUCUGCAAAUCUGAUCUUCUUGAAAUGCCACUGGUCCCAGUAGAAAAUUAUUUGUAACUCGUACGUCUACAAGUCUACAGUGAUACAACAAACAACUUGAAAUAUAUGCAUUUAAUUUCAAACAAUUACCAGACUAAAUUCAAAGAUAUGGUUAUUAAUUCUGAUAACCCUGUACAACAGUGGUGUUUAGGAUCCUUAAAAACUCAUUUUGCUAAUCUUUUUCCUGUACACAGGCAAGUCAAUCUUACAUGGCCUUGAAGUUGUUUAACGAAAUGAGAAGUCAAAAAUGCAGACCAGAUAUCUGCACAUACACAGCUCUGGUGAACGCGUUUGCUAGAGAGGGACUCUGUGAGAAGGCAGAAGAAAUAUUUGAGCAGAUGCAACAAGAUAAGCUUGAGCCUGAUGUGUAUACUUACAACGCGCUCAUGGAAGCUUACAGGUUAGUAUCAUAGAAUGAUAUGGUGUUUCAAUAAUCUUUCAAAGAAAAUGGAAAAGAAUACUGGAGGUGCUGCUUCUUGCUUCCUAGAGAUUCCCAAUAGAACUGAUGAUAUUUAACUAUCUUGUCCUCACAGUCGUGCAGGUUUUCCUUACGGGGCUGCAGAAAUAUUUUCACUCAUGCGGCACAUGGGCUGUGAGCCGGAUAGAGCUUCAUUUAACAUCAUGGUAGAUGCGUAUGGGAGAGCUGGCCUUCAUGAGGGUAAGAUGCUUGAACCAAAUAGUAUCAAUGUACUUUAUUAAGUGAGAAUUGGAAAAAGAUUAAGCUCCAGAGAAUUUGGGAACAGUUUGAGCAUGUAAUGGUUUAAAAACGUUCCGAUCAACUAUACGAACUUGAAGGGAUCUAUAUUGCAACAUUUGGAUUAUAUUUUGGAACAGUGUUCAAUUUUAUUCUGGAGAUCUGCCAUAAUCUUUCUAGGAUUUCCUAGGAAACAAGAUAAAGUUGUAUGAGAUAUUAUCAGGCUAUCAGCAUUUCAUCCGUUUGCGACACCUUUCCUACUUGGAAGAAGUUCCUCUUGUUUUUCGUAUAUGCUCCUCGUAAUUUUGGCUUAAUGAUUUGGCUGCUCCUAUUUGCUUUUUAGAUGCUCAAGCGGUAUUCAAUGAGAUGAAGCGACUAGGAAUAACCCCUACAAUGAAAUCACACAUGCUACUUCUCUGUGCCUACUCAAGAGCAAGAAAUGUGGAUAAAUGCGAAGAAAUUGUUAACCAGAUGAGCGAAUCUGGGCUUGAACCAGACACGUUUGUCCUCAACAGCAUGAUGCACUUGUAUGGCCGCCUGGGCCAAUUUGAAAAGAUGGAGGAAGUUCUAACUGCAAUGGAAAAGGGACCUUAUGGAGCUGAUAUCAGUACAUACAACAUCUUAAUCAACAUAUAUGGACGAGCAGGAUUUUUCGAGAGAAUGGAAGGUAUUUUCCAAUCACUUCCAACCAAAAAUCUGAAACCUGAUGUUGUGACUUGGACUUCAAGAUUGGGAGCCUACUCAAGAAAGAAACUAUACGCAAGAUGCUUGGAAAUCUUUGAAGAAAUGAUUGAUGCUGGAUGUCACCCUGAUGGAGGAACUGCCAAUACUUCUAUCAGCAUGCUCAAGCGAAGAUCAAAUUGAACAGGUUACCACUGUAAUCAGAACAAUGCAUAAGGGCAUGGAGGCUGCUCUUCCUGCAUGAUUAAUGUGUAACAGUCCGGCAGCGCAUAAAGGAGCAAGACCAAGUUGAAGCCGGGGAAGAAAUGAGAGAGGCAUGUUGGAGAAGACUUACCUGCAGCAAAAAGAUAAGGUGAGCACGUGUAUGGUCAAGAUUGGACAAGAAGCACUUACGUGGAGGGCUGAGAUGAAGAAGCUCAUGCGGCUGACAGCUGACAAGGGAGUAAGUUCAAAGGCAAACGACACCGUUUGGGAGAAGAAAAAGAAUCCAAAUACAACACAGAUAAAUAAAACAGCUGUCAAUUCUAUCUGUUAUUCUUAAUUCCCAACUAACCGAGAAUUAUAAUAGAAGGGGGAGGAAGGGGCUGCAGAUAGGCAGGAAAUUGCUUUGAAGCAAAUCUCAUUCACCUAGGAGGCCCGGGCUACCUCGAAGCUGCCCAUAAAUCUAGAUUAGGGUUUAUCAACAUUGCAUUGUUCUUUCAAUUCGAGUUCUUUAAGAUAUUUCAUUUCAGUUGUUAUUUCAAUUUCCCCAGUUUUCUUUUUUUUUAAACCUGUAAGGCUCAGGUCUAAGAAAAGCUAUAAUAAGAAUUCCAGUAUUUUUCCCUUACUUACCAAGUUCAUUACAAGUGGUAUCAGAGCCACGAUUCUCGGAUGGCUGAAGGAACAAGAGUUUCACAACUGAUAGAAACAAUAUCAGGGAUGAAACAACAACAGGAGACGCAACAAUAAAACCAACAGAAUCAGCAGCAAAUAUUGGAAGACAUAGUUCAGCAAUUAAGAAACAUGUCUACCAGGAUGGAUCAGAUGGCUAAGGCCCAUGGGCUUCCCCCCAAUUCUCCCACUAGGUCAGUCAAUGGAAAUACAAGGCAUGAAGUAGUACCACAAGAAGGAAUUCAGCAGGUUCAACUCAAGUCAAUCAGAUUGGAGUUUCCCUGGUUCAAUGGAGAUGAUCCUAUUGGUUGGGUAUAUAAAGCCAAUCAAUAUUUUAACUUUCACAACACUCCAGCUCAACACAGAUUGUUUAUAGCCAGUUUUCACAUGGAAGGAAAGGCCAUAACAUGGUAUUAGGAACUAGAAGAAACCAGAAUUCUCACCAGUUGGGAGGCCUUCGUUAAGGCCCUCCAAAUUCGAUUUGGAACCUCAUCUUAUGAUGACCCCAUGGAGGCCCUCAUAAAUAUCAAACAGACAUCAACAAUAGAGCUCUACAAAACCCAAUUCGAAAUGCUUUCGAACCGGGUCAGAGGGCUGUCUGACUCUCACAGGCUCAGCUGCUUCCUAGGUGGAUUGAAGGAGGAGAUAAGAAUGGGAGUACGAAUGCUAAACCCUCAAAAUUUAGUGGCUGCUUAUGAAUUAGCAAGGAUGCAGGAGGAAAAUCUGAUAAUCAUGAGGAAAUCAUGGAGACCUAGUUUUAUGGGGUUUCAAGGCCGAAACCCAACACCAACUCAGCCCAGGGUUGAAAAUAAACCAGUUCUAGUACAGAGACUCACCCCUCCAUAGAUGAAGGAAAAAAGAGACAAGGGGCUUUGCUUUAAACGUGACAAUAAGUGGGGACCUGGCUAUAGGUGUGGAGGACCCAAGAUAUUCUUGAUAGAGGAAUUAGAGGAGGAGAUGAAGGAUAAAAAUUUUGUUCCUGAAGACCUGAUUGAUUUAGGAGACCCUCAGGAAGAAGGCAAGGAGGGAGUCGACAUAUCCCUCCAUGCAAUCAUUGGAAGUCCAAAUCCUAAAACUAUGAGCGUGUUAGUUAAGCUAAGUGGCCAUAAUUUCGUGGCCUUAAUUGACACAGGAAGUACACAUAAUUUCAUACAUCCAAGGGUAGCAAGAAGAGUAGGGAUGAAGGUUUUAAAACACAAGCCUAUUGGGGUGAACAUUGCAGAUGGUUCCAAGCUGUAGAGUGAGGGAAGCUGCUCAGAUAUCAAACUGAUGAUUCAAAGAGAUCAGUUUGUCACUCGGGCUUAUGUCAUACAGCUGGGAGGAUGCGAUAUGGUGUUAGGAAUCCAGUGGCUCAAAAGUUUAAGGCCUAUUCUCUGGGACUUUUCAGCCUUAAAAAUGGAAUUCCAAAAGGAGGGGAAGAGGGUCUUGAUUUGUGGAAUGGGAGUGGAGAAAUCAGAAGUAGACUGCAGCCCAACCUUUUUACAAGAAUUGAGAAGAGUCGAAGAAGGACUGAUUUUGCAAAUUUAGGAGCUGGGAUCAGUCUAGAAUAAAAUUCCAGAACAGAUUGAGAAUCUGUUGCUAGAAUUCAUGGAAGUUUUUCAAGAGCCAAAAUGAAUCCCACCUAGCAGAUCACAUGAUCACUCUAUACUGUUGAAAGAAGGUACCUCCCCAAUAAGUGUACGUCCUUACAGGUACCCCUACUACCAAAAAUCUGAGAUAGAAAAACUAAUUAAGGAGUUGUUGGUAAUGGGUACUAUAAGACUCAGCCAAAGCCCUUUUUCAUCGCCAGUCCUACUAGUUAGGAAGGCUGAUGGGUCAUGGAGAAUGUGUGUGGACUAUCGUGCCCUCAACAAGGAAACUGUGAAAGACAAGUUUCCCAUACCAGUUGUGGAAGAAUUAUUAGAUGAACUACAUGGUUCUCAAAAUUUUUCCAAGUUAGACCUCCGAUCAGGCUUCCACCAGAUCGGAAUGAAGGAAGAAGAUGUCCCCAAAACAGCCUUUAGAACUCAUAAAGGGCACUAUGAAUUUCUGGUGAUGCCUUUCGGCCUCACAAAUGCCCCUUUCACUUUUCAAGGAUUGAUGAAUGAUAUUUUUCGACCCUAGUUUUAACAUGAAUAGGGUUUUUUUAUAUAAUUUAUGAUAUAAAGACAAAAAGAAUUCAAGGAGAGGAUUUUCCAUGAAUAUGUAAAAUAUGUAAUUGGAUUGAAAUCUUAUCAUAGAGCAAUAUCUUAGACACUUUCUAUGGAAAAUAUGUAAAGGUGCCCAUCAAAACAUUUUCCAAGAAAAAAUAAUACAGUAAUUAUUUUUAUUGUUAUUGUUGUUGUUAUUAUUAUUAUUAUUUUAUGCUCGUAUAUACGAUUAGGAAGUUUUAACAAAGAAAACCGAAAAAGGCAAAACAAGAGUUGCCAAUUCUCUUUAAACUGAAAUAUUAAGGGUAAAAUAAUCAAUAAAAAGUUGAAAAGGAUUAGCGAGUGAGUAUUUGGUGUGAAUUCAUUUACUUGCACCACCUCACCAAGGCCUGGACAAACAGCCACUCCGAGGAUCCAUGUCGUUUAUUCAAUGCGCUUAAUCUUGUGUGUGUGAGUGUCUAUAGUGUUUUCAGUGCCUCUGCUUAUUUAUAUUUUUCAACGGAAGUGUCUCUAAUUUUAAUUUUUCUAUUUUAUUUCUUGUACUUCCAUUACUUUUUAUAUAUAUUUAAUCGCUGUUUUUAUUUUUUAAUUGAUGGUUGUAUCUAUAUUUUUCACCAUUAGAUGUCUAUGUUUUACAGUUAUUAAUGACAUGUAUAUUAAUGGGCAUGUAUCAUCCUUGUUAUGGAAUUCAUCAUUCAUAAAAUCUAAGAUAAAAGAAAACCAAAAUUUAAAAAUACAUGGAAGGAGAAAAAAGAAUUAUUAUUUUUUCAUCAUGAAACAAUGACUUCGUAUGUAUAGUAAGCAGCGGAGUGAGGAAUUGUAGUUUGGGAAUGUCGAAUUAGAUAAAAGAUUUUAGAGGGAGGGCCAAAAUUUUAAAUUUUCUAUUUUUAAAGAUAAAAAUCUGAUUUAUUGAAGAAAAAAAACACCUUGCAGGACCCUGCCCCUGCCAGCCCCUGUAAUUCCUCCAUGUUCGUGUGGCUCUUGAACAGUGUUGGUGGUGCGUGGAAUAUCACUCCAUGGCCAAGGCACAAUCAACGGUGGCCCCUCUUACAACGACACGGACGGCGAAAACGAUCGCUUGCAUGUCCAAAGGUUCACCUCUUGGGAUAUUUGUGUUGAUCGCUACAUUACCAAAAUAGCUUCUCCAUUUCUUCAUGAGAGCACCGCACACAAAUCCAGUCUUGAAAAUAGCAUGCCGUGGAUAAAUUAGAGGGAAGGUAUUUAGUAAUUUGGAGUGGAGAUAGAAACAAAAAUUGUUGAGAGGGAAGGAUCGAUGGAGCAUUGAGUGGGAGAGGGAGAGAGAAGAGUAGAUUAAGCGAUAAGGGGAUUGGCGUCUACAUGUCCCUGUCCGAUCUUUGAGCCCCAUGUGAAGCAGAGGCCAUUCUCGACGUUUUCCUUCUGUUGGCUAUUUUCUCUUAGUGCCAACAAUUGAGUCUCGACGGAAUCGUCGAUCUCUUCUUUCCUAUCUUACACGUUUGAAGGGUAGACAAUUCAAUGUACUAAACAUGAGAAUUUCAACCAUGUUGCUUGCUUUCAGAUCUUCUACAUCACAACCUUGUUUAUACAGGGGACAUGAACGCUAGCUAUUAUUAUAAAAAAAAAAUUCCAAAAUCUCAACCUGAUACCGCAAAAGGCCAUCAUCUGUAUCUAGAUAUACACUAGUUAUUUAACAUGCAAUUCGCACCGGGUUGCAUAAUUAUUAUUUGCAAUUACCAUCCUAGUGAAGAUCAAGCAACUGUUUUCUGCAAAUUCACAAGAAGAAAUUUAGCACCAAAUAUUAUCAUUAUCCGCGCAAAUAAAACCUCAGUUUCAGUGGAUUAAGUCCAAAUAAAUGAGAGAAUGGUAGACUUGGAAGCUAAACCAUUCAUCUAAAAGAGAUGAUACCCAUCGAUUUUGUGGAUUAAAUCCAAAUAAAGUUAUCAAAACCCAGCACAAAAAAUCUUCAACAAUAAAUAUGAUUUCUGCUAGUGAAAGGCAAGCCACCUGGACCUGGUGCCUGUGCUUUCUAAAUGCCAUCACAGCCCCAUUCAAAGAACUUCCAGACAGAGGAUUCUUCAGACCAAUAGAUUUACUAACGGAAGACAAUAAAUUCAAACUGUGAUAUCAGAAUCAAUGUAGAUACCUCCAUAUUUGCAUAAUCCAACAUAAAAAGGACAACUUUUAUGUUUUGGCAGCGCCUCUACAGGAAUUAUACAUAAGUGGUUGCCCCAUUCUAAGGAAACGUUACGGUAAGGAGGAGAUGGGUGAAGGUUGGCAAAAGAUUUCUCACAUCCCUGACAUUUAUUUUGAUGAUAUAUUAUUAUAUGUGAGAAAGACAGAACUCUUUAAUUAGAACCGGCAGGAGCAUGUAAAUUCUUCUACCAGUGUUAAUUCUUAACGGUAUAAUAUUUUACUAUAUUUUAACAAUCCAUUUUAAUUAAUUAUGUAAGUCAUAGUUAGGUCACUGGGAUUUUUGUCAUUCAGAAAAUGGAAUGCUCAUUUUAACAUCUACCAUUCAUUGGGUUGAUUUGGUUAUGACACGUUUGCUUUUGGUCUGUGUUUGACAGCUUGGGCUUAGAAGAUACUGAAGAGCUACUUCAGAGUGGCUUCCGAUUUACUUUGUGCAUUUGAAGAUUUUCCCUUAAUAUUUUUGGAAUCAAAUCGAAGGGCAUUCUGGUAUAAUCAAAUGGAGGAUUUCAUUCAGUGUUGUAUUAAGCACCGUAUGUUUCAUACACCUCCUUACUGUAAUUGGAUUGAAAUCAUUUGUAAUCUAUUGUUGACUUGGAUUUUAUUUCCUACUUCCCAUUUAUUCUCACAUCCUCUCUCUCUCUCUCUCUGUUUUUUAUUCUUUUUUAAUUAUUGUGCACCCCAAACUAGAUUACCUUGUGUACCCCAAACUACAUUACCUCUUAAGGAAUUAUUGUUAACCCCAACUUACAUGUAAAUGUGCAAUCGUUGAUGGAUCUCGAGUUGGCGGAAUCUCUUUAAUGAUUUAGUUCUUAAAAAUAGCUAUUCUUCCGUAAAUGGUGUUCAUAAAUAUGUCCAUGACAUAAAAAAAAAAAGAAAAAGGAUAUUAACUAAUACAUGGUUUCUAUUUCAAGAGCCAUCAUUAAAAGUACAAAAUUCUGAUUGCCAAAUUCUUCUCUACCAAAUAAAAGUUUGAUUAAAUUGAAUUGAAUAUAUAGCACAAUUGAAUAGCAUCAAAUACUCAAUGGAUCAGCUAAAAAAAACAAAUUACCAAAACAUAGAUUCUAAACAUAAUAACAAUUUGAAAUGGUAGAGGAUAUUCAGUCGACUUGUGUAUUUAGCAUCGUACACCUUAUGCCCUAGAGUAGUAUUAGGAUGAGUUCUCUUCUUGAAAAUAUUGUGCACCCUAAUCCCACAUGGAAGUGUGUGAUCAACCCCAUGAGAAUCAUUAUACAUCCCAACUCACAUGCAAAUGUACAAUUCCUUGUGGACCUCGGGUUGUGGGCUCUUCCCUAUGAUUUGGUUCGUGGGAGUGGCUAAUUGUUUACGUAUCCAAGAAUAUAUAUGCGAUCUAAAAAAAUAUAAAAAAGGGGAUAUUAACUGAUACAUGGUUUCCAGUUCAAGAGCCAUCAUCAAAAUUACAAGAUUCUUAUUGCCAAAUUCUUCUCAACCAAAUAAAAGUUUCAUUAAAUUGAAUUGAAUAGCAUCAAAUAUUCAAUGGAUCAGCUAAAUAAAAGGUACUGUUUGUAAAAACAAAUUUAAUAUAUCUCAAAAUUAAGCAGAUUAUUUUGGUAAUUAAAAUAAGAACUUCAAAAAAUAUAAUAAAGAAAUGAAUUAAUAUGGCCUGACGUAGUUAAAACAUAUCGGUAGACUCGAGUAACUUGUUUAAAUAUUAUUGGUUUUUUUUUUGAAAAAAUAAUUUUGGUCAAAACGAUGUUAUUUUAAAUUUUUUUAUAAAAAAAUUAGAUUAACUUGGGUUAACCCUCCUAUAUUAUACCUAAUUCUUGACCCGGGACGUUGAACCUCAAGUAAAGUUUUAAAAACGUUGUCCCUAUAAUUUUUUUUCUAACAAUGUAGCACUAUAUUCACUUUUCAUUUCUUUAAUUUCACCAUUUUUAUCUUGAUUUAAGUUUUUUUAAUUUAAUUUAAUCAAUUUUAUUAUCGGUUAAAUUUCUUAUAUUUUAAUAGCCUAAAAAAAUUAUAAUAAGUGGUUUACAUUACCAUACAACAAAAAAUUAAUAGCAUACAUAUCUACAGUCAUGAUUGAUUAAAUAUUGAAAAAACUUAUCAAGAAAAUUAAUAUAAUCAAGAAUAAAGAGUUCAGAAUUUUUGUUAAAAUUCAAAAAAAUGGUGAAAUGUCUGAUUUUUAGGGAUAAUGUCAACAAUUUCAUUAAAUCUAAAAAAGUUAUGAAAUCUCCUAUCUUCAAGGAUUAACGUGAAAGUUUUUGUUAAAAUUCAAGAAAUUGUGAAAUCUAUUGUCUUUAGGGAUUAAUGUAAAAAAAAUUAAAAAAUUAAUGAGACCUCCUAUUUUAGAGAAUGAAGAUGGCAAAAUUUUUGUUAAAAUUCUUUUAUUCAUAACAGUUGAGAUUAAAAUAAUUUAGAAAAACAUAAAUAAUGGUAAUUUUUCAUUUAAAAAAAUAUGAUAAGGAUGAUGUUUAACCUAAUACUUGAAUCUUUAAAAAACUAAUAUCAAUUUUAGAAUUUUUAAAUUUUUUUAAUUAUUAGAUAACAAUUCUUUUUAUUGCGUUAGUCACGGUGUGUUGCUAAAAUUAACAUCAUAUUUUACUAUCAUUACACUAUAAAAAAACAAAAAACAAUAUGUAACGGCUCUUCAAAAUAUACUAGCUUUGAUACCCGCGCGAUGCCGUGGGUUAUUUUUUUUUGCAUAAAAAAUAUUAAAAAGAAUAAAAAUUUAAAAAUCUUGGGUUUUUCUACAAAGUUAUACCCAAGAAUCUUGGGUUUGGCUGCAACGCCUGACCUAAGAGUAAUAUUUAUAAUAUUAAUAAUAAAAUUAAACUUGCAUGACCCAAGUUUAAGUGAGUCUGGCUGUAACACCGGACCCAAAAAUACUGGAUGUAGGUCUAGCUAUAAGGUCGUGUCACAAAAGUGUGAUAAUUAAAUAGAUUAAUUACAAAAAACAAAAAAAAUCAACAGGAAGGAAAAAACUAAUGAAGAAAAAGAAAAAAAAUUGAAUUAAUUGGGUUAACCUUUUAAACCAGGUUAUCCCGUAAAACCUGAGAUAUGCGUUAUCAACGUUUGAUAACUAAAUAGAAAAAAAAAUGACGGGUUUACCUAGAAUUAACCAGGUUAACCCAUCAAAUCAAGUUAACCCGUCAAGCCCAGGAUACGUGUCAUGAAAGUAUGAAAGUCUAAUAAUUAAAUAGAAAGAAAAUUAACUUUAACAAACUAAACUAAAUGAAAAAAAUAACUCGUCAAAUCAGGUUAACCCAUCAAACCCGAGAUUCGUAUUAUGAAAAUCUGAUAACUAAAUAAAACAAAUUUAACAUUAACAAACUAAAUCAAACAAAAAAAAUUCAUUAAAAAAAUAAAAAGAAAAAACAAAAGAAAAAAACAGUUAUAUAAUAUAAUACAAUAUAAUUAUAAUUAUAAUGAAAAAACGUGGGGAAAAUUUAAAAAAAUGGAAAAAAAGUGGGGAAAGCUAAAGCUAAAGCUAAAUUCUCAACCAACUCAAUAUUUAAAAAAUAAAUUUAACAAAGAUAAUUUAAAAAAAAAAACAUGUGGGGGAAACACUAUAGCCAAACAAAAACCAUGUAAGGGAAACACUGUAGUAAUCCAUAGUAUUUUUUUUUUAAAAAAAGCUACAAAGCUAAUCUCUCAACCAGUUCAAUAUAUAAAAAAAACGGAAAAAGGCUAUCUAAAAAAAAAAAGUCAAUUUUGGGUAAAAGAAAUGAAAAAAAAUGUACAAAAAAGGAAACAAAAGCGAAAAAAAAACACGUGGGGAAAGCUACAGUGUUUUAAAGAAAAAGACAAAAAAACUAAAUUUUCAACCAGCUCAAUAGUAAAAAAAUAAAAUCAACAAAAAUAAUUCUGAAAAAAAAAAAAACAAAAAAAAUAUGUAAAAAAUGACAAUUUUGGAAAAAAAAAAACAUAUGGGGAAAGUUAAAGCUAGAUUAUCAGCCAGCUCAAUAUUGAAAAAAUAAAUUCGAUAAAGAUAAUUUUUUAAAAAAAAUAUAUGGGGAAACACUGCAGCAAAACAAAAACUAUAUAGGGGAAACACUGUAGCAAUCCAUAUUGUUUUUUUUUAAAAAACUACAAAGCUAAAUUCUCAACCAACUUAAUAAAAAAAAAAAAAUCUAAAAAGAUCAUUUUGAAAAAAAAAAAAGAAUAAAGAAAUCAUAAAAAAAAGAGAAAACAAUGUAUGAGAAUAUUAUAGCAAUCCACAACGAGAUGAUUUGCCCGCGCGCUGCCGCGGACUUAUAAAACAAAUGCACUUGAUAGUGUUAUAAUUGUGAACCAGCGCUAGAUAAGUAAUAGAAAUUAAAGGUAUGAUGGAGCAAAUAUUUCAUGACGGAAAAAAAAGUUAUGUUGGUGAUCAAAAACUUAGAGACUGAACAAAAUGAUUUGUAGCAAUCUACAGUGUUUUGUGAGGAAAGAUACAGUGAUUUCGCCACAUGAUUUAGCUUUUCAGUUAAUAAAAAGCAAAAAAAAAUACAAAGCUAAACUCUCUACCAACUUAAUAUUAAAAAAAAACCAACAAAGAUAAUUUUGGAAGAAAAAAAACCCAUGAGAAAAAACGUUGCAGCAAUUGACAAUGUUUUGUGAGGAAAACUAUAGCGUUUUUCCCAAUAAAAUAAACUAAAAAACUAUUUAGAGAAAUAUUAUAACAAUCCAUAGUGUUUUGUGAGAAAAACUACAACGCUUUCCUCAUAUGAUUUAGCUUUAUUGUAAUUAUAAUUCUGAACCAACUCAAUAUUAAAAAAAAAAUCGAUAAAGAUAAUUUUAGAAAAAAUCAUAAAAAAAUCACAUGGAAAAACACUGCAACAAUUCACAGUGUUUUAAAGAAAAAAAUAACAAAGCUAAAUUCUUAAUCGGCUCAAUAUUAAAAAAAAUCAACAGAGAUAAUUUUAGAAAAAACAAAUAACAAAACAAACACAAAAAAAAGGGAAAAAAAUCAUGUUGGAAACACUGUAGCAUUUCACAGUGUUUUGUGAUGAAAUCUACCGUGCUUCCCCACAUGAUUUAGCCUUAUUUGUAAUGACUUGUAAUUGUAAUUCACAAACAACUCAAUAUUAAAAAAAUAAAAUUAAAAAAGAUAAUUUGAAAAAAAUUAUAACAAAAAAACUAUACGGAGAGAUACUGUAGCAAUCCACAAUGUUUUAUGAGCAAAGCUACAAUACUUUCCCCACAUGAUUAAGCUUUAUUACAAAGUUAAAUUUUAACCAACUCAAUAUUUUAAAAAAAUAAAAUCGACGAAAAUAAUUUUGGAAAAAAAUAUUACGAAAAAAAACACAAAAGAAACUGGAAAAAACCAUGUGAGGAAAAACUGUAUCAAUCCAUAGUGUUUUUUGAGGAAAAACUUGUAUUUACUUGUAAUUUUAAUUUUUAACCAGCUUAAUAUUUAAAAAAUAAAAUUGACAAAGAUAAUUUUAGGAAAAAACAUAACAAAAACAGAAAAAAACCAUGUGGAAAAAAACAUUGUAGCAACCAACAGUAAUUUUCGAGGAAAGUUACAGUGCUUUCUUCACAUAUUGUAACUGUAAUUUUUAACCAGCUCAAUAUUAAAAAAUAAAAUAAAAAAGAUAAUUUCGGAGAAAAUCAGAAAAAAAACCACGCGGAGAAACACUGUAGCAAUCAACAAUGUUUUAAAAAAAAUUACAAAACUAAAUUCUCAAUCAGCUCCAUAUUAAAAAAAAUAAAAAAUAUAAUUUUGAAAAAUAAAGAAAUAAAAUAGAAAAACUAUGUGGAAAAACAUCGCAGCAAUCCACAGUAUUUUUAAGAAAAAAAUUACAAAACAAAAUUUUUAAUCAUGUCAAUAUUUAAAAAGUAAAAUCAACAAAAAUAAUUUUGGAAAAAACAAAAGAAAAAAUUAGGAAAGUUGAAAAAAAAAAAAUUUGAAAAAAAAUUUUUUGAAAAAAAAAAAUAAAAAAAAAACAAAAAAAAAAAGAAAAAAGAGAAAAGUUAAUAAAAAAAAGAAGAGAAGAAUCACUGUGGAUUACUGUUGUAAUCCACAGUAAAAUGUGUGUGGGGGGAACAGUGAUUCCCCCACACCAUUUAGAGUAUGUUUUAAUGUUUUAAAGAAAAAAACUACAUAGUUAAAUUUUUAACCAGUUCAAUAUUUAAAAAAAUUAGCAAAGUUAAUUUUGAAACAAAUUUUUUUUAAAAAAAAAACAAAAAAAAAGAAGAAAUCAAUUUUGGGUAAAAAAAAUGAAAAAAAAAACAUGUAAAAAAAAAACUGCUGCUACAGUGAAAAACCCACAUGUUUUAGAGUUCUUUAAUUUAAGGACACUUUUUACUGUAACUAAAUAUUUUCGAUCCGUAACAAAAUUAUCAGAAAUGAUAAUUAUAUAUAAUGUCAUAAUUAAGUUGAUGCAGCGACACCAAACCCUCUAUAAAAUAGAUUAAAGAUCCAAUUUAAUAAUUUGAUGAAAUUGAAAAUUAAAGAUCUAAUUUAAUAAUUUGAAGGAAUUUGAUAUGAUUUAUAUAUUACUUUCAAAUUAUAUGUAAUCUUUUAUGUUAUGAAAAGGAGGUUUGAAUUCAAGAUUUUCUAGGAAGAAUUAGCAACAAUAUGUAAAGGCAGGUUCAUCUGCAUCGAUACGAGAGAGUUUUAUUUGCUAGGACAUGCCUUGUUGUAUGAUUUAUACAGUGUUUGAUUUUGUACUUCAACAACAUUUAAAAAAAAAUUAAAUUUUGAAACACUACAAAAACUAAAAAAAAAAAAUCUUGAGACACUAAAAUACAAGCUUCCUUUUUUUUUUUUCCAACCUACAAGUUGUGCUCUCCAAAAACUAAUAAAAAAAAACUAAUAAAAACUAACUUAAUUUGAGACACUAAAAUAAAAAAAUGUUGAGACACUAAAAUACAAGCUUCACCUGCAACGCCAAACCCUAAGUAUAUAAACUAACUUCCAUUCACAAUCAUCAGCCGCCUCCUUCUCUUCACCCUCUCUUUCUCUCUGCUCAUCCCGUCAUCAUUGCUUCUCUCUCUCUCUCUCUCUCUCUCUCUCUCUCUCUUUCCAAUCAGAACUAAACAGACGAUGGCUGAGGCACUUCUAUCUCCGAUCUUGGAGCAGUUAACCACGAUCGUUGCUCAACAGGUAUUUUUCUACCAUCUGCAAUAACCUGAUUUACCUAGCAGAGAUAAGAAAUAUAUAUGAAGUUCAAGCCUUUUUUCUUCCUAUCAUAAAAAUAAUACUUUUAACUUGAAUAAAUAAAAAUAAUAUUUUAAAUCCUCAAGUAUAUAUUUGGAUUUUAUUAAAGAAUCUUCUUUUUCUUGUUUUAUUAUUUUUCAUAUUUCCAAAAAUAACCUAAAGAAAAUAUAUCAUUCCAAAUAUAGGAAAACCGAAAAAGGCAAAACAAGAAAUAUUAAGGGUAAAAUAAUCAAUAAAAAGUUCAAAGGAUUACCGAGCGAGUAUAUAUAUAUAUAUAAGGUAAAAUAUCUAUAGUUUAAUGUAAAAUAAAAACCAGAUUUUAUGUCGGUUCAAAGGAGAAAUCCUUCUCUCGGGAGAACAUUAAACUCUUUCCAUGCCUAUAUUAAUUAUAUAUAUAUAUAUAUACACGUUCAGGUUUAACGUUUUACCAUUUAAGAUUCAUUUUAUACCUUCUUGUACAGUAGCAUAGUGCAGACUGAUAUCAUCAUAAUGAUGAUAAAAAGAAAAAAAAUAUAUUAUUAUUUCUAAUAAAUAUUUUAUAUAUAAAUUAUUAAUAUAGUAAAUCCAUUUCACAAUAAAAUAUAUUAAUACAAAAUAGAAAUGUUUCCUAUGCUUGAACUUCCUUGUCUUUUCCACACUAAUAGGUACUGGAAGAGGUGAACCUAGUAGGGGGUGUGAAAUUGUCUUCAAAUCAGAUAAAUGUUUCCCAUGCUUAACGUUUCUUUUCCUUUGUAAACUAAUAGGUACAAGAAGAGGUGAACCUAGUAGUGGGUGUGAAGAAACAAUGUGACAAGCUGAAAAGCAAUCUCCUUGAUAUCCAAUCUGUCCUUGAAGAUGCAGAUAGAAAACAAGUUAAGGAUAAGGCUGUAAGAAAUUGGGUAGACAAGCUCAAAGAUGCAUGUUAUGAUAUGGAUGACGUGCUAGAUGAAUGGAGCACUGCAAUUCUUAGAUGGAAAAUGGAGGAAGCUGAAGAAAAUACUCACAGCCGACAGAAGAUACAGUGUUCCUUCCUGGGAUCUCCUUGCUUUUGUUUCAAUCAAGUGGUCCGACGUCGCGACAUUGCCCUGAAGAUCAAAGAAGUUAGUGAAAAAGUGGAUGACAUUGCCAAAGAGAGAGCUAAGUAUGGCUUUGAUCUGUACAAAGGCACUGAUGAACUCCAGCGACUAACAACUACCUCCUUUGUUGAUGAAUCAAGCGUGAUUGGUCGAGAUGGUGAAAAGAGAAAUGUUGUAAGCAAGUUGCUGGCUGAAAGUAGUCACGAAGCACGGGACGUGGAUGUCAUCUCUCUAGUAGGGCUGGGCGGAAUUGGAAAAACAACUCUCGCCCAACUAGCAUUUAAUGAUUCUGAGGUUACGGCUCAUUUUGAGAAAAAGAUAUGGGUGUGUGUUUCAGAACCAUUUGAUGAGAUUAGAAUAGCCAAAGCUAUCCUUGAGCAGCUUGAAGGGAGACCAACGAAUUUGGUUGAAUUGCAAUCCCUUUUGCAAGGGGUUUCUGAAUCCAUUACUGGAAAGAGGCUCCUUCUUGUCCUUGAUGAUGUAUGGACAGAAAAUCAUGGACAAUGGGAACAACUGAAACCAUCUCUCACAGGCUGUGCACGAGGAAGCAGAAUUCUAGUGACCACUCGUAAGGACGCUGUGGCAACGAUGAUGGGAACUGACCACCGGAUCAACAUUGAGAAAUUGUCCGAUGAGAUAUGCAGGUCAAUAUUCAAUCAUGUGGCAUUCCAGGAAAGAAGCGAAGAUGAGCGCGAAAGAUUGACAGAUAUCGGCGAUAAAAUUGCAAACAAGUGCAAGGGCUUGCCGCUAGCUGCCAAGGUAUUAGGAGGUCUAAUGCAGUCUAAAAGAACAAGAGAAGAGUGGGAACGUGUUUUAUCUAGCGAACUGUGGAGGCUAGAUGAGGUUGAUAGAGAUCAGGUUGAAAGUCGAAUAUUUAUACCUUUGCUUUUGAGUUACUACGAUUUACCUUCUGUGGUAAGACGAUGUUUCUUGUACUGUGCCAUGUUUCCAAAAGACUUCGAGAUGGUCAAAGAUGAAUUGGUGAAGAUGUGGAUGGCUCAAGGUUACAUCAAGGAGACUUCAGGUGGAGAUAUGGAGCUUGUAGGAGAGCGGUACUUUCAUGUCUUGGCAGCGCGCUCUUUCUUCCAAGAUUUUGAGACGGAUAGAUUUGAAGGAAUGAAAUUCAAGAUGCAUGAUAUAGUGCAUGAUUUUGCCCAAUAUAUGACAAAAAAUGAAUGUCUAACCGUGGAUGUCAAUACACUUGGAGGAGCAACAGUGGAGACUUCAAUUGAAAGGGUUCGUCAUUUAAGCAUGAUGGUGUCAGAGGAGACAUCUUUUCCCGUGUCUAUUCACAAAGCCAAAGGUCUUCGCAGCCUCUUGAUCUACACUAGAGACCCUUCGUUUGGAGCUGCACUGCCUGAUUUGUUCAAGCAGUUGACAUGCAUCCGGUCAUUGGAUUUGUCAACGUCUUCUAUCAAAGAAAUACCGAACGAGGUAGGGAAAUUGAUACAUUUGAGACACCUCAAUCUGGCAUCUUGUGGAGAGUUGGAGUCCCUGCCAGAAACCAUGUGUGAUUUAUGCAAUCUGCAAUCCCUAGACGUUACUUGGUGUCGGUCUCUCAAGGAAUUGCCCAAUGCGAUUGGAAAACUUAUCAAAUUGAGGCAUCUCCGGAUUUAUCGUUCAGGUGUGGACUUCAUACCAAAGGGAAUAGAGAGGAUAACAUGUCUUCGAACAUUAGAUGUGUUUAAAGUGUGUGGUGGUGGUGAGAAUGAAAGUAAAGCAGCUAAUCUAAGAGAAUUAAAAAACUUAAAUCACAUUGGAGGGAGCUUUAGUAUACGGAAUCUAGGAGGAGGUAUAGAAGAUGCGAGUGACGCUGCAGAAGCACAACUCAAGAAUAAGAAGCGCCUGCUUCGUUUGGAAUUGGGUUUCGACUACAACCAGGAGAACGGCAUUUUAAUUGAAGCUUUACAGCCUCCGUCAGACUUGGAAUGUCUGACCAUAUCUAGUUACGGAGGGUUGGAUUUGCCACAUUGGAUGAUGACAUUAACCAGAUUACAGGAGCUUAGACUUGAUGAUUGUACAAACCUGGAGGUCUUGCGUCCGUUGGGAGGAUUGCCCAACCUUGAAAUCCUGGUACUGAGCUCGUUGAAGGUGAGAAGGCUGGAUGCUGGAUUUUUAGGUAUAGAAAAGGAUGAGAAUGCCAGUAUUAAUGAAGGAGAAAUUGCAAGGGUCACUGCUUUCCCCAAAUUAAAAAGACUUGAUUUUAGGCAUCUCUUAGAAGUAGAAGAGUGGGAAGGAAUUGAAAGGAGAGUGGGAGAAGAAGAUGUCAACACAACUUCAAUAAUAUCCAUUAUGCCACAACUUCAAUAUUUGAGAAUUAUCAAUUGCCCGUUGCUGAGAGCACUACCAGACUAUGUUUUGGCAGCGCCUCUACAGGAAUUAGACAUAAGGUGGUGCACCAUUCUAAGGAAACGUUACGGGAAGGAGGAGAUGGGUGAAGAUUGGCAAAAGAUUUCUCACAUCCCAAACAGUUAUUUUUAUGAUUAGGUGAGAAAGGCAGAACUCUUUAGAACCUGCUUUGAGUGUAUUAAUUAUUUGCUUUGGUGUUUGCUAAGGUUGAGUGUAAAUAAUAUGUAAGCCUUACCAUUUACUCUAUGUGACUGUUUCAGUGGAUUAAAUCCAAGAAAUUCUUAAACCUCAGUUUCAGUGGAUUUCAUUCAAUGUGACUUUACUGUAAUUCGAUUUUAUUUCCUACUUACCAUUUACUCUCUCAUCCUCUCCCUCUCCCUCUCUCUCUCUCUCUCUCUCUACUGUAAUUGGUUUUAUUUCCUACUUACCAUUUACUCUAUCAAAAGCAGCUGUCAUAUUAUCUCGCUCACGUGAAGCUUAUUCCUUACUUAAAUUCUCCAAAUGCCACUCUAAAAAAAUUGCGUUUGAAAUUUCAACUACUGUAACUCAUAUCUAUAAUUAAUCUAUAUAUUUUAACAUCCUCUCUCUCUCUUUCUCUCUCUCAACAUAAAAUGAUAUGUAAUUCAUAUGUUUCUUUGAGUGUAUUAAUUAUUUAUUAUUGAAUAAAUAAUAAAUAAUUGAAGUAAGGAGAAAGGAAUUAUUUAUUAUUGAAGUAAUAAAUUAUUUAUUACUUCUUCGAGUAAUAUUAAUUAUUUAUUACUUCUUUGUGAUUUACUUCUUUGAGUGUAUUAAUUAUUUAUUAUUGAAGUAAGGAGAAAGGAAUUGAAUUUAGAAUGCUAAAAGUAAGCCAUGGGGGCAGCUGAAGCACAGAGGUGGUAAUUAAGCAAGUAAUCUAGCUAGAUUGCUGCCCUUGGAAGUUAUUAGUGUCACUUCCAAUGCAAGUUCUCUACAAUUUUUAAUCUUUGUAUCGAAGGCUUCAUGCAUGAAAUAAUUUAUUGCUGGAGGAGGAGCAGGGGCCCCUAGCUGCUGUUUAAUAACGAGGCACAUUGCAAUUUUUAAAAAUGUUUUUUUUUUUAUCUAAAGAUAUAUUAAAAUAUCUUCUUAGAUUUUUUUAUUUUUUAUAUUAAUACAUUAAAAUUAUAUAAAAAAAUACUAGAAAAAUAUUAAUUUGACUUUUUAAAGCCAAUAUACACUUUAAAAUACAUUUAAACACAAUUUCAAAUGCAAAAACAAAAAAGUUUAUGAAUCCUAUCAGCCCCAAGGUUGUAUUGUACAUUUAUUAUUGUAAUGUGAGACACGUCUUUCUAAACCAAUAUAUUUGUAAAAUUUAAAAGUUAACUCUUCAUUCAAAUUAUUUAAAUAACCUGAUAUGAGAUAUAUCAUACAUAAUUAUUAGAUUAAUUAAUUCUGAAAAUUUAAUUAAUUAAUUCUGAAAUUAACAAUAAAAAUUAUUUAUGUUAUAUAAUGUAAAUUGUCAAAAAAAAUUUUAACAUCUAAAUCUAUUGAGUUAAUGUAUCUCGUAUAUAAAACUAUAUUUUAACAACAAUUUUGUCCAUGCUUUUCUCAGAGGGAAGAUUGUUAAAGACUUCAACUAAACCAUGAAAAAAAAAUUCACACAAAGCCCUAGCACCAAGUACCAUGGGCCAGCGCUCCCAUGGCCAGGCGAAAAGCUCCCCUGAAGAGCAACAUGUAGAAUUCAGGUAAUAGCUAUCACGCACUUUAAUAAGUUCAAUUAUUAGUAUUUUUAGCUGAAAUAUUGCACAAAAACUGCUAUAGAGAAACCCAUAUUUUGAUUUUGCAAUACUAAAAUGUUGCAUAAAGUUAAAAGUAUGUGUAACUGUGUAAACCAGUGGAACUGUGUAAAGGGGACUUAUGAUUAUGUUUAAAUGAAUUUUUUAAAUAAAUUGCAUGUCUUCACCAACUUUUACCUGCUUUUCUCACUUUAAUUUCUUUUCUUACUUUAAUUUUUUUUCUUUCCAUUCAACUUUCACCCAAAAAAAAAACAUGUAAUUGGAUUCUAAUAUUCAACAAAAAAAAAAUCAACUUAAUUGUUAAAAUAAAAUUUAGAGAUUAAAUUAAAAAUUUUCAAAAAUUUCAUUGCUCCAACCCGCAAUGAGAGAGGGUAAUAAUAAUUUAAUAAACAGUAAAAAAACCCCACGCUUUAGCUUUAUACUUAAUAUUGAAGAUUUAUAUUUUUAAUAAAUUCAACAAAAUAUACUGAAUGUCUAGAAGCUUGGUGGCCAAGUUCAGAUCAUGAGUUUUCGUUUAUUGUCGAGGAUGAUUUGGAGGUUUCGCCGCUGUUUUAUAAAUUUGUGAGGGGUUUGAUUGUUAAUUACCGUUACAAUGUGUCGAAUUUUAGUCCUUUUAUAUAUGAUAUGGUGCUUCACUUCAGCGUCAACGGUUUGUCCCAGGGACUGCUCUUUUUUCAGGUUUUGUACUUGUUAGACUGGAUGUUUUAAUGUUCAAUGUUAAGGUUUCCAGAUUUCUUGAUUUGUUAUAAAAAAUUGAAUUCAUUAUAUUCUUUAAAUAUCCUUGGAUGUUUUUGAGUUAAAAAUCCACUAUUACCAUUAUUGUCGCCACCCCAAUCCUUUUUCUAUCCUAUAAGUAAAUUCUUGAAUUUAAUAAAUUUUAGUGCUUAAUUUAUAAAAUUAUUUUCAAUCAAGUCACACUUGAUUAAUUAUCUUAAUUUAAUUUCUGACUAAUGAUUCUUAAUGUAUAUGACCCAUUGAGUUUCUAAUAUGUUGGCCCCAAAUAUAAGUUAUGUUUUAAUGUUCAAUGUUAAGGUUUCCAGAUUUCUUGAUUUGUUAUAAAAAAUUGAAUUCAUUAUAUUCUUUAAAUAUCCUUGGAUGUUAACGUUUCUAAGGUGUUUUGGGUCAAAAGAACCUUGAGCUCAAUUUUCUAGCCACCACAGUGGUUGAAAUUUGAGCAAAAUAGACGACGCGUUGUUUAUUUUGACAGACAACAUGUCAUUUGAUUUAUUUAUUUUUUUAAAAUAAAACGAAUGACAUGUCGUCCACCCCAGGUGCAUUUUAAAAAACGACCUAGUCACGUGGUCCUUCCUUGGCAGGCCCGUGCAUGGGCCCUGAUGAAAGGGGUUAGGUAGACCCAGCAACGCCUAACCUUUUUUUUAUUUUUUUUUAUUUCAAUUAAUGCUUCUUUUUUUAUUUAAAAAGAAACUUUAUUAUAUUUAUAUUAAUACACUUUCUCUUUUUUAUUUUGUUUAAAAAGCCUUUUUUAAAAGAUGAUGAUUUUUUGGAUAUCCAUUUAAUUUUCAAAGAGAUUUUCCUUAUUCAUCUAUAAUUAAUGCCAAAUAAAUUGUUUCACAUCAAAUUAACCUCUACAUUUUGUUUCACUUUUGAAACUCAAAAUGACAAGUCAUUUCCAUAGAAACAUACAAAUAGAAAAAUGACCGAUGCAUAAUACUUAAACCCAAUGUGAAGCAAUGGCCAAGUAUAGACUUGCCUUUGCCUUUUUCCUUUUUACACAUAUUUUCUCAUUGUUUCAGUGACAUUUGCUUGCAUCAACCUUGUAGGAAAUUAGUUGCUUUAUACUGAAGUUUCAGAAUCAUACUCUAACCCCAGUCUUAAGCAAAUUAUCUUAAUUUGCAGUAUAUAUUGCCUAAACUUCAUUGAGAAUAACCUCAAAUUAAUUUUCUCUGGCACUCCACAGUAGAUCACUAUCCUUCCUAUCUUCAUCAACUUCUCAUUUCAUCAGUCAACAACGCCCCAUUACUUUCUCUCCUUUUUCUUGACACAUUCAGUAGUAAGAACAACAAUGGCUGACGCACUUGUAUCCCCAAUUUUGGAGCAGUUAACCACGAUCGUUGCUCGACAGGUACUCUUUUUUGUUUCUUUCUUUUUUUUUUGUUUUUUUUAUAAUCAACAGGUACUUAAUUACUUUUCUACAAUUUUGCAAUUAACCUAACAUUUAUAGUUCAUUAUACAUUGAUUUCAUUAUCUUAUAGAAUAUCUGUUAAUUUGUCAGAAGCUAAAUCAGUAGCUUGAUUUAUAUAUUAUCACAUUGCAUGUUAUCAAAUAAAAUACACACACAGACACACAAGAUAGCGGGUUCUUACGAUUCUCUUUCUUUAUAUCUUUUGUGCUAUACAAAAUAUGGUUAUUGUGAUGGCUGGUUAGAACAAAUCAAUAUAGUAAAAUAGUAGUAAAUUCCUUUUUCAAUAAUUCCUUAUCAUAUUUGAAUGCAUAAAUCAUUAUAUUUGUAAUAAAAUUAUUAUGAUAAAAUGAUUAAAAUAAAUAUAGUCAAAUAUUCGAUUAAUUACAAACAUGAUUAUAGAAAUUCUAAUAUUUCUUUUUUAUUUUGAUAUCAACCUCACAGAAUUUUUAAAAAAAUAGACUAUGAUAAUUAUUAAAAGUCACCUAAUAAUAUUGUGAAAUUGCAAUGUAUUGCGCUCCACAAUUAUAUGAUUAUUAUAAUAUCUAUGAAUUCUAUCUUUUAUCUAAAGAAAUCCUUUAUUCAAAUAAAAUAUAUUUUAAUUCACGCAUCUAGUAAAUUUUAGUACAAUAAUUGUGCAUUAGCAUUACAUUAUUUACGAGUCAUUUUAUUUUAGAGAGUUUAUUAUAUAUAAUUUGAAUAUAAUUAACAAUAUAAAUAUAUUAAUUGCUACUGUGAAAAAGUUUAAUAAAAAUGAUUUAAUCUAUUAAUUGCUAAAAAAUAAGAAUUUGUACUGAAAUCAUAGAAAUGUUUCCUAUGCUUAACGUUUCUUUUCCUCUGUACACUAAUAGGUACAAGAACAGGUGAACCUAGUAGUGGGUGUGAAGAAACAAUGUGACAAGCUGAAAAGCAAUCUCCUUGAUAUCCAAUCUGUCCUUGAAGAUGCAGAUAGAAAACAAGUGAAGGAUAAGGCUGUAAGAGAUUGGCUAGACAAGCUCAAAGAUGCAUGUUAUGAUAUGGAUGACGUGCUAGAUGAAUGGAAGCACUGCAAUUCUUCGAUGGAAAAUGGAGGAAGCUGUAGAAAAUACUCACAGCCGACAGAAGAUACAGUGUUCCUUCCUGGGAUCUCCUUGCUUUUGUUUCAAUCAAGUGGUUCGACGUCGCGACAUUGCCCUGAAGAUCAAAGAAGUUAGUGAAAAAGUGGAUGACAUUGCCAAAGAGAGAGCUAAGUAUGGCUUUGAUCUGUACAAAGCCACUGAUGAACUACAGCGACUAACAACUACCUCAUUUGUUGAUGAAUCAAGCGUGAUUGGUCGAGACGGCGAAAAGAGAAAUGUUGUAAGCAAGUUGCUGGCUGAAAGUAGUCAAGAAGCACGGGACGUGGAUGUCAUCUCUCUAGUAGGGCUGGGAGGAAUUGGAAAACUCGCCCAACUAGCUUUUAAUGAUGCUAAGGUUACGGAUCAUUUUGAGAAAAAGAUAUGGGUGUGUGUAUCAGAUCCAUUUGAUGAGGUUAGAAUAGCCAAAGCUAUCCUUGAGGAGCUUGAAGGGAGGGCAUCUGAUUUGGUAGGAUUGCAAUCCCUUUUGCGAAGGGUUUCUGAAUCCAUUAAGGGAAAGAGGUUCCUUCUUGUCCUUGAUGAUGUCUGGACAGAAAAUCAUGGACAAUGGGAACAACUGAAACCAUCUCUCACAGGCUGUGCACGAGGAAGCAGAAUUCUAGUGACCACUCGUAAGGACGCUGUGGCAACGAUGAUGGAAACUGACCACCGGAUCAACAUUGAGAAAUUGUCCGAUGAGAUAGGUGAGAAAGACAGAACUCUUUAGAACCUGCUUUGAGUGUAUUAAUUUAUUAUUAUUAUUUUUUUUGCUUUGAGAGUAUUAAUUAUUUGCUUUGGUGUUUGCUAAGGUUGAGUGUAAACAAUAUGGAAGCCUUACCAUUUACCUAUGUGACCUCUCUCAUCCUCUCAACAUAAAAUGAUAUGUAAUUCAUAUGUAUAAUUUCUCUCUCUCUCUCUCUUUUAAACCUCAGUUUCAGAUAAAUGAGAGAAUGGUAGACUUGGAAGCUAAACCUUUCAUCUAUAAGUGAUAUACCCAUCGAUUUUGGAGACUAAAUCCAAAUAAAGUUAUCCAAACCUAACACAAAAAAUCUUCAACAAUAAUUAAAUUACAAAUCAACAACAAAAUUCAGCAGCAAGGCCUAAUUAAAUGUUUACUCAUUUUUAUUUUUUUUAUAAAAAUAUGGUGAUCAAAUGCAGGUCAAAUAUUUUUAUUUUUUAAUAAAAAUUUAGUUCUUUAAAUAUAUUUUUCUAGUUCAAAAAAUAUAAUAAAUUAAAAAUUUUAUAUACAUCUAAUCAAAUAAAUUAAAAAAUAUUUAUGUUAAUAAAUAAAUAAAAAUUUGUUAAUAAUACUUAAAAACAAAACUGGUUCAAGCCUUCAUUGAGCUCAAUGUAAAGAGGACCAACCUGCCGUCAUAAAAGCCCAAAAUACUCCAUUAUAAAAGCCCAAGUAAAUAUCCCUGUCUUUCUCUCCCACACACUCGCAUUCUCAGUUUUUCCUCUCUGCGUCUUCAAGCAAUAAACCAUGGGUGAUAGCCAGUACUCCUUUUCUCUCACUACUUUCAGUCCUACCGGAAAGCUAGUACAGAUUGAGCACGCAUUGACUGCCGUUGGAUCAGGCCAAACUUCUCUCGGAAUCAAAGGUUGUUGCAAUUUAAGCUCUCUCUCUCUCUCUCUUUUCUCUCAUUUUCUUGUCAUUUUCGAAUGUACUAUGUUGUUGAUGGGUGCUUAGAUACUAUGUUGUUGAAUUUUUUUUUUUUGGUGUUGUAGCGGCAAACGGUGUUGUUAUUGCAACUGAGAAGAAAUUGCCAUCUAUUUUAAUCGAUGAAUCUUCUGUAAGUAAACUUUUUUUUUUUUUUUCGGUUUUGUUAUAUUCUUUGGUUGAAAUUCAAGAAACCCUUUUGUUUUUUUGCGUUUUUUAUUGUGUUUUCUUUGUGAACUUUUCGGGCUGGCCCUGCGAUCUUUUAGUAAUAACCUAAGUAUAGAGACAUGGGCUUGUAGCACUCUAAUUGAAGAAGCUGAUGAUUCUUGUGGAAAAGCAACGUGGAUUCUAGUCAAUGAGGUGUUGGUCUAGUAGUUAACAGGUUUAUAUUGAGAUUCUUAGGAGUCAUUUGAGUUUAGUGACAUCGGCUGGUAGAAAUCUGUUAAAAUUCGGUGUAAAUUUGUAAUUUUUAUUAGUAAUUUGAGCUUAGUGAUUUGGGCUCUUGCCAAUGAGGCGUUACUAUACUAGUUAAUGACUCUAAGAUUGAGACUUUGGAUGUUGGAGUCUCUAGAUUUAUAUCCUCAUUAAUCCCACAUUGUAUAAAAAGGUGUUGUUGAUUAUUUUAAAUCGUCUUGAAUGAGGUGGAGAUGGUUUGAUUUUGGAGCCAGUCGAUUGGUCUAUUAUUCUAAUUUGCAAGAUGGCAUGGAUUUUGGAUUAAAUCCAAAUAAAGUUAUCUAAACCUAACACAAAAAAUCUUUAACAAUGAAUGUCAUAACUCAAUUCUGGGUUAUUCUUCAAAAUCUAUUUUUUUAAAAUAAUAAUAAAAGCUGGCAACGUGGAGAAAGUAGGCGGGAAAUCAAGUUGCAAUUUUUGGAGGAAAUUCAAGACCUAAUUGUACUCCAUUAUGUCCAAAAAUGGAGAAAAAAAUGCAAAUUCAAGGUCAAAUUCAAUGAUUAUUGGACGAAUUUGCGUAAAAAUUAAGUCCAAUAACAUAAUUAAAUUUUUAAUAGGCCAAUUUGAUUUAAUCAUGGACCAAAUUAAAUUUUAAUUAUGUUUAAGAAUUAAUUUCGGUCCAAUUAAAGGAUUUAAUUAAGUGCAAGGACUUAAUUAUACUUUAAAUGGGUCAAAUUAAUUUUAUUUGGAGCCUAAUUGGUGAAAAAUUAAGUUUGAGAGCCUAAUUUGAGCAUAAUUGAGAAGAUUGGAAUUUUAAGAGACUAAAUUUAAUUUUUACCAAGUUAAUUGAUUGAAAUUAGGGGUCAAAUUGCAAGAAAAUUGAAGUUUUGGGGUCAAUUAGGGGUUAAAUUGACAAAAUUCACAACCAAGGAUCAAUCUGCAAAAGGCGCCAAACUAUAGGGGUUUAAUUGACAAAAUUCAGGGGUCAAAUUGAAGAAAUUGAAAGUUUAAUGGUCAAUUAGGGAUGAAAUUGCAUAAAUUCGAGACCAAUGACUAUACUGCAAAAGGCGCGUAAAUACAGGGCUAAAGUUGAAGUUCUGCAGGGGUCUUAUUCCAUUAAAUCAAAGGUUUAGGGUCAAUUAGGGGUUCAAUUGAACCAAAUUGAAAGCUAGAGGACUACAUUGAACUUCGGCAAAAUCCCUAAUUUUAACCCAAAAUGAUGUUGUUUUUGCGUUAAAAAAAAAAAGAAAGAUACCAGGCGACACGUUGCCUGGUCACUGUUCAUCUUCCCCGUGAACGCUGCCCGGGUAGCAGUUUUGCAGGUGCAUUUAAUGCCUCGCAUGUCCCCCAAAAUUGACAACACGUGCACCAAAAUAGUCACCUGAAAUCCCUCUAUCCCCGAGUAUUAUCUGGUCAGGCCUAUUAACAUGAAAACUGCUCCAGUGACCGGCCUGAAGUAGCCAACUCGGGCAGUUUUGGACUGUCAAAUUUGGCAGAUCGAGGUGCACACUUUGAACCAACGGUUGGAAUGCUUACCAACCAAACCAAAGGCCACGAUUUGACACCAUUAAAGAAAAAAUGUUCCUCUUCCAUCUCCUACAAAUAGGGCUGCAUUUCAUGGCCUGGAGGAGGAAGAAAUCGAGUCCAAAAUUGACAAAAAACCAGCCGCACCCUUCUGUUUUUCUCCUUUUCUUUUCUGCAACGAGUACUCUUUCUCUUUUCUCCUUCUCAGCCGUGCAUUCAGCCACCACCACUACCACCGCUAGCUUGACAACCAUCCUCUCCAGCACACUUCUCCCUCUCCAUUGAUUUCUUCUCCCUUUUCCUCCAUAGCGACAGCAGCUCAUCAGCACCACCAUUUUCUUUUUCUUCCUUCUCCAGCACCGGCAACAGCAACAUCAGCACCGACCUCCAUCCCCACAACCAGCUUUACCACCAUCAUUUCCAUCAACCCAGCUCUUCACCAGUGGCGGAGCAGCCACCGUGACCUUCUCUCUCUUCUCCUUCCAGCUUUUCUCUCUCCUCUGCAACUUUUUCUUCUUCCUCGCACAGUCGAAUCUGGCCACCAUCACCUCAGCCGACGCCCCCUGAGCCACCGGCUAAACCACCUCAUCACGACCGAGACCCCCACGCCAGGCAACUUCCUCCUCCCUGCUUUGCCUCUUUCUUCCUCGUCGUGGCUGCUGCAUGCAGAAUUUAUUUCUACAUGGAGUAAGCUAAUUAAUUAGCCCCUGGUUUGGGUCGGGCCAGUUAUAGCCCUGCCCAAGUGGUUGGGUCUUGCCUGGCCCCCAUUUAAAAAAAAAUCAAAAAAAGUUUUCAAAAAUCAUUUUAAAAAAAAUUUGGGAUUUUUCUCGCAUAUUUUUCUACCAAUUUUGCAUAAUAUCGGGUUGUAUAUUUACACUGUAAAAUACAAAUCUAGUAUUAAAAUACCCGGUUUUCUCCAAAAUAUUUCAAAAAAAAAAUCAAAACAUUUUCAAAAAGAAAAAAAUAUUUCGUUGCAUAUGGCCAAAUUCUAAAAAAAUUUCAAGCAUAUUUUCAUAAAAAAAAUUGCAUCUCUCUCAUGUUUUGAAAAUAAAAAAUGGAUAUCAUAAACAGUUUAUGAUCAUCCAUUAGUAUUUGGCCAACAUGUCAAAAAUCUUUUUCAAAUCUUUUUUUUAUGAUCUAGAUGUAGACUUUAAUAUUUGUGGGGUGUAAAAUUACAUGAUAAAGUACACCCUUAUGUAUUAAAGAUACAAGGUGUAAAUAAAUGCGAUGCCAAAAUUCAGACUUUAGAAUAGUUAGAAUUUAACCCGAUAAGGUAGAAACUCUCUCAUGAAGAGAGAUCUGCCUUGAGCCUUAGAAAAGACUAACGAAUAAAAACCCAACUUAGAAAAAAAACAAUCAAACAAACAAUGCAGCUUACCUGAGGUAGGGUGCAUUGGGGGUGAUGCGUCUUUCCCUUGCAUAACCAGUCCCUUACUCAUACUCUCGCAGACCAUAGAUUCCUAGUGACCAUAAUACUAGGUGGCGACUCCUAAACAUUAAUCAUAAUUCUAUAAUUAAAUCCAAAAACCCUUUCCAACACACAACACCUCACAUAGGAGGCACGGCAAAGAGCCUCCGCCGUCGCGGCGCUCACGCCCCCGCGACAAUGAAUAUGAUUUCUGCUAAUGAAAGGCAAGCCCCCUAGUGCCUGUGCUUUCUAAAUGCCAUCACAGCCCCAUUCAAGGAACUUCCAGACAGAGGAUUCUUCAGACCAAUAGCAUUAAUAAUGGAAGACAAUAUAGAUUCAAACUAUGAUAUCAGAAUCAAUAUAGAUACCACCAUAUUUGCUUAACCCAACAUACAAAGGACAAAUUGCAGAAACAAUGAUUCUAAACAUAAUAGAACCAGCACAUGGAAUAUAAAACAAAAGUUCAUCUCAACUCUAGUGAAGAUAUUCUAGGGGAGUUUUUCGAUCUAUUUUUGAGGGGUUUGUUGGGUAUUUUGAUUCAUUAGCAGCCUUCCAAGUCUUUGUGAUAUUAAUCCGUAAAGACAUGUAAAAAUACCUAGUUACCAUGAUGAGUUUCUCAAAUUUUUUUCAUAUGAAAAGAGAGGUUGAAACCCCGGACCAGUGACCUCCUAGGAAUCAUUAUGCACCCCAACCCACAUGGAAGUGUGAGAUCAACCUCUUAGGAAUCAUUGUGCACCCCAACUCAUAUGCAAGUGUGUAAUUGUUGGUGGACCUCGAGUUGCAGGCUCUCCCUUGUGGUUUUGUUUUUUAGAGUGGCUUACUGCUCACCCAUGGGUGGUGUCAAGGAGAUAUUAACUAACACAUGGUUUCCAAUUCAAGAGCCAUCAUCAAAAUCACAAGAUUCUGAUUGCCAAAUUCUCAACCAAAUAAAAGUUUGAUUAAAUUGAAUUGAAUAGCACCAAAUAUUCAAUGGAUCAACAAAAAUAAAAGGUAAUGUUUAUAAAACCAAUUUUAAUAUAGCUCAAAAUUAAGCGGAUCUUUUCGGUAAUUAAGGUAAGAACUUCAACAAAAAAAAAUAAAGAAAAGAAUUAAUAUGGCCUGACAUGGUUAAAAUAUCCCGGUAAACUCAAGUAAAAUUUGGUUAAAUAUUGUUGAUUUUUUUUGGAAAAAACAAUUUUAGUCAAAACAAUAUUAUUUUAAUUCAGAUUUGACAACUCAGGAUGCCUACUUUGAGGCAAUGGUUGGGAUCCUUACCAACUGAAUCAAGGGCUGAAAUUUUUUCCUGGUAUAAACAAGAUUGCUCUCUUCCACCUCCUAUAAAUAGAGGUGGAUUUCCUGGCCUGGGGGAGGAGAAAAUUAGGACCAAAGUCGGCAAAAAACCAGCCCCUCUGCCCUUGUUUCUGCAGUUUUUCUCUCCCUCUCUCCCCCCACCGUUCGAGCCACCACCUGCUCCACCACAGGUAGCUAGCCCAACCACAAGCUGAUCACCCCCAUUCCUGAAACAGUCACCGUUUCUUCCUCUCUCUCACCUCUGCAAAAUCCUUCUUCCUUCCCCCGUGAUCGACUCCGGCCACCAUUCCUCCCAGCGACGCCACCAAAACCAUCAACACAACCUCCUGAUCACGGCCGAGACUCCUGCUUCGAGUGAGCCGCUCCUCCGUCAACCUUCAUUUUCUGCAACCAUUUCAGUUGCAUGCAGAACGUGAACCACUGUUCACGUUCUGCAAAUAAUUAACAUUAACUUUGGGUCGGGCCAGUUAUGGCCUAGCCUAAUUGGUCGGGUCUGCCCUGGCCCAAAAAAAAGAGAGAAAAUGUGUUGGGCCAAGAUCGGCCCAUUGUUUUCUGGGUUUGUGCCUGACCCACUUAUCUGGGCCGACCCGACCCACAUGUUUUAAUAAUAUUUAAUUAAUAUAUAAUAUUAUAUUAUAUAUUUCUUUUAAAAAAAUAAAAAAAUAAAAAAUCCUUUGAAAAAAAUUGUGAUUUUUUCACAUUUUUUUCUAUCAAUUUUGCAUAAUAUUGGGUUGUAUAUUUACACUUUAAAAUACAAAUCCGAUAUUAAAAUACCUGGUUUUCUCUGAAUUUUUUUUAAAAAAAAUUUCAAAACAUUUUCAAAAAGAAAAAAAAAUUUUUGUUGCAUAUGGACAAAUUCUAAAAAAUUUCCAAGGAUAUUUUCAUUAAAAAAAAUUGCAUCUUUCUCAUGUUUUGAAAACCCAAAAAAAUAGAUAUCAUAACCGGUUUAUGAUUAUCUAUUAGGGUUCGACCAAAAUAUCAAGAACUUUUUUUCAAUUUUUUUUUAGGAUCCAGACGUAAACUUUAAUAUUUGUGGGGUGUAAAAUUACAUGAUAAAGUAUACCCUCGGGUAUUAAAAAUACAAGGUGUAAAUAAAUACGAUGCUAAAAUUUAGACUUUAGAACAGUUAGGAUUUAACCCAAUAAGGUAGAGACUUUUUCAUGAAGAGAGAUCUACCUUAAACCUUAGAAAAGACCAACGAAUAGAAACCAGACUUAGAAAAAAAAAUUAAACAACAACGUAGCUUACCUUAGGUAGGGUACAUUGGAGGUGAUGCGUCUUCCUCUUGCAUAACCAAUUCUUUACCCAGACUCUCGCAAACCAUAGGUUCCUAGUGACCAUAACACUAGGUGGCGACUCCUAAACAUUAAUCGUAAUUUCAUGAUUAAAUCCAAAAACCCUUCCCAACACACCACACCUCACACAAGAGGCACGACAAUAGCCUCUACCGUCGCCAGACGACGUCGCAUUGGCGCUCGACCCCCUUGACAACACUAUUAAAAAACAAAAAACAAUAUGUAAUGGCUCUUCAAAAUAUAUUUAAAAACACUUUUUACUGUCACUAAAUUUUUUUGAUCCGUAACAAAAUUAUCAGAAAUGGUCACUACAUAUAGUGUCAUAAUUAAGUUGAUGCAGUGACACCAAACCCUCUAUAAAAGAGAUUAAAGAUCCAAUUUAAUAAUUUGAUGAAAUUGAAAAUUAAAGAUCCAAUUUAAUAAUUUGAUGAAAUUGAAAAUUAAAGAUCCAAUUUAAUAAUUUGAAGGAAUUUGAUAUGAUUUAUUACUUUCAAAUUAUAUGUAAUCUUUUUUGUUAUGAAAAAAGGGGUUUGAAUUCAAGAUUUUCUUGGAAGAAAAAUACUAAAAUCAUUCAAGUUACAACUCAUUGAAGAUAGUUCAAUGCAGAUGAUAAAACUUGAAUAUCAAAUCCUGGAAACUACAAUAUGCUUAGCCUUCAGCUAGUUAAAAAAACGAAUAUCAAAUCCUGGAAACUACAGUUGAUAAAUAAACCUGGUCCUCGGAACCUGCUUUCAAGUCUCGUUAAUAUCACAUUGCUUAGCAAAAACCCUAAUUCCCGCAAGAACCCUGCUUUCAAGUUUUUCAAUUGCAUGAGUUGCUUUUACUUCCCCUGUCAUUCCAAUUUUCUUUGAUUCUCAUUUCAUCCUUUUAUGGUCAUCAAAUCUUUCUCAUUACUUCAGGUAUAUACGUACAUCACAUCAAUUUCAUUUUUCAACCUACAAGUCGUGCUCUUCCUUCACCACAGCCCUACAAAAACUAAUAAAAAAAUGUUGAGACACUAAAAUACAAGCUUCACUAGUAAAAAAAACUACAAGUUGCAAGAACUCCACCUGCAACACCAAACCCUAAGUAAAUAAACUAACUUCCAUUCACAAUCAGCCGCCUCCUUCCCUUCACCGUCUCUUUCUCUCUGCUCAUCCCAUCAUCAUUGCCUCUCUCUCUCUCUCUCUCUCUCUCUCUCCAAUCAGAACUAAACAGACGAUGGCUGAGGCACUUGUAUCUCCGAUCUUGGAGCAGUUAACCACGAUCGUUGUUCAACAGGUAUUUUUCUACCAUCUGCAAUAACCUGAUUUACCUAGCAGGGAUAAGAAAUAUAAAGGUCAAGCCUUUUUUCUUCCUAUCAUAAAAAGAAUACUUUUAACUUGAAUAAAUGAAAAUGGUAUAUGUUUGGAUUUUAUUAAAGAAUCUUCUUUUUGUUGUUUUAUUAUUUUUCAUAAUUCCAAAAAUAACCUAAAGAAAAUAUAUCAUUCCAAAUAUAGGAAAACCGAAAAAGGCAAAACAAGAGUUGCCAAUUCUCUUUAAACUGAACUAUUAAGGGUAAAAUAAUCAAUAAAAAGUUCAGAGGAUUAGCGAGCGAGUGUAUAUAUAUAUAUAUAUAUAUAUAUAUAUAUAUAUAUAUAUAUAAGGUAAAAUAUAUCUAUAGUUUAAUGUAAAAUAAAAACCAGAUUUUAUGUCGGUUCAAAGGAGAAAUCCUUCUCUCGUGAGAACAUUAAACUCUUUCCAUGCCUAUAUUAAUUAUAUAUAUAUACGUACAAGUUUAACGUUGUACCAUUUAAGAUUCAUUUUAUACCUUCUUAUACAGUAGCAUAGUGCAGACUGAUAUCAUCAUAAUGAUGAUAAAAAGAAAAAAGAAAUAUUAUUAUUUCUAAUAAAUAUUUUACAUAUAAAUUAUUAAUAUAGUAAAUCCAUUUCACAAUAAAAUAUAUUAAUACAAAAUAGAAAUGUUUCCUGUGCUUGAACUUCCUUGUCUUUUCUACACUAAUAGGUACAGGAAGAGGUGAACCUAGUAGGGGGUGUGAAAUUGUCUUGAAAUCACAGAAAUGUUUCCUAUGCUUAACGUUUCUUUUCCUUUGUACACUAAUAGGUACAAGAAGAGGUGAACCUCGUAGUGGGUGUGAAGAAACAAGUCGACAAGCUGAAAAGACAUCUCCUUGCUAUCCAAUCUCGCAUUGAAGAUGCAGAUAGAAAACAAGUGAAAGAUGAGGCUGUAAAGGAUUGGCUAGACAAGCUCAAAGAUGUAUGUUAUGAUAUCGAUGACGUGCUAGAUGAAUGGAGCACUGCAAUUCUUAGAUGGAAAAUGGAGGAAGCUGAAGAAAAUACUCGCAGCCGACAGAAGAUGCGAUGUUCCUUCCUGAGAUCUCCUUGCUUUGGUCUCAAUCAAGUGGGUCAACGUCGGGACAUUGCCCUUAAGAUCAAAGAAGUAUGUGAAAAAAUGGAUGACAUUGCCAAAGAGAAAGCUAUGGAUGGCUUUGUUCCGUACAGAGCCACCGAUGAACUACAACGACUAAUAAGUACCUCCUUUGUUGAUGAAUCAAGCGUGAUUGGUCGAGAUGUUGAAAAGAAAACUGUUGUAAGCAAGUUGGUGGGUGAAAGUAGUCAGGAAGCACGGGACGUUGAUGUCAUCUCUCUAGUAGGGCUGGGUGGAAUGGGAAAAACAACUCUCGCCCAACUAGCUUUUAAUGAUGCUGAGGUUACGGCUCAUUUUGAGAAAAAGAUAUGGGUGUGUGUUUCAGAACCGUUUGAUGAGGUUAGAAUAGCAAAAGCAAUCAUUGAGCAGCUUGAAGGGAGUCCAACGAAUUUGGUUGAAUUGCAAUCCCUUUUGCAAAGGGUUUCUGAAUCCAUUACUGGAAAGAGGUUCCUUCUUGUCCUGGAUGAUGUCUGGACAGAAAAUCAUAGACAAUGGGAACCACUGAAACUCUCUCUCAAAGGCGGUGCACGAGGAAGCAGAAUUCUAGUGACCACUCGUAAGGACGCUGUGGCAACGAAAUUGGGAACUGACCACCGGAUCAACAUUGAGAAAUUGUCCGAUGAGAUAUGCAGGUCAAUAUUCAAUCAUGUGGCAUUCCAGGAAAGAAGCAAAGAUGAGCGCGAAAGAUUGACAGAUAUCGGCGAUAAAAUUGCAAACAAGUGCAAGGGCUUGCCUCUAGCUGCCAAGGUAUUAGGAGGUCUAAUGCAGUUUAAAAGAACAAGAGAAGAGUGGGAACGUGUUUUAUCUAGCGAACUGUGGAGGCCAGAUGAGGUUGAUAGAGACCAGGUUGAAAGACAAAUAUUUAUACCGUUGCUUUUGAGUUACUACGAUUUACCUUCUGUGGGAAGACGAUGUUUCUUGUAUUGUGCCAUGUUUCCAAAAGACUACGAGAUGGACAAAGAUGAAUUGGUGAAGAUGUGGAUGGCUCAAGGUUACCUCAAGGAGACUUCAGGUGGAGAUAUGGAGCUUGUAGGAGAGCAGUACUUUCAAGUCUUAGCAGCGCGCUCUUUCUUCCAAGAUUUUAAGACGUAUGGUCGAGAAGGUAUUGCAUUCAAGAUGCAUGAUAUAGUGCAUGAUUUUGCCCAAUAUAUGACAAAAAAUGAAUGUCUAACAGUGGACGUCAAUAACCUUGGAGAAGCAACAGUGGAGACUUCAAUUGAAAGGGUUCGUCAUUUAAGCAUGAUGCUGUCAGAGGAGACUUAUUUUCCCGAGUUCAUUCAGAAAGCAAAAGGUCUUCGCAGCCUCUUGAUCAACACUAGAGACCCUUCACUUGGAGCUGCACUUCCUGAUCUAUUCAAGCAGUUGACAUGCAUCAGGUCAUUGAAUUUGUCAGAGUCUUCAAUCAGAGAAUUGUCAGAGUCUUCAAUCAAAGAAAUACCAAACGAGGUAGGGAAAUUGAUACAUUUGAGACACGUCAAUUUUGCAUAUUGUUAUCAGUUGGAGUCCCUGCCAGAAACCAUGUGUGAUUUAUGCAAUCUGCAAUCCCUAGACGUUACUUGGUGUGGUUCUCUCAAGGAAUUGCCUAAGGCGAUUGGAAAACUUAUCAAAUUGAGGCAUCUCCAGAUUGAUGGUUCAGGUGUGGCCUUCAUACCAAAGGGAAUAGAGAGGAUAACAUGUCUUCGAACAUUAGAUGUGUUUAAAGUUUGUGGCGGUGGUGAGAAUGAAAGUAAAGCAGCUAAUCUAAGAGAAUUAAAAAACUUAAAUCACAUUGGAGGGAGUCUUAACAUACGGAAUCUAGGAGGAGGUAUAGAAGAUGCGAGUGACGCUGCAGAAGCACAACUCAAGAAUAAGAAGCGCCUGCGUCGUUUGGAAUUGGUUUUCGACAGAGAGAAAACAGAGUUGCAAGCGAAUGAAGGCUCUUUAAUUGAAGCUUUACAGCCUCCGUCAGACUUGGAAUAUCUGACCAUAUCUAGUUACGGAGGGUUUGAUUUGCCAAAUUGGAUGAUGACAUUGACCAGAUUACUGGCUCUUGAACUGCAUGAUUGUACAAAGCUGGAGGUCUUGCCUCCGUUGGGAAGAUUGCCCAACCUUGAAAGCCUGGCAUUCUGGUCGUUGAAGGUGAGAAGGCUGGAUGCUGGAUUUUUAGGUAUAGAAAAAGAUGAGAAUGCCAGUAUUAAGGAAGGAGAAAUUGCAAGGGUCACUGCUUUUCCCAAAUUAAAAACACUUGAGAUUUGGCAUCUCGAAGAAGUAGAAGAGUGGGAUGGAAUUGAAAGGAGAUCAGUGGGAGAAGAAGAUGCCACCACAACUUCAAUAAUAUCCAUGAUGCCACAACUUCGAUGGUUGAGAAUUAUCAAUUGCCCGUUGCUGAGAGCACUACCAGACUAUGUUUUGGCAGCGCCUCUACAGGAAUUAGACAUAAGGUGGUGCACCAUUCUAAGGAAACGUUACGGGAAGGAGGAGAUGGGUGAAGAUUGGCAAAAGAUUUCUCACUUCCCAAACAUUUAUUUUGAAUAAUAUGUAAGCCUUACCAUUUACUCUAUGUGACCUCUUUACUGUAAAAUCCAAGACCUAUCACUGAUCAUGGCAAGACUCACUCCUCUAUUUCCAGAUCCAAAAAUGUCAAGAUAUUUUUAAUUCUUUAAUUCUAUGAAUAAAAACAUAGAUAUUGAAUUUUUUUUUUAAUCUUUCAUAAAUUGAAUUCAAUUUUCGAAAACUUUCUACAAAUCUAAAUAUGGAUAUUGAAAACGACAUCAAAAUAGGAACUUUCAUAGGUUUCCACACACUCCCAUAUGCCUUGAGCUUAAGCGCAGGUGGACAUCUUUUUUUUCUUUUUCUUUUUUUCCAAGACAAAUGCUGCAACCUAUUAAUCAUCCAUGAGCCAUGUGUGCAUACCGCACGCCUCCUUACAGGGCAUCUUCACUGCCGGACUGGUGGGAUUCAUAUAGACUUCAUAUGUGCUACUUUGAGGCUCCAUAUCUCCGUUUCUAGUGUUCUUGAACUCGUCAGAGAGCUUACACUGCAUGCUAUCUAUAACAACAGAUAUCAAGCACAGACAAUAAAGCAUAAGAAAAUUACAAGACAGAAAAACCAAUUCAUCGUAAUUCAAACGCUGAAAUCUCUCAGCAUACAAGUCCAAUUUACACGCCAUUUCCCAGAUUUAGUGCUCGUGGCAGAUGCACAUGAGGUAAUCAUUUCAUGCUAUUUGAUGCUUUCUAAAGUUACCAUAUAUGUCCAUAAUACGAGUUUGAAACAGAAACUGAUGCAAACAGCCAUAUUAAUCAUCCAUGAGCCAAAAAUUAAGAACUGCAAGAGUAAAAUGAACUGACUUCUUACUGCAAAAUGUGAACAGGCAAACGGUGGAUUUGGAAAUCAAGGGGGCAAGAAAAACCUUGUAAUUCAAAUAGGUGCACAGGCUAGGUGUGACAACCCUUUUAAUUCAUGAUCAGUGUAAAAUAUCUAUGGUUGUGGUAAUGCUAAUUAGAGUUGUUGAAUUAUAUUGCAAUGCAAUUCCAUGAUGUAAAAGUAUUUUUCAACUUGGAUUAAACUCACUUAAUUAGUUUAUUAAUUUGUACAAAAAUAGUUUUAUUUCAUAAAAUCUCAUAAAAUAGAAAUUACAAAUAGUAAUUCAACUCAUAAUUUCAUGCUCUCUCUUAUAUAAAAUUUUAAUUUGAACUAAACUAUUCUUUAUAGAAUGAAGUAUUAUUGCUUUCCAUCUAGAAAUGAAACACAAUAAAUUAUUUCAUAAAACAAUACAUGCAAAAUAAUUCAAUACUACUUAUAAAAGAAAAACCAUUUUAAAGUAUUAAGUCAAAAAUUCAGGAUGUUUUAAAGUAAUCCCUAGUAAUUUUGAUUUUCUCAUAAAUCUAAUUUUAUUGAGUGAAUGAAAGAUUUCAAAUAUAUAGUACGUAGUAUAUAAAUAAUUUUCUGAACCAAAGAAAGAUUUCAAAUAUAUAGUACGUAGUAUAUAAAUAAUUUUCUGAACCAAAGAAAAAACAGAAUUUUAGGAGUGAUUUAAAAUCAUGAACUAGAAUUUAAGUAUUCAAGUUGAGCAUAUUAAAUUUGAAUUCCCAGUCGUUCAAGUGCAUGGGACACAAAUCCUUCUUCAAGAAUCGUUGUGUUUUCUUCCCCUCGGAACCCAUUAAAACAUGGAGCCCAAAAGUAUUUAGAUUGCCCAAUUCACCAAGUCAUAAUGAGAGAACCCAAGCCCAAGCAGAGUACUCUGGGCUAAUUCAUUUUAUUUAGUACUAUGAUUAUUAUAUGCACUCCAUUAAUUAUUAGUUCCACUUCAUUUUGUAGCCACGAUGAUCAAUUAUGCAUAUGACCUCACCUCAACACUAGUUUUGUACCCGCACUCUGCAAUGAGGUGCAUAUAGUGUUUUUUCAGAGCAUCAAAGCAUUGACUAAGAAAGACUGACUGAAUUGAAACAGAACGCAACGAGACUUUUGGGUUUGAAACUAAUCCAGUGAAGACAGCAAAUAACCUUCUUCUUUUUUUUUUGUAAGGGAAGGCAAAUAGAAUGAGUUUAAAGCAUAAUGACUUAAUUGCAAAAUGCAUAUGAAUGCAGUUUUUUGACAAGGGAGUUUGGUGUUCCUGAAGCAGCAACAAUGGCUGCUAAGCUACGCAUAAUUUGUUGUCUUGUUCCCAACAAUGCCAUUCUGAUCCCAAACGCUGCUGAGUCUAGCAUGCUGAUUUCCUCACUAAUUUCGAUCUGAAUUUCAAUUUCCAGAUUUCAUAACCUUAGCCCUUAUUUUAGUAACCAAACAACUCUCUUCCUAUGUUCCUGCAUCUGCAUGUCGACUCUUCACUCUCUGAUUCCUGAAUCUUGAAAAGACUCUUCCUUUGUUUUUCUAGUUGUCUUGCGUUAUGUUUCUAGCUAAAAGAAGAAAUAAGUGACUUAAAUUAUGAAAAAGUAGAAAAAGACAAUGAAAGAAGUGCCUUAAAUCACGUUAAGUUAAGAAAGGAAUGAAAAGAAAAAAAGAAGAAAGGAAGGUGAUGUAGUCCAUACAAAAUGAAUCCUUUCCUCCAGAAAAUCUUGCUCAUUUCUUGUCCUUUUCACACCCAUUUGCUCCCCUUCACAAACAAACCUCCCCAUUUAAAGGAGCUCCAAUCACGCAAACCAGCAAUCCUUCCCAACUUUUUUCCAUGACCACAGCACGCUACUGAUAUCCACACAGCCCCAGCUUCAGACAGCUUCCAUCACGCAGACCCUUUCCUGUUAACACAACCGCAGAGCCUGUAGCUGCCGCCAACAAAACCCCAGCAUCCUCUCCAUGAAUAAACCAAAACACAUCCCUGCUCAUCCACUGAUAACUCCUUAAACUACCCAGAUACAUGACUUCCAAAAGGUAUAUGAUUUUUAAAGUUAAAUGUAACCUCUAAAAGUAUGGAGAGUUGGGGACUUGAAUUAUUCUUUGCACGGUGACAAAUGAAUUCUAGAAUUUAGAUUUUUAUUUCCCAUCUAAAUAUUAAAAUAUUUGACAUUAAAGAUAUUUUAAUAUAUUUUUAAACAAAAAAAUAUAUAUAAAAAAUACUUUACAGCAUAAUUUCAAGCACCAUCAACAAAUCCAAUCAUACAACCUCAACAAAUCUGGACCAUCCAUUUUCAGACCCAAAAUCAAAGAUCAAUAUCAAACCCCAGUCCCUGCUAUGAAAACAGGAUAAAAUCACCAGAUCUCAAAAACCCAGAUAGAUAGAUGCUUGUUUAUAUUUCCAUUACACAAGAACUAAUUGGUUACUAAUUUUGGUUUGUUUAAAUUAGUUUGAAUGGCCAGAUAUAUAUUACAUAAAAUGAAGAGAAGAAAUAGAGAAGCAGGAAUUUCAGUAGAAUGCUAUAAUCAGAUGUCCAUAUCAGAUACAUUCUUAACCUACGGUCAGUAUCAAUAAAAAAUAAUUGCUAUAUAUCGAAGAAGAAAUUACUUUCCACAAAUAAUAAUCCUUAGCCUAGAACUCGGUAGAAUUGAAAAGCACGAGUGUUUCACCUUUGGAACUCAAAAUGGCAUGUCAUUCUCAGUAGAAACAUACAACCAGGACUAGACUGAAAAGCUACAAUAAUAUAGGGACUGAAUUGAAGUGUUAGAAACAGUACAGGGACUGAAACAAAACUCAACCCCCAUCACCAAACCCUAAGUACAUAAACUAACUAAACCAGCAGCCUCCUUCCACUCACACUCUCUUCUCUCUCUUUCUCAGUUCAUCCUAACAUCAUUGUCUAUUUUUUAAAAAUAAUUAAAUUAAACAGACAAAUGGCAGAGGCACUUUUAUCGCCAAUUUUGGAGCAGCUAACCACGGUCGUUGCUCGACAGGUAAUUACUUUUAUACAAUUUGCAAUGAUCUAAUUAACCCUUACAUUAAUAAGAAAUAUAAAAAUGAUCUCUUUUUCUUUCUUUAUAAGAAAAACAAAAUAAAAUAUCAAAUCCUCAGAUCUAGAUUUGGAUUUUAUUAAAGAAAUUUCUAUUUAUUGUUUUAUUAUUUUUCAUAUUUCUGGAAAUAAUCUAAAACAAAUAUUCUUAGAAGGAAAAUGGAGUUGUCGAUCCUCUCAUAAAACUGAACUACUAAGGGUAAAAUAAUCAAUCAGAUGUUAAAAUAAUAAGUUUCAUAAUCUUAUUAUAAUACCAACAAAUAUUUAUUUCCAAAUAGAUUUUACGAAUACCAACAAAUACAGAUCCUUUUAUUCUCAAUAUUUCUUUGAUCCACCAAGCUUAUGUUAUAUAUAGGUUUGACGUUGAACAAUUUAAGAUUCAUUUUCUUCCUUCUUGUAUAGUAGCAGAGUGCAGACAGAGAUAUCAUCAUGAUGAUGAUAAAAAUAAAUAUUAUUAUUUUUAAUAUAUUGGUUUUUAAUAAAUAUUUUAUAUAUAAAUUAUUAAUAUAGCCAAUCCAUUUCACAGUACGUGUCAACUACUGCGAAAAAAAACAGAUUAAUAAAAAUUAUCUAAUCUAUUAAUUACCAAAAAUUAAAAUUAAAAACUUGCAGUGAAAUCAUGGAAAUGUUUCCUCUGCUUGAACUUCUUUAUCUUUUCCACACUAAUAGGUACGAGAAGAGGCCUAGUGGGGGAUGUGAAGAAACAAGUCGACAAGCUGAAAAGCAAUCUCCUUGCUAUCCAAUCUGUCCUUGAAGAUGCAGAUAGACAACAAGUGAAGGAUAAGGCUGUAAGAGAUUGGCUAAACAAGCUCAAAGAUGUAUGUUAUGAUUUGGAUGACGUGCUCGAUGAAUGGAGCACUGCAAUUCUUAGAUGGAAAAUGGAGGAAGCUGAAGAAAAUACUCGCAGCCGACAGAAGAUGCGAUGUUCCUUCCUGAAAUCUCCUUGCUUCUGUCUCAAUCAAGUGGUUCAACGUCGCGACAUUGCCCUCAAGAUCAAAGAAGUUAGUGAAAAAGUGAAUGACAUUGCCAAAGAGAGAGCAAUGUUUGGCUUUGAGUUGUACAGAGUCACUGAUGAACUCCAGCGACUAACAACUACCUCCUUUGUUGAUGAAUCAAGCGUGAUUGGUCGAGAUGGUGAAAAGAAAAAUGUUGUAAGCAAGUUGCUGGCUGAAAGUAGUCAAAAAGCACGGGACGUGGAUGUCAUCUCUCUAGUAGGGCUGGGCGGAAUUGGAAAAACAACUCUCGCCCAACUAGCUUUUAAUGAUUCUGAGGUUACGGCUCAUUUUGAGAAAAAGAUAUGGGUGUGUGUUUCAGAUCCAUUUGAUGAGGUUAAAAUAGCCAAAGCUAUCCUUGAGCAGCUUGAAGGGAGUGCACCGAAUUUGGUUGAAUUGCAAUCCCUUUUGCAAAGGGUUUCUGAAUCCAUUAAGGGAAAGAGGUUCCUUCUUGUCCUUGAUGAUGUAUGGACAGAAAAUCAUGGACAAUGGGAAAAACUGAAACCAUCUCUCACAGGCUGUGCACGAGGAAGCAGAAUUCUAGUGACCACUCGUAAGGACGCUGUGGCAACGAUGAUGGGAAGUACUGGCCACCGGAUCAACAUUAAGGAAUUGUCCGACGAGAUAUGCAGGUCAAUAUUCAAUCAUGUGGCAUUCCAGGAAAGAAGCAAAGAUGAGCGCGAAAGAUUGACAGAUAUCGGCGAGAAGAUUGCAAGCAAGUGCAAGGGCUUGCCUCUAGCUGCCAAGGUAUUAGGAGGUCUGAUGCAGUUUAAAAGAACAAGAGAAGAGUGGGAACGUGUUUUAUCUAGCGAACUGUGGGAGCUAGAACAUGUUGAAAGGAGACUAUUUCCACCUUUGCUUUUGAGUUACUACGAUUUACCUUAUGUGGAAAGACGAUGUUUCUUGUAUUGUGCCAUGUUUCCAAAAGACUACGACAUGCGCAAAGAUGAAUUGGUGAAGAUGUGGAUGGCUCAAGGUUACCUGAAGGAGACAUCAGGUAGAGAUAUGGAGGUUGUUGGAGAGGAGUACUUUCAAGUCUUGGUAGCACGCUCUUUCUUCCAAGAUUUUAAGAAGUAUGGUCUAGAAAAUAUCAGAUUCAAGAUGCAUGAUAUAGUGCAUGAUUUUGCCCAAUAUAUGACAAAAAAUGAAUGUCUAACAGUGGAUGUCAAUACACUUGGAGGAGCAACAGUGGAGACUUCAUUUGAAAGGGUUCGUCAUUUAAGCAUGAUGCUGUCAGAGGAGACAUCUUUUCCCGUGUCUAUUCACAAAGCCAAAGGUCUUCGCAGCCUCUUGAUCGACACUAGAGACCCUUCGCUUGGAGCUGCACUGCCUGAUUUGUUCAAGCAGUUGACAUGCAUCCGGUCAUUGGAUUUGUCAAAGUCUUCUAUCAAAGAAAUACCGAACGAGGUAGGGAAAUUGAUACAUUUGAGACACCUCAAUCUGGCAUCUUGUGGAGAGUUGGAGUCCCUGCCAGAAACCAUGUGUGAUUUAUGCAAUCUGCAAUCCCUAGACGUUACUUGGUGUGGUUCUCUCAAGAAAUUGCCUAAUGCGAUUGGAAAACUUAUCAAAUUGAGGCAUCUCCGGAUUAAUGGUUCAGGUGUGGACUUCAUACCAAAGGGAAUAGAGAGGAUAGCAUGUCUUCGAACAUUAAAUGUGUUUAUUGUGUGUGGUGGUGGUGAGAAUGAAAGUAAAGCAGCUAAUCUAAGAGAAUUAAAAAACUUAAAUCACAUUGGAGGGAGUCUUGGGAUACGGAAUCUACAAGAUGCGAGUGACGCUGCAGAAGCACAACUCAAGAAUAAGAAGCGCCUGCUUCGUUUGGAAUUGGAUUUCGACUACAACCAGGAGAGCGGCAUUUUAAUUGAAGCUUUACGGCCUCCGUCUGACUUGAAAUAUCUAACCAUAUCUAGGUACGGAGGGUUGGAAUUGCCAAGUUGGAUGAUGACAUUAACCAGAUUACAGGAGCUUAUACUGUCUGAUUGUACAAAGCUGGAGGUCAUGCGUCCGUUGGGAAGAUUGCCCAACCUUGAAAGCCUGGUAUUGAGGUCGUUGAAGGUGAGAAGGCUGGAUGGUGGAUUUUUAGGUAUAGAAAAAGAUGAGAAUGCCAGUAUUAAUGAAGGAGAAAUUGCAAGGGUCACUGCUUUCCCCAAAUUAAAAACACUUUGGAUUGGUAAUCUCGAAGAAGUAGAAGAGUGGGAUGGAAUUGAAAGGAGAGUGGGAGAAGAAGAUGUCAACACAACUUCAAUAAUAUCCAUUAUGCCACAACUUCGAUGGUUGACAAUUCUUAACUGCCCGUUGCUGAGAGCACUACCAGACUAUGUUUUGGCAGCGCCUCUACGGGUAUUAGACAUAUGGGGUUGCCCCAUUCUAAGGAAACGUUACGGGAAGGAGGAGAUGGGUGAAGAUUGGCAAAAGAUUUCUCACAUCCCAAACAUUUCUAUUUAUAGUUAAAGAAUAGUAAAGGCACGGAAGUCUGUAGGACCGGCAGGAAGAGGUAUGUUUCAUAUACCUCUUUACUGUAUAUUGUUGACUUUGGAUUGUAUUUCCUACUUACCAUUUAUUCCAUCAAAUGCAGCUGUGAUAUAUAUACCCAUCUCUCUCUCUCUCUCUCUCUCUCUCUCAACAUAUAUAAAAUAAUAUGUAAUUCAUAUGUUCAUAUUUAAAGAAUAGUUAGGACCGGCAGGAAGAGGUAAUUUUUUAUUUAAUUAUUGAAUUAGACUUAAAUUUUACAUGUUAAAAAAUUAAUCUAAGAUGAAAUUAUCUCGCUUAAAUUCUCCAAAUGCCACUCUAAAAAAAUUAUUCUACCAGUGUUAAUUCAACGGUAAAAGAUUUUACCAAAUCUAUUUUAACAAAUCUAUUUUGGGCUCCCCAUUUUUGUCAUUCAGAAAAUGGAAUAGUCAUUUUAACUUUGUUUUUGAUUCUUGACUUUGUUUUUGAUUUACUAAUUCUUCAUUUGUUAACCAAAUGAUUUAUUUUUAUUUUGUUCAGAGUGGCUUCCGAUUUGGUUCUGUGUUGUGAUUUACUUCUUUGAUUGUAUUAAUUAUUUAUUAUUAAAAUAAUAUUUUUUAUUUUUUAAAAAUUAUUUUUAACAUAACAUAUCAAAAUAAUUUGAAAACAUCAAAAAUAUAUUAAUUUAAAAUAAAAAAAUAAAAAAAUUUCAAAAAAUUUUUAAAAUGCUUGCUAGACUUUAAAGUUAAUCUAAAUAAAAUAAAAUAAAAUAAAAGUCAAGCCAUACAUACAAUGAUGCUUAUAUGUGUAUUUUUUUUUUUUAAUGAUCCCAAUACAUAUUUGAAGAAUAAAAAAAUUAGUUCAAAAUUAAAAAAAAAAUUAAAAUCUUUUAAAAAUACAACUAAACUAUGGCACCUAGCACCAGGUACCAUGGGCCAGCGCGCCCAUGGCCAGGCAAGGAGCUCCCCUGAAAAGCAACAUGUAGAAUUUAGGCGUAAUAGAGUGUCUGUAGACACUACUACUUAGGUACUAGCUAUCACGCACUUUAAUAAGUUCAAUUAUUAGUAUUUUUAGCUGAAAUAUUGCACAAAAGCUGGAAAAAGUCCAAUUAAGUGGCUGUUUGGUAUAAUUAUAAUAUAUUAUUUUAGUAUAUAUUAUUAAGACAGCUAUAUUUUAGUAUAUAUUAUUAUAGUAUAAUUAUAAUAUAUAAGUUAUAUUAUUAUAAUUAGCAUUAUAAUAUAUAAGUAUCUCACGACUUUUAGAGUAUUACUUAAUUAAUAUUGAAAAUUUAUAUUUUUAAGAAAUUCAACAUAAUAUACUCAAUGGCUAGAAGCUUGGUGGCCAAUUUCAGAUCAUGAGUUUUCGUUUAUUGUCGAGGAUGAUUUGGAGGUUUCGCCGCUGUUUUAUAAAUUUGCGAGGGGUUUGCUUGCUAUUACAAUGUGUCGAAUUUUAGUCCUUUUAUAUAUGAUAUGGUGCUUCACUUCAGCGUCCACGGUUUGUCCCAGGUACUGCUCUUUUUUCAGGUUUUGUAUUUGUUAGACUGGAUGUUUUCAUGUUCAGUGUUAAGGUUUACAGAUUUCUUGAUUUGUUAAUUAUAUUGGGUUUUGUGCGGAUGUAGUGUGCUUCUCAUGCUAAAACUUGCUUUACAAUUGCUAGGCUGAAAUCCUUUUAGUCUUUUGCUUGUGGCGUAAAUAUAUGUAUCAUGUCCAUAGGAUGCGAAAUCCUUUUAGUCUUUUGCUUGUGGCGUAAAUAUAUGUAUGGUGUCCAUAGGAUGCGAACUUGAAAAGUUUCCAUUUGGUAUUUCGCAAUUGCAUAAGCAUAUGUGAUUAUGACACGUACGUCAAAAACAAUAUGCAUUAAUUUUGUUGCUGGUAGAGAGUGCCAUAUGCAAUAUUUUCUGUCUCUUAUUGGAGCCUUUUUAUGAAAAUUGUGUUAAUUCAACAAUUCUCAUUACAUACCCCUGACCUGAUUUUUUUUAAAAAGAAUUCUUUUACCUUUUUGAGAGUGAUUUUGGUUUAUCUGGUCGCUGAUUGCAGGUAAACAUGGAAACAAAAUACAAUUGGAUAGUGAAACGCAUCUUUUCUUGUACCCAUUGGUUGGUACUUGGCGUCAGAUUCUCUUUCCAAAACCUUGGAAAGAGUUUAGGUUGUGGUACGAUCUGUCACGUUCACACUAGAAGAAAAGAGUUGGAUUAAUUCGAGGAAAUCCACAGCCUCCAAUACUUACUGAUUGCUACUGUUUUCAUGCCUUUCUCAUUAACAUGAAGGACUAAAAUACAACUGGAAAAUAAUAACUGACGAUGCACAUUUCUUGCUCAUUAACAUGAAGAAGAAAGGAAGGUGAUGCAGUCCAGACAAUAUGAAUCCUUUCCUCCAGAAAAUCUUGCUCCUUUCUUGUCCUUUUCACGCCCAUUUGCUCCCCUUCACAAACAAACCUCCCAUUUAAAGGAGCUCCAAUCACACAAACCAGCAAUCCUUCCAAAAAAUUUUCCAUGACCAGCACAUGCUACUGAUAUCAGAUAAACAUAAAAUGAAGAGAAGAAAUAGAGAAACAGAUGACAAGCAGGAAUUUCAGUAGAAUGCUAUAAUCAAUUUCAGGAAUUUCAGUAGAAUGCGAUAAUCUUUCAGUAGAAUUCUCCAGACCAAUCGUGUUAUUAAGUGAAGACCAUGAAUUCAAAACUAUGAUAUCAGAAUCAAGAUAGAUAGCAUAACGAUGAUCAUCAGGAACAACCCAACAAGAAAAAAAAAACAAGAGACAAGUUACCAAAACAUAGAUUCUAAACAUAAGAAAUGGCGCGAUUGAAUCACUACAUUACAUAGUAUAACGAUGAUCAUCAGGAAUAUAAAAUAAAAAUUCUUCUCAACUCGAGCGAAGAGGGUAUUAACUAAUACAUGGUUUCUAGUUCAAGAGCCAGCAUCAAAAUUACUAGAUUAUGAGAUUUAUUUUAAACACCUCAAUGUGAUAGUACAGUGUCCUAUAUGAGAUUCACACAGGAACCAGCAAGAUGUUGUGUCAUUCUAGUCAUACAUGUGAUUGACAUUCCAGAAGGGGGAGAUAUUUUCAAGAAGCGAGCUAAUUACUUGUAGAGAGCAGCAAGGUGAACCGGUUCAAUAUAGUGAACAUAUGUCUUUCACCGCUGAAACCAAACUGGAGUGAAAAUAUGGGUUUUCUCCAUAGCCUUAUCACCUCUAGUCAACCACGGGUCUCGCAGCAAAGGAUACGGGUUCAAGAAAACAAAUUCACUAUUUAUCAAGCCAAUCACCCCACCCUUCUCUUAAAGAUUACAACUUUUUACUUAUCUUUAACAACAAAGCAUCUUCAAUAAUCUUAACUCACUAAGUUUUCUGUUAAUUUCCUCAUCAACAAGAAUAUCAUCACUGCCAAACACGGUCGUACUUUUAUAAUCCUCAACUAAAACCAUUGUAAUAAAAUAAAACAUCGUAAUAUCUUAUCAAUUUCUUAUUCAAAUACCUUAUAAUAGACCUGGUUACAUGAUCCAUGUAAUACCAAGAAUCGAGGGACUUUUCGUUUCUUCUUCUUCGGUGUUUUUUUUUACUUUCAUUUUCGUGAUCUUCUUCUUCUUCUUCUCUAAUGGUGUCUUCUUCAUUGAUAUUGUCGACGCCGAGACUUAGCUUGGGUUUUGAAUGAGGGACAGUGUUGUGUCGAUACCAAGAGUGUUUUUUUAUUGUCGUUUAGAAUUUUUAAAUUAAUUUUCUUUUAAAAAAAGGCAAUUAAAUUACGUGUUUUUAUGAUUUUAAUAUAUUAAUAUGAAAAAUAAAAAAAUCUAAAAGACAUUAUUAUUUAAUAUAUUUUAAAUAAAAAAAACUUUAUACAUCCCUUGUAGACUUAGGUAAAAAAUUAUUUUUUUAAAAAAUAAAUAAUUUAAUAAAAUAAUUGUUUUAAAAAAAUAAUUAAACUUUUAAACUCUGAUCCGAUGAAGUUAAGUUUAAAAAAUUCUGGUUAAAACUGGUUCAAAGCCUUCAUUGAGCCCAAUGUAAAGAGGCCCAACCUGCCGUCAUAAAAGCCCAAUAUUCUCUUCUCCGCCACCACUAUGCCAUGCCUUUUAUAUAAGCAAACGAAUAUGUACGAAGAAGAGCUUAGGCCUACAAAAGGGGAAAAGGGAGAAAAGUUGAUACUGCUUUUUCUUCUAAAUAGACACCGGAUGACUAUUGCACCCUUGUAAUGGUAUCUGAUUCAGCGAAAAGGAGGGUAUUAUGGUAAUUGGAACAACUUAAAUCGAGAAUCUGAACCGUUGUAUUCCUCUGCAAAGAUGCACAUGCUGUUAACCAAUGAUAAAUUAAUGUAUAGCUGUUACAGUUUGUUAUUUAUUAGGACUCCAUUACUGCAACAACUGUUACAAUAUGUUAUUCAUUAGGACUCCAUUACGGUUACAGUUACAGUUUGUUAUUCUUCCUGCAACGUAGAGAAUUCAGUUAGGUUCUGUAUCUAUAUAUAUAUAUGUCUUCUAUUAAUAAUAUAUGUAAGCAAUUCUCUUCCAAAAGCUUCAGCUCUAUCAUGGUAUUAGAGCGUCUCUGAUCCUUUAUUUAUUUUUUUCUCUUUCUCUUCCUACUCUUUUUCGGUUCUGUUUCUCCCUCAUUAACAUCACCAUGUCAACUUCCAUUCCAUCAAAUACGGAAAACCACCUUAUCACCAUAAACACAGCUGCUCAAGCUCCUCUUAAACUCACCUCUUCCAACUAUGCUUCCUGGAAAAUUCAAUUUGAAACACUCUUUAUUGGCUACGAUCUCCUUGGUUACAUCGAUGGGUCCAAGCCGUGUCCCUCACUAACUCUUAUAACAGAUGAUAUCAUUGUUCCCAAUCUUGCCUAUAGUCUCUGGGUGAGGCAAGAUCAACUUCUAUUGAAUGCUAUUGUUGGCAGCCUUUCUCCUCCGCUUAUCUUCUUUGUCGUCCGCACCAUUUCUUCUCAUGAUGCAUGGCAUGUUCUUGCCACAACAUAUGCCAAACCAUCCCGUGGACGUAUCCGCCAGGUGAAAAACCAGUUAAAGAAUCUCACAAAAGGCUCUAUGAGUAUCACAGAUUUUGUCUACUUCAUUAAAGCAAAAUCUGACGAACUUGCUGUUCUUGGUGCUCCUAUGGACACUGAUGAUCUUACUAAACAAAUCCUCGAUGGUUUAGAUGAAGAUUACACAGAACUUGUUCAGGUUGUCCAAGCUCGCGAAGCUGCUAUCUCCUUUGAUGAACUACAUGAGAAACUUCUCUUAUUUGAAGCAUCACUUCAAACACGGUCACAAUCCUCUCGUCUUGGUCCUAUUACUGCCAACUCUUUCACCAAGAACUCAAGCAACAACAAUUGGCGACCCUCAAGAACCAACUGGCGCCCAUUCUUUUCUCCUAUUGGGAACACUUUUCGUUCCCUACCUAUUGCCAACUUUCGACCUGCUACUUUUCCCAAUCAGGUUCGCAAUAAUCAUCUGCCUGCACGUCCUUAUUUGGGCCAUUGCCAGAUGUGUGGCACUCAGGGGCACACUGCUAAACGAUGUCCUUCUUUUCAUUUAGUUCAUGUUCAUGGUUCUAACAUUGCCAACUCCUCCAAUGGUAUGCCAUCCUCCUGGAAUCCCCAAGCCAAUUUUUCUUCUUCAUCUCUAUCCACCGCUGCGUCAUGGUUACUAGAUAGUGGUACUUCCCAUCACGUUACUGCCGACCUCAAUAAUCUUUCUCUCCAUACACCAUAUAAUGGACAAGAUGAUGUUAUGCUAGGCGAUGGUACCAAUCUUCCUAUAAGUCACACUGGUUCAGUAUCUCUUCCCACAUCUAACUCUUUUUUCCAAUUACAAGAUGUUUUGUGUGUUCCCAAAAUGCAAAAAAAAUUAAUAUAUAUUGCAUUAUUCUGUAUCACUAACAAUGUGUCAAUUGAAAUUUUUCCUCAUUGUUUUCAUGUGAAGGACCUACAAACGAGGGACAUUCUUCUGCAGGGCGGCACUAAGGAUGGUAUUUAUGAAUGGCUAGUUGCCAUCUCUUCCACUCCUCCCAUUCUAGCUUUCUCUGUUGUCAACAAUGUCCAUUUGGCACCGGCGCUUUGGUCAUCCAGCCUUCACAAUUCUUAAACAUAUUAUGUCCUCCUAUCAUUUAAAUUUUUCUUCUCAAAAGAAUUUCUGCUGCAAUGCUUGCUUAAGUAAUAAAAGUCAUAAACAACCAUUUUCUGUGUCUAUUUUGCUCACUACUCGUCCUCUUCAAGUUGUAUUUUCUGAUGUUUGGACUUCUCCUAUUAUUUCACACGAUGGUUAUAAAUACUAUGUUAUCUUUAUUGAUCAUUUUACAAAAUACAUUUGGUUAUAUCCAUUAAAACAAAAAUCUGAUGUCCAAAUAGUGUUUCGACGCUACAAAGCAAUUGUUGAAAAAUAUUUUCAACAAACCAUUAUUUCUCUUUAUUCUGAUAAUGGUGGUGAAUACAUUGCUCUCAAACCAUUUCUUUCAGAACAUGGGAUUAGUCAUCUCACGUCUCCACCACAUACACCUGAACAUAAUGGUUAUUCUGAACGGCGACAUCUUCACAUUGUCGAAACUGGUCUUGCCCUUUUUUCUCAUGCCUCAAUUCCCACUACCUUUUGGACUUAUGCCUUCACCACUGCUGUUUACCUAAUUAACAGGAUGCCAACUCCCACAUUAAACAUGUCUUCACCAUAUGAGUCAAUUUUUCACAAGAGUCCUAAUUUUUCUAAACUUAAAGUGUUUGGCUGUUUAUGUUAUCCUUGGUUGGGUCCAUAUGCAUCUCAUAAACUUGAUUUGAAAUCUCAACCCUGCGAUUUUCUUGGAUACUCCCUUUCUUAGAGUGCAUAUCUAUGCCCUAACAAAUCCACUAACAAACUACAUGUUUCACGGCAUGUACAAUUUGUUGAGUCAGUUUUUCCUUAUAAGUCUUAUCCUACUGCAACUUCAAAUUUUCCUUCCCCCGUGUCUGACUGGAUGCCUUCACCUAUUUUUGUCUCAUCUCAAACCCCACAACAACUGGCUCUUUCUGCUCCUUCCUCACAAUGUCAUGCAGAUGCAUCUCCUUCUAUGGUCUCUUCAUCAAGUCCUCCAACUCAUGCCGAAGCAAUUCCUUCCAUCAUUUCUACUCCACAGGUACCUACUUCCCCCUCUCAUCAUAAUCCUUCACUUCCAGCUCCAUCUCUACCUGUUCCACCACCACCACAACAUUCCCAACACCCUAUGAUCACUCGGUCCCGGAAUAAUAUCCACAAACCAAUCCAGAAACUCAGUCUUCACACUACUAAACCAGUCAUCUUUCAAACAGAACCUUCCACCUCCUCUCAGGCACUUAAAGAUCCAAACUGGCGAUCUGCUAUGUCUGAGGAAUAUGAUGCUCUAGUAUGCAAUGACACAUUGGAACUUGUUCCUCCUAAUGGUAUCACUAACGUUGUUGGUUGCAGGUGGGUUUACCGCAUUAAAAGACAUUCUGAUGGUUCUAUAAACAGGUUUAAAGCACGACUUGUUGCAAAAGGUUUCCACCAGCGUCUCGGUGUGGACUAUCAUGAGACUUUCAGCCUCGUUGUGAAGCCAACAACUAUCCGCUUGGUACUCAGCCUUGCUGUCAGCCGCGGAUGGUCACUUAAACAACUGGAUAUCAACAAUGUUAUCGCACGUGUGCAGCGUCACGACGAUCAUCCACCCUCAAUUGUAUGGAUAUAUAUCUAGUAAAUACGGGGAGACACGAAAUUCUUUGUCUCUUAGCAGUAAAAAAAAUGGAAUGGAGUCGCCACCUAGUAUUAUGGUCACUAGGAACCCUAAUUGGUCUCAGAGAUCGGGUACGGAGACUGGUUGCGUAAAGGGAAGGUAUUAGCACCCCAAAUACGCCCUACCUAAGGUAAGCUGCAUUGUUUUAUUUGUCUGAUCAAAAUCUAAGGUUUGGUCGUGUUUUCUAAUUGUUGGUCUUGUCUAUCUAAGAUUCAAGAAAAGCCCUCCUCAAUAAGAAGGUUCUUAUCUUAAUGGGGUAGAACCUAACCGUUCUAACGUUGGAAAAAGAUUUAAUAUCCGGAAUACGUAUUACGUGUCAUAUCGUACCCUGGAUACUAAAAGACAAACAAAAUAAAAUUUUUUAUUGUUUUUGAAAUUUUGGCUAAUGUUCUCUUGACUUUAAUAAACUGGUUAUUAAAGCCAAAAUGCAUGUUAAAACAUUAUUUUUUUGUUUAUAAAAAACACAAUAUGAUUUUUUAGCUUUGAGACACUUGGCCGUAUGCACAAAAAUAUUUUUUCUUUUUUUCAAAGUUUUUUGUAUUUUUGAAAGUUUUGACGAAAACCGGGUAUUUUAAUAUCAAAUUUUGUAUUUUUAGCAACAUAAAAAUACUGCUUGAUAUUAAUCAAAAUGACAAAAAAAUACGCAGGAAACUUGUAAAAUUACAAACAAAUAUUUUUGAAUUUUUCUUUUAACAAAAAAAGAAAAAAAAUUGGGUCGGAUCUGGCCCAUCCAUCCUGGGCUGGGCCUGACCCGGCCCAUAUACUGUGGGCUGGGCUGAUGUGCCAGCCCAUAACAAAUAAAAGGACUGGUUACUGUGCUGCGCACAGUAACCAGCAAAAAUAUAAUUAGCUAGUUAAUCUUCAUUUUGCUGCAGAACGUAAACGUUCUGUAAAAUGAAGCUGAAGCACAAAACGAUGGGGGAGGGGAGAAAGUUACCUGGAGCGGUGGCGACGCUGGCGGCAGCGGAUGCGACAGGGGUGGUGGUGUAGGCGGCGACUGUUCUCCUUCCUUCUCUCCCGUCUCCUCUGUUUCUCUUCUCAGCCACCCUCUCCUCUGCCUUUUUUUGUUUUCUAACUUUGGACACAAAAGAAAAAAAUUAUAUCGGAGCCCAAUCAUUGCUCCACCAUGCACACAUGCUUAACCACCUAAAAGAGAACGGUGCGACGCUUCCAACACUAUAAUGGAAAGCGGUGCUUGGCCAUCGAGAGAUGCCACAUGUGUCAUUCAAGGAGCAUUGAUACCUCCCACUCUCUGACACGUAUUGCACGUGUCAACCAGUUUUUAUUUUUAUAUAUAUGUUAAAAGACUAAAUUUUUUCUCAUUUACAUUGAUUAUAACUAAAAAGCCAUAAUGAAAAUAUAAAAACACACCUGGACACAAGUUUUAAUUUUUUUUCCUUUUAAAAGCAAUGUAGUCAUUUAACUAUGCUAGCAAAACGUAAAAAGAAAUAACCCCUUGGACCUUAAUUGUAAAAAAAAAAAUUUAAGACUGUUUAAGUAAUUUUACUGUGCAUUUGAAAUGGUAAAAGAUCUAUUGUCCCUAAUUAAUACGAGAAUGACAAAUGAACCAUGUAAAAAAGACUAAAUUACCCCUAACAGCUAGUUAAAUGACUUUUUUAGAAGGGCAAAAUAGUCAUUAUAUUUUUUUAUUCCACAACGAUGAGUUUAGGGAUACAGUGAAACGUUGAUGGCUUUUUAUUUUUUAUAUUUACUAGAACAAUUUUUAAGGAUAUUAUAGUUAAUUUUUAAGGAUAUUUUAUAUAUUCAUAAAUUAAAUGUUAAUGAAAAUUAAGAAAAGAAAAGAAUUAAAUUAUCAAUAAUGAUUGAUGAGAAACAAAAUUAAUGUAAUGUAUAUUUUGAAUAAUAAAUUGAGAUGAAGAUAUAAAAUAUUUUUUUUCUAGAAUAAUUUUGAUUCUUUUAAAGUGCAUUUAUAUAUAUAUAUAUAUAUAUAUAUAUAUAUAUAUAUAUAUAUAUAUAUAUAUAUAUGCAGUCUCUCUAUUUUCAUUAUCUGUAUUUUUUAUAUUUCAAGACAAGAAUCAAAUGCUACAUACAAAUAUUAUACAUUAUAGAAAGAAGUAUAAUUUUAUUCUCUCUAAUUCUCAGUCCACCCUUUUCAAGAUUUAAAAUUAAAAUCUCCUCAUAAAAAACCUAAAUCUUAACAGUUAGAUUGUGGAUUUAGUAAUUAAUAUUAAAUUCUGUCCUUGUUGUUUUGUAAUUUAAUGCUAAGUUGCUAACUAUACUCUUAUAAAUUCUCGUACACAUUCAAGAAAAAAACAAAACCCUAAAGUAAACCAUUAGUGAGGUUGGAUUCCUUCCUUUUAUUUAUAAUCGUUUAAAACCAAACCCUUCUCUUUCUUCCUUCCAUCGAAAUAUCAACUUCGUUUAGAAUUUGAUUGCUUGUCGUUUUCAUUGUGCGGCAUUCCAAAAUUACUGAUUCGAAACCACAUCUUCAACAAAAAUAAUCAUCCACAUGCUUCAUCUGUGGAUGACAAAUUCUAGGAAUCUCAGCUAAUUGUGAGAACUGCUGCGACAAACCUAUGAAAGAUGUCAGGGAAGGAUUAAGAAAGCUAGCUAUUUCAACGAAAAAACUAUUUACUAGGGCUAAAAAACGAAAGAAAGCCUGCUUUUUUGUUCUUAGAGGGAAGGGCAAGGGCCAAGGUUGAUUGGACUUGAUAUAAAGAUGAUGUCUAAUAAAAAUGCCAUUGAUGGCCCUUUUUGCAGGCUGUGAUUCAAGGGCCGCGAUCAUUUUUGGAUGCUGAUUUUGUUUUUAGUAAAAAAUUAAAAUCUAAUAAUUCUAAAACUUGGAAAAAAAUUUCUAAGGUUUUAAAAAAAUUCUCAUCGAUAAAUUUUUUUUAUUAAAAACUAAUUAUUGUAAAAGCUGAAACAGAGAGAAGAGCAGCUGCUGGGAACCCAAAAAGGAUGAUUUUGUUUUCUAACUUUGGACCCGAAAAUCCCCCCUGUUUCUGCUUCUUUGUAAACCUCCCCUGUCUCUUUUCUCAAAUUUGUUCCUCCCUUCUCUAUUUUUUUUUCUUCUUCAAGUUUGUUUCUCAAAAGUUUUGCCCCCUCUGGUUUCUCUCUCUUUUUUGUUUUUGCAGCUUGCCUGUCUUCCCCUGCUCUUUCCCUUUUUUUUUCUCCAAAGAAAAUUGUUGGUCUCUCUCUCGGUCUCCCUCACUUUCUCUUUAAAAAAAUCCUUCCAGCUCUCCCUUCUUGAUCUCCCCCCCUAUUCUCCUGCACUCCCUCUGUAUUUAUAGGCAGAGGGAGAGAGGGCCACCAUGCCCUAUCCUGCCAUUAUGCAGGGCAUGGCAUGGUGGCAUAGGGGUGGCUACUCCACAGCCGCCCCUACCUCUGUAGGGCAUGGGUCUUUUGGUGUGAAGGCGUGGUGGUGUCAGUGAAGGGACAAGUCAGGUCGUAGUUGGUUUUUUGGUUUUUGGGAGAGAGAAAGGAGAGAAAAAAAUAGGGGGAAAAAUGCUUCUUCUUCCCCUGUUCUCUGCGCGUCCAGGGGAAGAAGCAGGCUUAUGGUGCCGUUCAAAACGGCACCGUUUGCUCUUUCUCUCUCUUUUUUUUCCAGUGAAAUGCAUGAAACGACGCCGUUUUGACCAAAACGCGUCAUUUCAUUUAAACGAAAACUGGCGCCAAAAUGGGUCAAUUUGCGCGCUUUUUCACUAUGGUCCUUGGUUUUGGAUUUCUUCAAUCGAGUCCCUAAUUGGCCACCAGACUUCAAUAUGUAUGCAAUUAAGCCCCUGAUUUGACCAAAUCAACUCUUAAAAAUUAUAAUUUGACCCCAGAACUUUAAUUUCUUCCAAUUAAAACCCAAAUUGACUUAAAAAUCAAUUUUUCUUGCGAUCAAACCCUCCAUAAAUUCAAUUAAACUUUCAAUAAAAUUUAAUUGAGCCCAUAUACAUCUGAUUUUGUACAUUUCUUCCUCAAAUAAAAUUUUCUUUAUCAAUAGGGCUCUCACCGGUCAACGAUAUACUGUCAAAUUUCAAUCCUUGUAUUUUUUGAUCCUCCUCAACCAAUUUUUGACCAUUUUCGGGGCGCUCUAGCAUCCUCUUUUCACUGCUAUUAUUUUUUUAUUUUUUUUAUUUUGUGCGGGGACCAAAAAAUGGGUUACAACAAAUGCUUUCCUUCAAGGUCAUCUUUCUGAAACCGUUUACAUGGCGCAACCUCCUGAAUUUGUUGAUCGCGAAAAACCGUCAUUUGUUUGCAAACUCCACAAAGCCAUUUAUGGACUCAAACAGGCGCCCCGGGCUUGGUAUCAUGAAUUGCGCACAUUUUUGUUGGCUUCUGGUUUCCGCAAUUCCCACUCUGAUCCUUCUCUGUUCAUAUUUAACAGUGCUCAGCAUGUUUUGUUUUUACUGGUUUACGUGGAUGACAUUAUUGUCACAGGCAGCGAUGACGACAUUCUAUCAGAUUUUGUUUCUAGCCUUGCCAAACGUUUUUCUCUUAAGGAUCUUGGCAAUUUGUCCUACUUCUUGGGUGUUGAAGUUCUUCCUCACAAACAGGGUAUUCUACUCUCUCAACGCAGGUACAUUACUGACCUGCUAACUCGUCUCAACAUGCUGGACGCAAAACCAGUGCUCACUCCAAUUCCAAGCUCUGCAUCUGCUAUUUCAUUGCUGUCUGACUCGCCUUUAUAGAAUCCCACUGUUUAUCGUGAAGUUGUAGGGAGUCUUCAGUAUCUUUCUCUUACAAGACCAGAUGUGUCAUUUGUUGUGAACAAACUAUCUCAGUUCAUGCACAGCCCAACCGAUGACCACUAGAUCCUUGUUAAGCGAAUUAUGUGAUAUCUUAUUGGUACACUAAACAAGGGCCUUCUUCUGCACCGUGACUCGCCCUACAAUCUUCAUGCCUUCGCUGAUCAACUUCAUGCCUUUUCAGAUGCCGAUUGGGCUGGCAAUAAAGAUGAUUAUUCAUCCACCAGUGCUUAUCUAGUUUACCUUUGGAGUAAUUUAAUUUCAUGGAGUUCAAAUAAACAAAAGACCAUUGCCAGGUCUUCAACAGAGGCUGAGUAUCGCUCCGUUGUUGCCACUGCUGCUGAGCUCUGUUGGGUACACUCUCUACUUCAUGAACUUGGUGUUGCUCUGUCUUCUUCACCUGUGAUAUACUGUGACAACAUUGGAGGAACUCAGUUAAGUUCCAAUCCUAUUUUUCAUUCUCGCAUUAAACAUGUUGUCGUUGACUACCAUUUCGUCCUAUUUUCAGGGAUAAUAUAAAAAAUUUCAUUAAAUUUAAAAAAAUGAUGAAAUCUCGUAUCUUCAGGAUUCACGUCAAAGUUUUUGUUAAAAUUCAAGAAAUUGUGAAAUAUAUUAUCUUUAAGGAUUAAUGUAAAAAAAAUAAAAAGUUAAAAAACUAGUGAAAUCUCCUAUUUCAGAAAUUAAAGAUAACAAAAUUUUCGUUAAAAUUCUUUUAUAUAUUAAGGCCAGUGCCAUAAAAUGACAAGCUAUGAAAUCUUAGAUUUUUAGGGUUUAACGUUAUUUCGACAAGUUUUUUUAUUUUUAGAAACCGAUAUUUAUUUUUAAAUAAAUCAUAAAUAAAAUCAGAAUAUAAUAGCAUAAAAUAACUUAGAAAAACAAAAGUAAUGGUAAUUUUUUAUUUGAAAAGAUAUGAUAAGGGUGGUGUUAACCUGAUAAGGGUGGUGUUAAAAAGAGAGGCAACAACGGAGAAGAAGAAAUAAAAAAGACAUAAAAGCACAGUAUCUGCAACAAGAAGAAGGAAGGAGAAAACAGGAUCAGACAAUAGAUAAAAAUGAGAAGUCAACUUCUAUUAUCCCCGAAAAAGAUCUCAAUGAGAAGUCAACUUCAAUUUCAUUUUUCAACCUACAAGUUGUGCUGAUCUUCCUUUACCACAGUCCUACAAAAACUAAUAAAAAAAUGUUGAGACACUAAAAUACAAGCUUCACCUGCAACGCCAAACCCUAAGUAUAUAAACUAACUUCCAUUCACAAUCAGCCGCCUCCUUCCCUUCACCCUCUCUUUCUCUCUGCUCAUCCCAUCAUCAUUGCUUCUCUCUCUCUCUCUCUCUCUUUCCAAUCAGAACUAAACAGACGAUGGCUGAGGCACUUCUAUCUCCGAUCUUGGAGCAGUUAACCACAAUCGUUGCUCAACAGGUAUUUUUCUACCAUCUGCAAUAACCUGAUUUACCUAGCAGAGAUAAGAAAUAUAUAUAAAGUUCAAGCCUUUUUUCUUCCUAUCAUAAAAAGAAUACUUUUAACUUGAAUAAAUAAAAAUAAUAUUUUAAAUCCUCAAGUAUAUAUUUGGAUUUUAUUAAAGAAUCUUCUUUUUCUUGUUUUAUUAUUUUUCAUAUUUCCAAAAAUAACAUAAAGAAAAUAUAUCAUUCCAAAUAUAGGAAAACCGAAAAAGGCAAAACAAGAGAUGCCAAUUCUCUUUAAACUUAACUAUUAAGGGUAAAAUAAUCAAUAAAAAGUUCAAAGGAUUAGCGAGCGAGUAUUUGGUGUGAAUUAACACACAAUCUUAUUAUCAUGCCUUUAUUUCACAAAUUAUACAUACAGAUCCUUUAAUUAUUCACUUGCAUUUAUACAUCCAUAUAUCUAUAGUUUAAUGUAAAAUGAAAACCAGAUUUUAUGUCGGUUCAAAGGAGAAAUCCUUCUCUCGUGAGAACAAUGAACUCUUUCCAUACCUAUAUUAAUUAUAUAUAUAUACACGCACAGGUUUAACGUUUUACCAUUUAAGAUUCAUUUUAUACCUUCUUGUACAGUAGCGUAGUGCAGACUGAUAUCAUCAUCAUGAUGAUAAAAAGAAAAAACAAAUAUUAUUAUUUCUAAUAAAUAUUUUAUAUAUAAAUUAUUAAUAUAGUAAAUCCAUUUCACAAUAAAAUAUAUUAAUACAAAAUAGAAAUGUUUCCUAUGCUUGAACUUGUAUUUUCUACACUAAUAGGUACAGGAAGAGGUGAACCUAGUAGGGGGUGUGAAAUUGUCAUAGAAAUGUUUCCUAUGCUUAACGUUUCUUUUCCUUUGUACACUAAUAGGUACAAGAAGAGGUGAACCUAGUAGUGGGUGUGAAGAAACAAUGUGACAAGCUGAAAAGCAAUCUCCUUGAUAUCCAAUCUGUCCUUGAAGAUGCAGAUAGAAAACAAGUGAAAGAUAAGGCUGUAAGAGAUUGGCUAGACAAGCUCAAAGAUGCAUGUUAUGAUAUGGAUGACGUGCUAGAUGAAUGGAGAACUGCAAUUCUUAGAUGGAAAAUGGAGGAAGCUGAAGAAAAUACUCACAGCCGACAGAAGAUACGGUGUUCCUUCCUGGGAUCUCCUUGCUUUUGUUUCAAUCAAGUGGUUCGACGUCGCGACAUUGCCCUGAAGAUCAAAGAAGUUCGUAAAAAAGUGGAUGACAUUGCCAAAGAGAGAGCUAAGUAUGGCUUCGAUCUGUACAAAACCACUGAUGAACUCCAGCGACUAACAACUACCUCCUUUGUUGAUGAAUCAAGCGUGAUUGGUCGAGAUGGUGAAAAGAGAAAUGUUGUAAGCAAGUUGCUGGCUGAAAGUAGUCAAGAAGCACGGGACGUGGAUGUCAUCUCUCUAGUAGGGCUGGGAGGAAUUGGAAAAACAACUCUCGCCCAACUAGCUUUUAAUGAUGCUGAGGUUACGGCUCAUUUUGAGAAAAAGAUAUGGGUGUGUGUUUCCGAACCAUUUGAUGAGGUUAAGAUAGCCAAAGCUAUCCUUGAGGAGCUUGAAGGGAGGGCAUCCGAUUUGGUAGGAUUGCAAUCCCUUUUGCGAAGGGUUUCUGAAUCCAUUGAGGGAAAGAGGUUCCUUCUUGUCCUUGAUGAUGUAUGGACAGAAAAUCACGGACAAUGGGAACAACUGAAACCAUCUCUCACAGGCUGUGCACGAGGAAGCAGAAUUCUAGUGACCACUCGUAAGGACGCUGUGGCAACGAUGAUGGGAAGUACUGGCCACCGGAUCAACAUUAAGGAAUUGUCCGACGAGAUAUGCAGGUCAAUAUUCAAUCAUGUGGCAUUCCAGGAAAGAAGCGAAGAUGAGCGCGAAAGAUUGACAGAUAUCGGCGAUAAAAUUGCAAACAAGUGCAAGGGCUUGCCUCUAGCUGCCAAGGUAUUAGGAGGUCUAAUGCAGUCUAAAAGAACAAGAGAAGAGUGGGAUCGUGUUUUAUCUAGCGAACUGUGGAGGCUAGAUGAGGUUGAUAGAGAUCAAGUUGAACGACGAAUAUUUAUACCUUUGCUCUUGAGUUACUACGAUUUACCUUCUGUGGUAAGACGAUGUUUCUUGUAUUGUGCCAUGUUUCCAAAAGACUACGAGAUGGACAAAGAUGAAUUGGUGAAGAUGUGGAUGGCUCAGGGUUACCUCAAGGAGACUUCAGGUGGAGAUAUGGAGCUUGUAGGAGAGCAGUACUUUCAAGUCUUAGCAGCGCGCUCUUUCUUCCAAGAUUUUGAGACGGAUGAGGAUGAAGGAAUGACAUUCAAGAUGCAUGAUAUAGUGCAUGAUUUUGCCCAAUAUAUGACAAAAAAUGAAUGUCUAACAGUGGAUGUCAAUACACUUGGAGGAGCAACAGUGGAGACUUCAAUUGAAAGGGUUCGUCAUUUAAGCAUGAUGCUGCCCAACGAGACCUCUUUUCCCGUGUCCAUUCACAAAGCAAAAGGUCUUCGCAGCCUCUUGAUCGACACUAGAGACCCUUCGCUUGGAGC
This 90853-nucleotide long non-coding RNA is filed under the name Populus trichocarpa (black cottonwood). RNAcentral's name for it is "long non-coding RNA (PTRI_LNC002966)". Lineage: Eukaryota; Viridiplantae; Streptophyta; Magnoliopsida; Malpighiales; Salicaceae. The record is from RNAcentral.